This 136550-nucleotide long non-coding RNA is filed under the name Coffea arabica (coffee). RNAcentral describes it as "long non-coding RNA (CARA_LNC000430)". Lineage: Eukaryota; Viridiplantae; Streptophyta; Magnoliopsida; Gentianales; Rubiaceae. The record is from RNAcentral.
GCGUAUCUACUGACAUGCUUUUAAGAUUCAAGUGCUUGCAUGUUCUCAGAUUGUCCGGCGAUGAUGUCAAGUUUCUACCGAGCUCCAUUGGCAAACUACUACAUUUGCGGUUGCUCGACAUUUCAUGUUCUCUAAUCACAAGUUUGCCGGAAACUCUUUCCAAGCUAUAUAAUAUGCAGACACUAACGAUGAGAGAUCAUGCAUUUGGAGGAGGUUUUCCAAAACAGAUGAGUGAUUUGAUCAGCUUGCGGCAUCUAAACUACUACCAUGGUUAUGCGGAAUUUGAAAUGCCGGUGCAGAUGGGACGAUUGACUUGUCUUCAAACUCUGGAGUUUUUUAAUGUAAGUCAAGAGAGGGGUCGUGGUAUCGAAGAGCUUGGGACCUUGAAAUAUCUGAAAGGAUCGUUGGAGAUAAGAAAUCUUGGACUAGUGAAGGGCAAAGAAGCAGCUAGACAAGCAAAAUUGUUCGAAAAGCCAGAUCUGUCUCGCUUGGCAUUUGAAUGGAAUAGGAGGGAUCUGAAAAGUGAUAACCAUGAUGAGGAUGUGUUGGAAGGUCUCCAACCUCACCCAAAUUUGGAAAAGCUGAGGAUUUAUUGUUUUAUGGGUAAUAAAUUUCCGCAAUGGUUUAUGAAUUUGUCAAAAUUGGAGACAUUACAGAUAGAAGACUGCAAGAGAUGCAGUGAACUCCCCUCAUUAGGGCAACUGCCAUCCCUCAAAAGUCUCUAUUUGAGAAGCUUGGACAACAUUCGAUUUAUUGGAGAUGAAUUCUACGGUAUUACUGCUAAUGAGGAGGAGGAGGAGGAGGGCAGAUCACGAGCAUCAGGGAGCAGCACUAGAAGACGAAAAUUCUUUGCUGCCCUUGAAGAACUCAAAGUAGAAGAUAUGGAGAAUUUGGUAGAGUGGAAGGAUGCAGACCAAGUGAGGUCAACAGUAGGUGAAGCAGAAGCAGAUGUCUUUCCCAUGCUGAGGAAAUUGAGCAUUCAAUAUUGCCCACAACUGACCACUCUUCCAUGCUCGUGUAAAAGUCUACACGUGGAGAGUUGCGAUAAUCUAACAAGUAUAAAAAUGGGUUACGGCGCUGCUUCUGUUGAGGAGUGGUGGAUCGACUCUUGCGACAAUCUUAGGGAGCUGCCAGAUCUGGAUCUGUUUGGAUCGAGUUUGCAGCGAUUGACCAUCGCAAGUUGCCCAAGAUUAAUUAGUCUAGGAGUAAAUGGACAGAAAUGCCCCCUACCAUGCCUUGAGAAAUUGAGAAUUAAUAAUUGCGAAGGGUUGACCACUAUAUCCGACAAAAUGUUCGAGUCAUGCCCGUCUCUGCGGUCCCUGUGGGUGAUGAGGUGCCCCAAUUUGUUCUCGUUUUCGCUUAAUUUGCAGGAGAUGUCUUCUCUCGAGGAAUUCAUCUUAGUCGAAUGUCCCAAAUUGAUCCCUCAUAGGUUCAAUGGAUUUGCUUUUGCCACCAGCUUAAGAGAAUUGAGGAUUGGUCCCUUCUCCUCAGAUGACUCCUCAAUCGAUGAUUUUGAUUGGUCCGCAUCAACACUUCGUGAGCUUGAAUUACGAGGGUUGCCUCACUCGGAUUCCCUGCCACACCAGCUUCAAUACUUGACUACCCUCACUUCACUAAGGCUGGAGAACUUUGGAGGAAUAGAGGUGCUACCUGAUUGGAUUGGAAACCUUGUGUCCCUUGAAACCCUAUCGCUAUGGUCUUGCCAAAAGCUUCAGUCUUUACCACCCGAGGCCGCCAUGAGACGACUCACAAAGUUAACUCGUGUCGACGUCUUUGAUUGUCCUCUAUUAAGACAAUGAUACACUCCCCAAAGAGGCAUCUACUUGGAGGAGGAGAUUUCAAGUGAUCCGGUGAGAUUUUCCUAUCUAAAGUUCACACUCAUAUAUAUGUAUACAAAUUUUUUGUUUCUGCAUCUCAUUGACAUAUAUUUGCUCUUCAGUCUCUUGUACUCUUUUUCUCCAUCUCUUUUCCCCAAAGUUAUUCUCCGUAAUUAAUUCUCUUCUUUUGGGCAGACCUUGGUUUCUUUUCAAAGAUUAGUUUUAACAAAGCCUGGUUUUGAGCAAAUUAGAAGAGACCAAAAUUCUAUAUUUUCUCUGCAUCUCGCCAUUGAAAGAUUUUGAACAUCUUAAAAACUCAACUUGUUACCUUCUAUUUGGCCAAGCAUGAAAUUAUUAGCAACGCUGCAUACACAAUUAGCCUCUUUGUUUGAAUGUGUUAGCAAAUGACUCGAAUCAAAGGACACAUAGAAUGCUCUCUUUUUUUGAAUCGAAUUCAUCAAUAUCUUUCCAUAUAUUUAAAUUAAUUUUAUUAAGUUUUCUUCUCCACUAAUCCGACAAGUUAUCUUCAGUCUAAUCCAACAAGUUAUCUUCAGUCUACUAAAUUUAAAUAAUUCCAUUUCUCAAUUUGAUUCAUAAUUACAUAAGCAAUCAAGAAGCUGGUUGAUGAAAGGAAGAAGUCCUCAUCCAUUUUAAAUCUCUUUGUUUCCCAUCUUGAUUGCUUAAGUAGUCAAGAAGAGUUGGCUUAAUUGUUUAAGUAAUCGAGAAGAUUCUUUGCAGUGUGAAUAACAAAUAAACAUUGAGAAAAAAGAAAGAAAAAGAAAAAUGCAAAGUAGGAAGAUGCAUUUUCGAGGAAGCAACCACCAGGCAUACUCUAAUACCAACCAGAUUAAAUAAAUGAACUCGAUAAAUAAAGUAGAAUAAAUUGAUUAAUCAGGGCGAGAUUUCAGAUCUAUGUCUCCUGUUGCCAGCCCUCAAUCAGUUUAGUUAAGUCAACUCUUCUGAGUUUUGUGCACUGUUACAUUAAUCGCAAUUAUACUAAUCUGAAUCUCACACAUCAAAUUUGUUGAUUACUACUCCAAUUACCCAUUCACAACAUAGGUAUCAACUGCCACGCAUUGCGUGGGACUCUCCCCUAAUAGUUAAUAAGAUGAAGAAGUCAUUAUCCAUUCUCGCUUCUUUUAUUUCUUGUCUUAAUUAUUGAAGUAACCAAGAAGUCAUUAGAUGAAUGAUCCCAUGAUCCAUUCUCCUUUCCUUGUUUCUUGUCACAAUCCAUUGGGAAUAUGUUUAGCAAGAUGAUUAAUUAUAUGAAUCCCAUUUUUAUUUAUUUUACUGAUAGUGCCACUGAAAACUACUGCUGAAUAGGAUCUACUAAUAGUAUCACUGAAAAUAACUACUGCAAACUCAACUCGUCCAAAAUUUUCUCAACUCGUCCUACCUUUCAUCACUUUAAUUUCAGUUUCAUCCAAUCACUUUCGGUUUUCAAUUUCAACAAAUAGGAGAAACUGGUUAUGUACAUUUCCCAGCUCUGAAAAUUCAUUUAAAUUACCAAAAGCUAUAGCAUUGACACAAGAAAGUUAUGAAUGAAAAAGGAACCAAACCAUAAUACUUCUUAAUCGCAUCAAAAAGCACUCUUUCCGCUAUUAAAGUUUUUAGCUUCCGAAGCUUCAAAAAAAAAAAAAGUGUACGUGACCGCACGAAUAAUUGACUAAAAAAAUUGAUGUGAAGAUGUCAUAUGCCAUUUUCACUUCUUUAUUUCAUUUCUUAAUUACUGUUUAUCGAUGGAAUCAAGAGGAUGCUUGCUGGUGUAAAUAAUACCAAAUUGAAAUGUGAAAAAUAAAAAGAGAAUCAAAUUGUGCAACUUCGAGGAAGUUGUUACGUGCGUCCACUCUAUCCAUGGUCACUUUAUUAUUCUUUGUUCUUGGCCUCUGUGGCGCUUUUCACAUUUUCCAGAUCUGAAACAAGUCCUUAAUCUGUUUUUUUUUUUGGCAACCACUUUCAUUUCUUUAUCUUUUAUUACACGAGAAGAUGUUUGAAGCAAAGAAGAAGCAAUAUUGCCCAAUGAGCAUCUAAAGUCCACAUGUAAUCACAAGCCGCUAGAGUUGCCGAGUGGAGGGCACUUUUUAAUAAUUUUAUUCCUAGAGAACAUAAAAAAGAGGUACUGCCUACUACUAGUCACUUCUCCUUGAGGACUUGGGAGGCGGAGUUGGAACUUUUGGGGUGUUGAUAUGGAAGUGAUGGAAACUUGAAGCUUGGAGUGCAAAAAAGAAAAAAAAAAAGAAAAAAGCGUUUGGUCAAAAACUUGUUUAUCAAACAAACCCAAAAAAUUAGUUUGGUGAGAAUAUAAAAGAGUUAGUGGGAGAUCAUUAUUCGUUAUUCUACCAAAUUGAAAUUUCUCGAUCUUUGCUUCUUCCAUUUCUCCUAGCAAAAACCCUUGCUUUCUUAGUUCUUUUCAUUUCCUCACAAACGAUCACACUUGGGAAAUCAAGCUUAAGCAAGUGCUUCUCAAGAGCUAGGAGAUCUUCCUUUAUAACUUAAUCAAGGUAACUCUUGCAUCUUUUAAGUUUUCUUUACUUGACUUGAUUUGGUUUUGGGUUUAAUGUAAGUUAAGCUUUGGUUUUGAGUGGACCUUUUGGUAGAGAUCCUUAUAUAUGUGGUAGUUUGGUGAUUGUGGUUAUUUUUUUAUUGAGGGAUAAUUGUUGAAGUUUUGGAUGUUUGGUGAUGUUUUGGGUUGAUUUGUACUUGGUUGUUGUACUGGGUUGGACAUAGGUAGAAGAGGUGAAAAAGGAAGUAAAGCUCGAAAUUUUUAUUAUCACAAUGACAAAACUAAUUAGUAUCACAUUUGCCAUUGAUCUAAAACAAGCUAUUGAUGAAAACUAGUGUCACGGAUUCAUCUUAAUGGAGUACUAUUAAAUGGAAUUUAUUUGAAUAACUAAAGGCCACCAGCGUCACAAGUCAUUAGGGGUGUGAAUCGGAAUCGAAAUUGGUAAUUUGGAACUUUGAAAUUGAAAUUUUUUGAAAUUUGGGUAUUAGAAUUUUCGACCAAAUUCGAUUUCAAGUUCACCAACUCCAAAUUCAAUUUGGAAUUCCGAUUUCACCGAAUUCAUGAAUAUAAAAAUUAUUAUUAUUAUAAUAUAAAUAUUAUAUUACAUAUAUAUAUAAAAAUAUUAUAUAUAUAUGUGAAAACAAAAUUGAAAUCGAAAUAGGAAUUCCGAAUUCCGAUUUCGAUUUCGAUUUCAAUUUCGAAUUGUGAAUUCGAAAUCGAAAUUUUGGAUUUGAAAAAUCUCAUUACCGAAUUCGACCAAUUCGAAAUCGAAUAUUCCGAUUUCCAUUCCGAAUUAUCAAAUUCGAAAUUUCGAAUUUAAUUCGAAUUCAGUCGAUGAAUCGAAAUUUUUUGACUUUGCACACUCCUACAAAUCAUUGACCAAAGCCAGUUUUGCAGUCUCAUCAUACCUAGGGAUGGCAACGGGGCGUGGUUGGGGCGGGGGACCCCUCCCCCACCCCCCGCCCCGUUGCCUAUUAGUUCCCCCCGUCCCCCGCCCCGUCCCCCGCCUCCCGCUCCCCCAGCCCCGCCCCUCCCCCGCCCCGUCUUGCCCCGCUUCCCCCGCUGGGGCACCCGCGGGGUUAAUAUAAUUUUAUUAUAAUUAAAUUUUAAUAAAUAAUCAAGUACUAAAAUAUCAACACAUCACCAAAUUAUUAUUCAUUGUAAUUUUACAAUUGAAACUCAUAAAAACAAUCAAACAGAAGUUAUUUGAAUACAAUCCAAUAUGAUGAAAUAAAUAUAACUAAAAUAGUCAAGUUUUCACUUUUAGUACAAAUGCAAUCACUAAUUCAUUAUUGUAUUUGUGCUUUUUUUUGAGAAAAAAGUGUUAUUCUAUUAAGUGUAAUUAGAAAUUUAGUAUAAAUGUAUUAGUAAAUUUAGUAUAACUAAUUAAUAAAUUCUAUUAGUAGACAUGUAUAAUUAUUCAUAUAAUUGAUAAUAUCAAUUAUAUUACAUAAACUAAUAUACAUUAUAUAAUACAUCUAACUAAUAAUAUCAUUAUCAUAAGUUUAUAACUAAUUAACUUACAUAUUAUAUAUAAUUAUAUAUAUAUAUUUUUUUUUGUUUUGCGGGUGGCGGGGCGGGGGUAUGCUCCCCCGCCCCCCGCCCCGUUUCUUAGCGGGGGGAAAAAUUCCCCCCGCCCCCGCCCCAACCCCCGCCCCGAGAGCCCCCCGCCCCCAUUGCCAUCCCUAAUCAUACCUUAGAACGAGUCUUUGUGAUUAACAUAUUUUUUUUAAUAAUUCAUGCUUUUCUUGGAGCAUUGGGGAGCCAUCAAUGUAGCAAUUAUGAGAGGUGAUAACAAAUAUUGCAGCACAGUGAAGGGAAUUCAAGCAAAAAGCAUCCAGUAGCUGUGGUACAAAUACACGAUUAAGUGAAUAAUUAACAAAUAGUCGAUGAGAAGCUGUCCUCACUUCUUUAUUUUUGGUCUUAAUUACUAUAAUAAUAAUAAUAAUUAAGAAGUGGCUUGAUGGGAUGAAAAUGUCACAGCACAUUUCUUUGUUUCUCGUCUCAGUUCCUUCAGUAAUCAAGAAGAUGAUUUGUAAAUGCAAAUAAUAAAGUAACAAUAAGAAAAAAAUUAUAAAAAAAAGAAAAAAAAAAGCAAGAAGAUGCAAUUUGGAGGAAGUAGCCACUGUGUUUUGACCAUGACAGAUGCUUAUCAAGAUGACUAAUUUAAACUAGAAAACUUUGAAAAAGGUAAAGUGAUGCAUCAUGUUUCUUUUUUUUUUUUUGGGUGUUGCUUUCUUGACCAACAAAUAUCUGAACUAUAUCUUACCUACUUAGUAAAAAAAAUUAAAAAGAUAAUAAAAAAACAUGUCCUAGCUGCAAUUGUACUUUUCCACUUCCUUGUUUUUUUAAAAUUAAUUCCGACGAAGCAAAUUAGCCAUACUUUCUGCUAGAUAGAAUUUUUAGACAACCAAAGGCCGCCUACAUUGGCAAAACUAAUUACUCUCACAACUAGUUUCGGGUAGAAUUUUUAAAUAUCCGACAAAGGAAAAUUAGCAGCAUUAGAUAGAAUUUUCUAAACGACCAUUCUAUCUAAACGACUAAUGGCCACCACCAUUAAUCAAACUAGUAUUGAUACGGUCGACAAGAUUUUUUUUUUUUUUUGACAAAACAUAUGUCAAUAUUAUUAACAAUCUAGUUGGAAAUCAUCCACCACAAUUUGUUAAUUGUUUGACAAAGUAAUCUACACUAAUGGUAGAAAAUACAUUAAGCAUGUUACAGAUAUAUUUCAUCUGAAAAAUUAUAAGAUUUAAUAGAGUUACAAAAUAUAAAAGAUUACGCUGUAAAUCACAAAUCAUCAAAUCUGACUAAUUGAACGAGCCGCUUCAUAGAUAUCUAUGCAUGUCUAUUCUUUCAGAUCUAUUGUCCAACUGGUUUGACCUCAAAACUGAUGUUGAGAUUUGACGAAAAGACCUAAAAAAUUUUAGACCUAACAUAUAGAUUUGAAGAAAUUCUUAGAUUUGAGAAAAUAAAUAACAAAAAAAACACUAAACAAAACUCUCACCAAGAUAGUUUGGGAGAGAAAAAAACUCUCAUUAGGAUACUUUAGAAGAGAUUUUAUUAAAUAAAAGUAAGCACAAAGAGGAAGGGAGACCUUGGCUUAGGGCCAAGAUCUUCCUAUGGAGGACGAAGAGUAGAGAGAAAGUUGAGAGAUAAGGGGAAAAAGAAGGUUGAGGGAAAAGAGAAAAUAGCCCCUACGGCCGACAAGAUUUUCGUCUAAGCUUUCACACAGCUAUUCUUUAUCAAAUCAUGCAACACAUAUUUAUUUGCGAACCAAAACUUGUAACAAAUAUUACAACCGGUUGACACAUUAAAAUCGUACUUAGCCAUAUUUCUAGAUUACAUAAUCUUGAGGGAUGCUUUUAACUUCUCUGGCCAAUACAACCAUAGACACGGAUUGGUUAAAUGAGUAUAGGGGCAAUUUUAAUGAUAAAAAAAUACAGAAAGUGGAAGACUGGUGGAUGAGUAUUGGUGUGUCAACCAUCAUUUACAGAAAAAAAAAUACAGAAAUGAUAAAAAAAAAUGGUGGAUUGGUUAAAUGAGUAUAGGCGAAAUUUCAAUGAUAAAAAAAAUACAGAAAGUGGAAGACUGGUGGAUGAGUUUUGGAGUGUCAACCAUCAUUUACCUUGUAGUUCUGAAUAAUAGCAUAUAGAUUCUUUAUACUUUUAAGCACAUUCAAUUAAGAUGUCUCAAUUUAGAACUUAGAGACAGAAUUUAAAGUUUAGAGACAGACUAAGGGUCUGUUUGAUAAUAUAAUAAAGUGCUGAAACUGAACCUUUUCAGACAUUCAGAUGUUUUGAGUGUUUAAUAAAUGAAAAUCCAUCUGCUGAACUUGUUAAGUAAUGCUAAACUUGCAUGUAUUUUUUUCAGUACAAAAAUCCUAACUGAAUGCUUAAUUCUGAUAAAAAUCAGUAGAAUUAUUUCAACUACCUUAUCUUAUCUACCAAAUCUACCCUUGUUUGUUAAUUAUAUUCAAAAUUAUUAUCUAAUUAAACAACCUGAUAUUCUCUAUCAAACGAUUUUCUGUUUCUUUUUUCUCCUUUUUUAAUGACUUUCACAUUUUCUCCAUACUCCUCAUAUAAUAUAUUUCAUCUUUUAUAUUAAUUUGAUUUAAAAAUAAAUUAUUGUCGUUUUCAUACCUAAUAAUUUUAAACUAAUUAAAUCAUAGGUUCUAUUUCUUUUUUAAAUGAAAGAUAUAAGGGCAAAAUUAUCAAAUUAAACUUAUUACGCACUCGGUUAUAAAUAUUUGUCAAACAGUAUAAAUAGGUUUAACAUUAAAAUUUAGACAUUCAUAUAUUUUUCUUUUCAGUGCUUAAAAUUCAGCAAAAUAAUUGUUUCAGUAUUCAAAUUUCAAAAUUCAGACUUCAGAAUUCAAAUAUAGUUUAAUCAAACGGAACCUAAAUUAAGAAUCAUGCUAUAGUUAAAGGAUUAAAGUAUCCUAAUUUAGAAUUUAAGAGCUAAAGCGUCAUGUGCGGUUAUCACAAUUCUUACAGGCCCUUAAUCUGGUAUACCACCAGGGCGGAAUUAAGGUGGGGGCACUGGGGCACGGACCCCCACUGUCCCCCUUAAAUUCUUAUAAUAUUUGUACAAUUUUAACGUAAUUUUGAGUGUGCCCCCACUCCCCAAAUUCCCUUUCCUCCUAUGUCCCCAAUUUUCCCUCCCACAACUGAUGGUUUCUCUUUUUUAAUCCAUCAUUUACUUCCUUUGUCCCCACUUCCCAAUUUCCCUUUCCUCCAUCAUUUAUUGCUCCUCUGGUUUCCCAUUUUCCCCCAACAGAGCCACAAAUCUAUCCGCACCGAACCUUGAUCAUAAGGACCUCCUAUCUGCCGUCCCACACUGAAUUGGAUGUUCUAAGUUGGAUAUUCUUGCACUUGACACUGAAUUGGAUACUUAUAUUAAUGACUUGAAAUCAGCCAAGGAAUUUCUUGAUUUAAGAAAAAUCUCUGAUCUAGCUUAAAGGUUGGUGGAGACUAAGAGAGAUAUUGUGUAUCCAUUGGUUAAUAUGCUCUUAAAGUUGGCUUUGAUUUUGCCUGUUACUACAGUUACAGUAGAAAGGGCUUUUUCAGUUAUGAAUAUAGUGAAGAAUCGGUUACGAAAUAAAAUGGGAAACACUUUGAUGAAUAAUUGUUUAGUUACUUAUAAUGAGAAAAAUAUACUUCGUGAAGUUCAAAAUGAGAAAGUCGUAAACCGUUAUCAAAAUAUGAAAACUCAUCGUGAACAAUUGUAAAUAGUUUAGUUUGUUUUUGAAAUAAAAUUAUUAUUACAUUAAUAAUUUUGAGUUUGUCUUUUUUUGUUUUUCAUGGAAUAUACGUAUUAUUUGUACUUGUUGGUGAAUUUUUUUUUUUUUUGCUUAAAAAACUAGAAAAAGAGCAGAUAAAAAAAUUUUACUGUUAUUUUUGUCCCCAUUGAGAUUUUUUUCUAGCACCGCCACUGUAUACCACCACUAUUUCUUGAGGUUUGCUUAUUUUAUUAAGCAACAUAUAAAUCAAGUAGUAAUUGAAGUUACUGGUUUAUACAAUUGUAAUUUCAUUCGAAUGCCGAGAUCAGAGAUAGUCUCUCUUUUUUUUUUUGCAAAACAAGAUAAAAACCAAGCAAGUUCCAUACUAUGAAAGUCCUGUCAACCUCAUUUUAAUGUUAGAAUGUAAGAAAGAAGUCCUAACAACCACCGAACACUUUGUUAUGAUUCAAUUAAUUCAUUGGGUUGAGCAAAGAAACUGAGGUUUCAAUUCCAGCAAGAAAAGGAUACUCUGUCUAUCAGCCACCUCUUUUUAGACAUAUUUUAAAAGACUAAAGGGCUCCAGCAUUGACCCAACAAAAGAGGUAGUUUUUUCAUUUUUUAUCUAUUAGAUUUGAGUUUUUUCACGAAUUGAUUAUCAAAUUUGGAAUUUCUUAGGUCCAUUUGCUAGAUUUCGCUAUAAUAUUUGAACUUGAAAUACUUAAUUAGCAGAUCUAUCAAUUGAAAACAUACAUAGAUAUUCGUGGGACCAUAAUUAUUUUAUUUCACUUUUUAAAAUAUUUUUUGGAGGUUUACAAUGUAAUUUUUAUCUAUUUUUCGGAUCUAUACUAUCCAUACUUCAGAUUUGGUCUUUGAUAUUUGUGUAUAUUUGAUGAUAUAAUUUUUGCCAUUAGUGCAAAUUUUAAUGAAAUUAUGAUGUUUGAUAUAUAAAAAAAACGUCUACUAAAUUUAAAUAAUUCCAUUUCUCAAAUUGUCCUCAUCGAUUCUAAUCUGUUUGUUCCCUGUCUUAAUUGCAUAAGUAGUCAUGAAGAGUUGGCUUAAUUGUUUAAGUAGUCGAGAAGAUUCUUUGCAGUGUGAAUAACAAAUAAACAUUAAGGGAAAAAAAGGAAAAGAAAAAUGCAAAGUAGGAAGAUGCAUUUCGAGGAAGUAACCACCAGGCAUAUUCUAAUACCAGCCAGAUUGAAUAAAUGAACUAGAUAGAUAAAGUAGAAUAAAUUGAUUAAUCAAGGCGAGAUUUUAGAUCUAUGUCCCCUGUUGCCAGCCCCUCAAUCAGUUUAGUUAAGUCAACUCUCUUGAGUUUUGUGCACUGUUACAUUAAUCGCAAUUAUACUAAUCUGAAUCUCACACAUCAACCCACGAAGGAAUCGUUAACUCAUCUCUUUCUUGUUCUGGGCUUCUAUUCUGAUUUCUACCAUUUGUUGCUGAAAACAUUCCUUCCAUCUCUGAUAUCAGAAAACCUUUCGAUCCCAGUUCCAAUUCCAAGCAAGAAACAAUGGCUGAAGCUGCUAUCAGUGCAACUGUUAAGGUCCUCUUGGGGACAGUUAUUUCCAUUGCUGCGGACCGCAUUGGUAUGGUUCGGGAGGUCGAAGCGGAGUUGGAGAGACUAAGCAAUACUGCUGCAAUGAUCCAAGGUUUCCUGGCUGAUGCUGACGGGAAAAUCCAUAGCCAAGGGGUGCGAGAGUGGCUCAAGCAGCUAGAGGAUGAGGUUUUUAAAGCUGAUACCGUGCUGGACGAGCUCCACUACGACAAUCUUCGUCGGGAGGUGAAGUACCGAAAUCAACUCAUCAAGAAGAAGGUAUGCUUCAUCUUCUCCUCCUUUAAUGCAAUUGGUUUUAGUUCCAGUUUGGCUUCAAAGAUCCGGGACAUCAACACCAACCUAGAGAGGAUCAACCAGGGAGCCGGUCGCUUGGGAUUGACCAACCAAAUUGAAGCUGCACCCCCUGCUGAUGCCGCUGGUGCCAGACAGACCGACUCUAUUGUCGUUCCGAACGUUGUAGGAAGAUCCGGCGACGAGUCAAAGAUUGUGGACAUGUUAUCGAGCCCAUCUGAAAAGGUUCUUUCUGUUAUUCCCAUAGCAGGCCCGGGAGGUUUGGGAAAGACAACUCUUGCUAAAUCAGUCUACAACAAUCCAAAAAUUGAUGAGAAUUUUGGCAUAAAGAGUUGGGUUUGUGUGGCUAGAAAAAUUGAUACAGUGGGGCUGUUCAAACUCAUUUUAGAAUCGUUGACAAAAACAAAGGUUGAAGUGGAUGGUAGGGAAGCCAUAGUUCAAGAAGUUCGAGGAAAGCUCAAGGGACAAAGAUAUUUCCUUGUUCUUGAUGAUGUGUGGGAUCAUGAACAAGGAUCGUGGGAUGACUAUUUCAACACUUUGAUGGGACUCAACGAAACCAAAGGAAGCUGGUGUCUUCUCACUACUCGUCUAGAAUAUGUGGCUAAUGCUGUGCCUAGAGAUUUGCAAAUGAAUGAUCGUCCUUAUUUCUUAGGAAAGCUAUCAGGUGAUGAGUGCUGGUCCAUCAUAAAAGGAAAGGUGAUGAGUGCAGGGGAAGAAGUACCAGAAGAAUUGGAAGCACUGAAGGAGCAAAUUUUAAGGAGAUGCGAUGGCCUACCCUUGGCGGCAAGUUUGAUUGGUGGCUUGUUGCAUACCAACAGAAGAGAGAAGUGGCACUCCAUUGUGCAGGAGAGCCUUUUGAAUGAAUAUCAAAGCCAAAUUAAUCAAAUACUUAAGGUGAGCUUUGAUCAUUUAUCAUCUCCAUCAAUUAAGAAAUGUUUUGCAUAUUGCUCGAUUUUUCCCCAGGACACUGAAUUAGGAGAAGAUGAACUAAUUCAGCACUGGGUUGCUAAAGGUUUUGUUCUACCAGAUCAGGAAAACACAAGAAUGAUGGAGGAAAGAGGAGGCGAGUAUUUAAGGAUUUUGUUACAAAGUUCCUUACUAGAAAAAGUCGAAGAUGAGGGGAGCACAUAUUAUAAAAUGCACGAUCUCGUGCAUGAUUUUGCAAAAUCAAUUCUCAAACCAGAAAGCAGCAAUCAGGAUCGCUACCUUGCAUUGGACUCUUCUAAAGGUUUGGAAGAAAAUACCAUAAGGACAAUACCAGCAUCAAUUCGCACAUUAUUUCUCCAUCUAGAGGGUGGCGUAUCUACUGACAUGAACAUGCUUUUAAGAUUCAAGUGCUUGCAUGUUCUCAAAUUGUCUGGAUAUGAUGUCGAGUCUCUACCGAGCUCCAUUGGCAAACUACUACAUUUGCGGCUGCUCGACAUUUCAUCUUUUGGAAUCACAAGUUUGCCAGAAUCUCUUUGCAAGCUAUAUAAUUUGCAGACACUAACGAUUGAUGAUUAUGCACUUGAAGGAGGUUUUCCAAAACGGAUGAGCGAUUUGAUCAGCUUGCGGCAUCUAAACUACAAUCAUUAUCGUGCAAAUUUGAAAAUGCCGGUGCAGAUGGGACUAUUGACUUGUCUUCAAACUUUAAAGUUUUUUAAUGUAAGUCAAGAGAGGGGUCGUGGUAUCGAAGAGCUUGGGACCUUGAAAUAUCUGAAAGGAUCGUUGACUAUAAGAAAUCUUGGACUAGUGAAGGGCAAAGAAGCAGCUAAACAAGCAAAAUUGUUCGAAAAGCCAGAUCUGUCUCGCUUGGUGUUUAAAUGGGAGAGUGGGGAUCGGGAAAGCGAUAACCGUGAGGAGGAUGUGUUGGAAGGUCUCCAACCUCACCCAAAUUUGCAAGAGUUGGGAAUUUAUUAUUUUAUGGGUAAUAAAUUUCCACAAUGGCUUAUCAAUUUGUCAAAAUUGGAGACAUUGCGGAUAGAAGACUGCAAGAGAUACAGUGAACUCCCCGCAUUAGGACAACUGCCAUCCCUCAAACGUCUCUAUUUGACAAGAUUGAGAAACAUUCGAUCCAUUGGAGAUGAAUUCUACGGUAUUACUACUAAUGAGGAGGAGGAGGAGGAGGGAAGAUCACGAGCAUCAGGGAGCAGCACUAGAAGACGAAAAUUCUUUCCUGCCCUUGAAGAACUCUGGGUAAUACGUAUGGGGAAUUUGGUAGAGUGGAAAGGUGCAGACCAAGUGAGGUCAACAGUAGGUGAAGCAGAAGCAGAUGUCUUUCCUGUGCUGAGGCAUUUGAGCAUUCAACGUUGCCCACAGCUGACCACCCUUCCAUGCUCGUGUAAAAGUCUACACGUGAGGAAUUGCGAUAAUCUAACAAGUAUAAAAAUGGGUUACGGCACUGCUUCUGUUGAGGAGUUGAGGAUCCACUCUUGCGACAAUCUUAGGGAGCUGCCAGAUCUGGAUCUGUUUGGAUCGAGUUUGCGGCGGUUGACGACCGAAAGGUGCCCAAGAUUAAUUAGUCCAUACCUUUUCUUUGCUUUCGUAGUUUGUCAUGAUUGAAGCUGUUCUGAAAUGUAAUAUUAUGAUGUUUAUUCCAGAGUCUUAGGAAGCAGACCUCAUGUUAUUGGACAAAGGACACCACCAUUUGCCGUUGCAUUUCUGACUAGAAUGCUAAGGGAUAGAAGUUAUUUUCAUUGACCAGACAGGGUUUGAAGAUGAAGGCAGUUAUCAAUGAUGUUAAUUUAGCUCAUUAGAUAGCAUUAGCUUUGAUGGAUGUUUCACAAAUAGUUGGCUAGGUUUCUCAAACAACUAGUAUUUAAGGGUUGGCUAGGUUUCUCAAAAAAUUGAAGUUUAACAAAAAUGUCAUACAAUUCUAACAACUAGAGUUGUCAACAAUUGAAAUUGGUACUGACUAGUAUUUUUUUUUUUUUUUGUCAACGAUAACAGUAGCAUUAUUCUCCAAGAUACGUGUAAAUUACUUGCUAAUGUCAAGAGCCUAAUCUUCAAAACAAAAAACUUACUAAAGCUGUUAAAUUAAGUAUUUGUACUAAGAUUUUUAUUUUCCUCUUUUUUUCAAGUAAGGUGGGGAGAGAUAGGCAAUCCAUAGCAUUCUUUAAUCUUCAAUUUAGAGAAUAGGAGUCUUUUCUUUAAGGGUGCAUUUGAUAACAUAUUGAAACUUGAAAAUUAAAAUCUAAAAUCUAAAAUCUAAAUCCAUUAAGUUACUGAAUUGUUAAAUACUAAAUUUGAUACAUCUAAAUCCGUAAUUGUUCGAUUACCUCCGUUCCGGUAGCAACUGGUGUAAUUGGGUUUAUGUCAGGAAAAUAUACGAUCUAACUUAAACAAAUCCUCGUAGCGUGUUUGUUACUUUGGAUUGGACUUUUCUAAAUCUUAGUGCAGAUUAGAAAUUAAAUCCUAUGGUCGUACCUAGGAUUGUUUUCGGGUUAGAGAAAUAGUUAACGAUCAUACCUUAACUAUCGAAAAAUUAAGGAAAGACUGGUUGUUUAUCGUAUGUAUAAUAACUAUAACCAAUCUAUUAAUAACUGUUGGAAUUAUAUUUGAAUCGAUGAUCAGUUGCAUGAACCAUCUCUGAAGUGCACCCUUGGCUAGAGUUCUCCCUUUUAUUUCUUCCAAUCAAUUAUUUUUCGCAUUUAAUUUAUUUAGUUAGCAUUUAAUCCUGAAAUCCCCCAUUUGUCUUAACUCGAAAGGAAACGAACUUUUCCCCAGUCCCUGAGGAGAUGACCUGCUUACCACUGUCUACUAGUUAGUAAAUUUUGUCAGUAAUUAAUUCUGGUAUAUAGGAUUAAGCAAACUCUUCAGGAACAAGGUGAAUCAAGUAACCCAUUGCACACCUAAGGUCCCUGCUCCGGUACCUAGAAUUGAUUAUUGACAGCUUGAGGGUAGUUAGGUUUUAUUAUUAUUAUUGCACAGGUUUAGCACCUUUUCAAAAACCUAGAGUGCACGCAAAGUGACAGGUGCCGAACCUGUGCAAUAAUAAAUACCUACUCGAGAAAAAUACAGAUUUUGUAUAUAGCGGUGAGUAGGGUCGAAUCCACAGGGACUGGGGAUAAUUUGUUUCUUCUAGAGUCCAAAGUAUGGGGGGUUUUGGAUUAAAUGCUAACUAAAUAAAUUAACUGCAGAAAAUAAUUAAUUAAAAGAAAUGAUUGGGGAAACUCUAGCCAAGCGUACACAUCAGAAAUGGUUCAUGCACUGAUCAUUGAUGCAGAAAUAAUUCCAACAUUUAGCAAUAGAUUAGUUAUAGUUGUCAUGCACGCGAUAAACAACCAACCCUUCCUUAAUUUCUCGAUAGCUAAGGUACGACCGUUAGCUAUUUCUCUAACCCAAUAAUAACCCUAGGUACGACCGUAGGAUUUAAUUUCUAGAUUGCAUUAAUAAUUAGAAAGGCCCAAUCCUAACCAACAAACACGCUACGAGGGUUUGUUUAAAUUAGAUCAUAUGCUCCCCUGACAUAAACUCAAUUACGCCAGUUGCUACUGAGAUAGAGAUAACGAACAAUUACGGAUUCAAUUACCCCUAUUUAGCAAAAAUAGCCUAUAUGAAUAAUUAAUUAUUGCGCACUAAUCAAUCAUACACAAGGCCAUAGCAAUUAAAAUCAAGAAACAUAUAAAUACCAAUAAAUGAAGAAAAUAAUUAAAACAGAUUCGAUCUCACAGUAAUUGUCGAACCAAAUCGUCAGUUGUCCCCUUGACUAGAAAAGCUUAAUCACGCCUCAUGAGAAAAUCUCCCCGUUGGGGAAUAUUGUCGAACACCUGGCGUGUGUCAGAGGCCAGUCCAAAGAAAAGAAACUAGAACUAAACUAAAAAACUAAAACUAAAGCCCUAGAUAUCUUUUGCUUCUGUACGUUGUCCCCUUUUAAAGCAACAAAAGAAAGAUGACUAAAAGCUAUCUAGAUGGUCCCCACACAUGUGGACAAAGCCUCCCAAGUACUUCUUGUUCCAAGUCUCUCUACGUUGUUUUCUUUGAAGCCCAAAUGGCCAAAUGCCUUUCACUAGCUUGUGGUCCCCCACCAAUUCAAGGGCCCAAGGAUUGAAGCCCUUAGAAGUCUCCAUAUUUUUCACAAAAUCCCUCCUUUUUGGUAGUUUUCUGCUUCAUUCCUGAAAUUGAUUCCAAAUACCAAAUAUGAGUAAAUAUCAGCAAUUAACACAAUAUUUGUCAGGGAUAGAAGGGAAAAUUAAUAAUAAAAAUACUAACAAAUUAUACCCUAUCACAAAGGGCCAAGGUGUAAAACCCAAACAACACACCAAGUGUUUAAAUUUGAUAAUCUCUCUAUCUAUCCUUCUAUUAUAUCCACAUCUAUAUCUAUCUAUCUAUCUAUCUAUAUCUAUAAUCUAUAUAAAAGGACAAUGAGUUUUGGUAUUUUGGAGUGUGGGUGUAAGCAUUGUUAUGAUCUUAUUUUGUGUUAUUUGAAUUAUGCCCUUCUUAACUUGUGGUUAAGUUUCAUACAAUCUUAAGUAUGGGUUAAAGUUUAAUUAUGAAUUUCUAAUUAUUACAAUCACUAUAUUGCAUCAUACCAUAGUGAUUUAGAAAGAAAAAUCUCCUUAAAGUUAUAAAUAGUGAAAUGGUUUGAGAAAUAUUUGUCAAAUGAAUUAUAUGAGUUGUACACAUCCAAUUCAAAAGGGGAAGAACUUUUUAUGUUGCACACAAAGGACUUUCAAUAUACAAAAAAUUAGACACCUUCAUAUAACUGAAAUAACAAUAUUAAACUGAAGAAAAAGGAAAUCUGAAAUAGCCCAUACAAUCCAUCAUUAUUAUUAAUAGCAACCCUUCAUAACAAGAAAAACUGAAAAAAAAUGAAAAUUAUUCAUAAAAUGACAUAAAGCGAAUAGAAGUGAAUCAAAAAGCUAAAAGUACAACUCAAAUAAUACCACAAAUAACCUUCAAAUCACUUGAAAUUCUAAUUCAGGUGAGUCAAAUCUAAGGGAAGACAAAAAUUUGUUAUUGAUAGCAAUAGAGUAGUGCUUCAUUUAUAUUGUUUCGAGCAAAUCGAGUUAAUCCAGCAAGCUAUAUAGAAGCCAUCAGUCCAAGGAAAAGGAGAAGAAGAAAAGGUAGUCUGCGGUGUUGGUUGGUCUGAUACUUUUAGCUCUUUGUGGAAAUAUAAAUAGUAUUCAAGUGACACUGGAGAAUUCAAAAGGAACCAAAUCAAAAUACUAAUUACUAAACACACAAAAGAAGCACUCUUUUGACUCUUUAAAACUUUAGUUUCUAAACUACCUACACUUAAAAGCAUUGACAAUUUCCCAAUUAACACGGAUCAUACCAAAUAAAUUGCUUUUCUUUCUCUUCAAAUUAAUUUUGUUAAAUUUUCUACUUUAAUCCAACAAACUUAUCUUAGUCCACCAAGUCUAGUGAUUUUGUUUCUCAAUUAGUCUAAUGUAACCAAGAAGUUGCUUGAUGAAAUGAUGAAGUCCUGAUCCCUUCACACACCAUUUUUUUUUCCUAAUCCCUUCUCAUUUUUCUGUUACUUGCCCUAAUAAUUUGCGUAAUAAAGAUUUUUUAUAUUUUAAACGAUAAGUUAACAAUAAGAAAAAAAAAAGGGGCAUAUUAAGAAGAUGCAUCUUCAGGAACUAGCCGCCAGGCAUCCAAUUAAUUGACCUACAGAGAUGAACAAGCAUAAAUUGAUUAAUUACACUUGUGCAUGUUUUCCAGACCAGGCAACAUCUAAAACAUGUAUUCCUUUCAUUUUUUUUUUUUUACAAUAUAUUACUUACUUGCUUUUGUUUUUUCAGUUCUGACGAAGAUUUCAUAAACAAAUAUAAAGUGCAUUACUCGCUUGCCUUUUUUUUUCAGGUAAUUUACUAAUUAGUAACUAUAUUUUUCUUAAUAAUUAGCAAAUAUCAAUUAAUUAUAUUCUAAUUAAUUUCAUCCACUGCAAAUAUGUUUAGCAAGAUGACUUUUGAUUUAAACAAGUUUUUAUUUAUUUUACUGAUAGUACCACUGAAAAUUACUACUAAAUAGGAUUUCCUUUAGUGCAGUUUCGAAGUCAAUUCGUCCAAAUUUUCUGAAGAAGUGCUGCCUUGUCUUUAAUUACUUUAAUUUCAGUUUCAUCAAAUCACUUUUUCGGUUUUCAAUUUGAACAAAUAGAAGAAACUGGUUAAAAAAAAGGUACCAUUUUCCUAAAAAAUUGAUGUGAAGAAGUCAUAGACCAUUUUCACUUCUUUGUUAAUCAGACUUUUAUUUAUUUUACUAAUCGAUAUCUAAAAUAGUUCAUACCUAGUGCAUCCUAUAUAGUACUAGUAAACAGAAUUUCUUAAAUAAAUAAAGGCCGCCAGCAUCACAAGCCAUUGACCAAAGCUAGUAACAUGGCCUCAUCUUAAUGUGCUACUGGCAGAUAGAAUUUCUUAAUGAAGAAAUCACAAGCAAUUGACCAAGCCAAGAAUGAUGGCCUCAUCUUAAUGUAGCCUUAAAACUGUCUCUCUUUCUUUGAUAUUACCCCUUGUUUGGUACAUGGAAAUGCACGGAAUAGAAAGGGUUUCGACCAGAAUAUGUAUCCACCAGGAUGGUAGGGAAAAAAGUUACUAUUCCAGGGUUCGAUAUACAAGUUAGAAUGGAAUAUUUACUCAAUUUCCAAUUUUUGGUAUAAUCCAUUUUUAGAUGUUAGAAUGGAAUAUACUAAAUACAAAUUUGAUUUAAUUACCAUAGAUUAGUUUAUAGGACAUAAUAUAUCUUCUUUUUUUUUUUUGUUUUAUUUGGUCUACAAUAGCAUUUGUCUAUUUACGUGAAAUUUUGAUAUCUUUAUUUAAAAAUAAAUGAGGAUUGAUAUCAAAAUUCUUCAAUUGUAGUGAAGAUUCAAGUUAAAUUUCGUUUAUUACCAAUAUCAAUAGUAGCGUAAAAUGUAAAUUACAUGAAGUUAGACAAUUAUAAUUUAUUUUGAAUCUAUUUUCAAUUUUAAUAUGAGAUUCAAAAAAGAUUCUUGAACAGUUGUUCAAAAAUCAAAGAAUAAAGUAUCUUAAAACAUUUGUUUCCUAGUAUAAAAGAAAAAUAUUAUUCUAAGUACAAGGAAAAUUAAUUAUUACAAUAAUUACAUUCAAAUAUUAAUUGAGUUUAUAAAUAGCUUAAGAUAUGGCGAUGCAGUAGACUUGUGACGAUAAAUUGGAUAUCCAAGGAUGAAGGAGAAAAGAGCUUUCCCUAGAUUUUUUUUUUUUUUUUUUUUGAGGAAUGGGAUUCUAGAAAAAGUUAGAAUGAGCAUUUCAGGAAAAAAGAACUUUUCCACUUAAAUGAAUUAUACCAAACACUGAAAUGGAAUGAACAAGUUGGAAAGGCCUUUCUUUCUUGGUGUAUUUGUGAGGUGCAUUUAUGAGGAAGAAGCUGAAGUAUUCAAGAAGAGUUGGCUUAAUUGUUUAAGUAAUUGAGAAGAUUCUUUGCAGUGUGAAUAACAAAUAAACAUUGAGGGAAAAAAGAAAAAGAAAAAUGCAAAGUAGGAAGAUGCAUUUUCGAGGAAGUAGCCACCAGGCAUAUUCUAAUGCCACCAGCCAGAUUGAAUAAAUGAAAUAGGUAGAUAAAGCAGAAUAAAUUGAUUAAUCAGGGCGACAUUUCAGAUCUGUGUCUCCUGUUGCCAGCCCCUCAAUCAGUUUUAGUUAAAGUCAGCUCUUUUGAGUUCUGUACACUGUGUUACAUUAAUCGCAAUUAUACUAAUCUGAAUCUCACACAGGAAUCGUUAACUCAUCUCUUUCUUGUUCUGGGCUUCUAUUCUGAUUUCUACGAUUUUUUGUCGAAACAUUCCUUCCAUCUCUGAUAUCAGAAACCUGUCGAUCCUAGUUCCAAUUCCAAGCAAGAAACAAUGGCUGACGCUGCUAUCAGUGCUACUGUUAAGGUCGUCUUGGGGACAGUCAUUUCCAUUGCCGCGGACCGUGUUGGUAUGGUUCUCGGGGUCAAAGCGGAGUUGGAGAGACUAGGCAAAACUACUGCAACGAUCCAAGGUUUCCUGGCUGAUGCUGACGAGAAAAUGCAUAGCCAAGGGGUGCGAGGUUGGCUCAAGGAGCUAGAGGAUGAGGUUUUUAAAGCUGAUACCGUGCUAGACGAGCUCAACUACGACAAUCUUCGUCGGGAGGUGAAGUACCGAAAUCAACCAAUGAAGAAGAAGGUAUGCUUCUUCUUCUCCUUCUUUAAUGCAAUUGGCUUUAGUUCCAGCUUAGCUUCAAAGAUCCGGGACAUCAACACCAACCUAGAAAGGAUCAACCAGCGAGCCAAUGAGUUGGGAUUGGUCAUUAAGUACCAAAUUGAAGCUGCACUCCCUGCUGAUGCCGUUGGUGCCAGACAGACCGACUCUAUUGUCAUUCCGAACGUUGUAGGAAGAUCCGGCGACGAGUCAAAGAUUGUGGACAUGUUAUCGAGCCCAUCUGAAAAGGUUCUUUCUGUUAUUCCCAUAACAGGCUCGGGAGGUUUGGGAAAGACAACUCUGGCGAAAUCAGUCUACAAUAAUCCAAAAAUAGAUGGGCACUUUGGCCAAAAAAUUUGGGUUUGUGUGGCUAAAGAACACAUUAAGAUAAUGGAGCUGUUCAAGCUCAUUUUAGUACAAUUGACACAAGACGAAGUUAAAGUGGAUGACAGAGAGGUUAUCGUUAAAAAAAUUGGAGAAAAGCUCAAGGGACAAAGAUAUUUCCUUGUUCUUGAUGAUGUGUGGGAUCAUGAUCAAGGAUUGUGGGAUGACUGUUUCAACACUUUGAUGGGACUCAACGAAACCAAAGGAAGCUGGUGUCUUCUCACCACUCGUCGGGUACCAGUGGCUGAUGUUGUAUCUACACAUUUGAAGAUGAAUAGCGGUCCUUAUUUCUUAGGAAAGCUAUCACGUGAUGAGUGCUGGUCCAUCAUAAAAGGAAAGGUGAUGAGUGCAGGGGAAGAAGUACCAGAAGAAUUGGAAGCAUUGAAGAAGCAAAUUUUAGGGAGAUGCGAUGGCCUACCCUUGGCAGCAAAGUUAAUUGGAAGUUUGUUGCUUAACAGUGGAAAAGAGGAGUGGCAAUCUAUUGUGGAAGAGGGUCUCAUUGUGGAAGAGAGUCUUUUGAAUGAAUAUCAAAGCCAAAUUAAUCAAAUACUUAAGGUGAGCUUUGAUCAUUUAUCACCUGCAUCAGUUAAGAAAUGUUUUGCAUAUUGCUCGAUUUUUCCCCAGGACACUGAAUUGGGGGAAGAUGAACUAAUUCAGCACUGGGUUGCUAAAGGUUUUGUUCUACCAGAUCAGAAAAAUAAUAGAGUGAUGGAGGAAACAGGAGGCAAGUAUUUGAGGAUUUUGUUGCAAAAUUCCUUGCUGGAAAAAGUCGAAGAGUCGUGGAGAACGUACUAUAAAAUGCACGAUCUCGUGCAUGAUUUUGCAAAAUCAAUUCUUAAUCCAGAAAGCAGCAAUCAGGAUCGCUACCUUGCAUUGGACUCUUCUAAAGGUUUGGAAGAAAAUACCAUAAGGACAAUACCAGCAUCAAUUCGCACGUUAUUUCUCCAUGUAGAGGGUGGCGUAUCUACUGACAUGAACAUGCUUUUAAGAUUCAAGUGCUUGAAUGUUCUCAGAUUGUCCGGCGAUGAUGUCAAGUUUCUACCGAGCUCCAUUGGCAAACUACUACAUUUGCGGUUGCUCGACAUUUCAUCUUCUAGAAUCAGAAGUUUGCCGGAAUCUCUUUGCAAGCUAUAUAAUUUGCAGACACUAACUAUGAGAUAUGGUGAAUUUGAAGGAGGUUUUCCAAAACGGAUGAGGGAUUUGAUUAGCUUGCGACAUCUAAACUACUAUCAUCGUCGUGCAGAAUUUAAAAUGCCAAUGCAGAUGGGACGAUUGACUUGUCUUCAAACUCUAGAGUUCUUUAAUGUAAGUCAGGAGGAGGGUUGUGGUAUCGAAGAGCUUGGGACCUUGAAAUAUCUGAAAGGAUCGUUGAGGAUAAGAAAUCUUGGACUAGUGAAGGGCAAAGAAGCAGCUAAACAAGCAAAAUUGUUCGAAAAGCCAGAUCUGUCUCGCUUGCUGUUUGAAUGGAAGAGUGGGGAUCGGGAAAGCGAUAACCGUGAGGAGGAUGUGUUGGAAGGUCUCCAACCUCACCCAAAUUUGGAAAUGUUGGAAAUUCAAUAUUUCAUGGGUAAUAAAUUUCCACAAUGGCUUAUCAAUUUGUCAAAAUUGGAGACAUUGUGGAUAGAAAACUGCAAGAGAUGCAGUGAACUCCCCUCAUUAGGACAACUGCCAGUCCUCAAACAUCUCCAUUUGGAGGGAUUGGACAACAUUCGAUUUAUUGGAGAUGAAUUCUACGGUAUUACUGCUAAUGAGGAGGAGGAGGAGGAGGGCAGAUCACGAGCAUCAGGGAGCAGCACUAGAAGACGCAAAUUCUUUCCUGCCCUUGAAGAACUCUGGGUAGAAGAUAUGGGGAAUUUGGUAGAGUGGAAAGGUGCAGACCAAGUGAGGUUAACAGUAGGUGAAGCAGAAGCAGAUGCCCUUCCCAUGCUGAGGAAUUUUAACAUUCAAAAUUGCCCACAACUGACCACUCUUUCAUGCUCGUGUAAAGGCCUAUACGUGAGGAGUUGCCAUAAUCUAACAAGUAUAAAAACCGGUUACGACACUGCUUCUGUUGAGGAGUUGAGGAUCCACUCUUGCGACAAUCUUAGGGAGCUGCCAGAUCUGGAUCUGUUUGGAUCGAGUUUGCGGCGGUUGACGAUCGAAAGGUGCCCAAGAUUAAUUAGUCUAGGAGUAAAUGGACAGAAAUGCCCCCUUUUACGAUGCCUUGAGGAAUUGAGUAUUGAUGAUUGCGAAGGGUUGACCACUAUAUCCGCCAAAAUGUUCCAGUCAUGCCGGUCUCUGCGGUCCCUGUCGGUGAAGUGUUGUCCCAAUCUGGUAUCAUUUUCGCUUAAUUUGCAGGAGACGCCUUCUCUCGAGAAAUUCGUCUUAGACACCUGUCCCAAAUUGAUCCCUCAUAGUUUGAAAGGAUUUGCUUUUGCCACCAGCUUAAGAGAAUUGAGCAUCAACAGUCCCUUCUCCUCAGAUGACUCCUCAGUCGAUGAUUUUGAUUGGUCUGGUUUAAGAUCUGCAUCAACACUCCGUGAGCUUCGAUUAGAAGGGUUACCUCACACGGAGUCCCUGCCACACCAGCUUCAAUACUUGACUACCCUCACUUCACUAAGUCUGGACAACUUUGGAGGAAUAGAAGUGCUACCGGAUUGGAUUGGAAACCUUGUGUCCCUUGAAACCCUAGAGCUAUGGGAUUGCGACAAGCUUCGAUCUUUACCAUCCGAGGCUGCCAUGCGACGACUCACAAAGUUAAAUCAUGUUGAAGUUUAUUGGUGUCCUCUGUUAAGACAACGAUACACUCCCCAAAGAGGCGUCCACUUGAAGGAGUAUAUUUCAAGUGAUCUGGUGAGAUUUUCCUAUCUAAAGCUCACACUUGUUACCUUCUAUUUGGCCAAGCAUGAAAUUAUUAGCAACGGUGCAUACACAAUUAGAGCCUCUCUGUUUGAAUGUGUUAGCAAAUGUUUCAUUGGAUGUGCAAUGCUAGAUGUACAUGCAAGCAUUCGUCAUUUUUUUGUCACUGAUAUUGCCAGUCUGAAUGGACGACAUUAAAGCUAAUCAAGAAAUAGUUGUGAAGAAAAUUUGCUGUUCUUUGGGACUCUAUGUUCUUAUUGCCAUGAAAUUAUAUCAGUCUCCUUGAAGUUCAAAUAUGUUUGUUGAGGAACUAGAGUGCUGCAAACCUUCACCCCUUACAAUUGCUGAUGCAUGCUUCAUAAGAAUGACAAUAAUAUGGGAUGGUUGUUUAUCAUCUUCCACAAGUUCGUACAUUUGCUUUUUUGUUUUGUGAGCUGAAUUACUGUAUUGUUACCUUGUAGACAAGUGGUGACAGCGAACAAGAAGGCAAUAAUGGUGCUCAAACAUCAGUCUCAUGUUGUUUCCCAUCGUUGCUGAAGAAGGAGAAACCAGGAGGUAUGAUGGUUCUCAAACAUCAGCUUCUCUCCCCAAUAACUCUUUUAAACCUCCACCCAAUUUAUUAAAAAUACAAGGGAAUUGGUGCAAGUUUUUAUCAAAGUAUGCUUGAGUGAAAACAGGGUGUUUUUCUGCACUUUCAUGUACUUUGAACUUUUGUCCUAUGCUAUAUAGCUUAGUUUUUAAUCUUUAAGAUUGUACAUUUACUAGGUGCCUAACAUGUCAUUUGAUUGUGAAAGACGCUGGUUUUUUCCAUUUUCUUGUACUGGUUACUAGACCAUGCCUUUUCUUUGCAUUCCUUAGCUGUCAUAACUAAAUUCAUACUGAAAUGUAACAUUACGAUGGUAUUUUCCAGAGUCUUAGAAAGCAGACCUCAUGUUGUUGGACAAAGACACCACCCUUUGCUGUUGCAUUUCUUACAAGAUUGCCAGGGGCCAGAAGUUAUUUUCGCUCAUUAGACAGGUUUGAAGAUGAAGUUAGCAAUCAAUGAUGAGAAUUUUGCACAUCAGAGAGCGCUAGCUUUGAUGGAGGCUUCGCCAAUAGGUGGUUCUCCCCAGGUCUCCCAAACAUAAUUUUUUACUCAUCUCCUGCUCGGGCUGCAGAAAGAAAGGUAAUAAUUUAGCUUGUUCAUCUUCAGGGCAGUUUUGAUAGUUUUUAUCUGCAUUCUUGAUAUGUAUUUUGUAAAUCAAUUACCAAAACUUCUUUUUUCCCUUUGGUGUAACAUGCUGAUUGCUGAACAAAUUGAAAGAGACCAAAAUUCUGUGUUUUCUCUGCCUCUCUGAACUACUGAAAGAUUGAAACAUCUUAAAUCUCUUUAAGUGCAACUUGUUACAUUCUAUUUGGCCGAGCACAAAUUUAUUAGCAAUGGUUCACAUCCAAUUAGCCUCUUCGUUUGAAUGUGGUACAAAAUGUUUCAUUUGAUUUGCAAUGCUAGAUGUACAUGGACACAUUCUUAAUUUUUCUGUCACUGAUAUUGCCAGUCUCAAUGGAUAACAUUAAAGCUAGUUGAGAAAUGAUUUUCACAGAAAACUCAUGAUACAAUUUGCUGUUCUUUGGAACUGUGUACUUAUUGCCAUAAAAUUAGAUCAGUCUAAUUGAACUUCAAAUAUGUAUGUGGAGGAACUAGAGUCCUGUGAACAUUCACCCCUUAUAAUUGAUACUGCAUGCUUCAUAUCAAUGACAAUAAUGUCUUUUUCUUUUCAAUGACAAAAAUGUUGGAUAAUUGUUUAUCAUCUUUCACAAGUUUGGAAAGUUUAUAAGUCACAAUUGCCUUGAUUUUCUGUUCAGUGAUCUGGAUUACUGUAUUGUAACCUUGCAGAUGAAAAAUGCAAGGAAUGAUGGUGCUCAAAUAUCAGCUUCAUGUUGUUUCCCAUUGCUGCUGAAGAAGAAGAGCUCAGGAGGUAUGUGGUGCACAAAAGUGAUAAUGCAGCACUUCUCUCCCCAAGAACUAUAAGUUUGCAUUCUGGUAUGCUUAAGUCAUGUAAUUGGCAAGAAAACAGUGUGUUUUUCUGCACUUUUAUUUGUUGUUGAAUGUUUACCCUGUGCCACAUAGCUUAUCUUUUGCUCUUGAAGAUUUUUAUGUUUAUUUGGUGCUUAACAUGUGUUGUGAUUGUGAAAGAAUCUGGAACCUGUUCUGAAAUGUAUUAAUAUGAUGUUUAUUCCAGAGUCUUAGGAAGCAGACCUCGUGUUAUUGGACAAAGGACACCACCGUUUGCCGUUGCGUUUCUGACUAGAGUGCCAAGGGACAGAAGUUAUUUUCAUUAACCAGACAGGGUUUGAAGGUAAUAAUUUAGCUUGUACGUCCUUAGGGCAGUUUUAAUAAUUUCUGAUCUGCUUUCUUGAUAUGUAUUUAGUAAAUCAAUUACCAAAACUUUUUUUAUUUCUUUUGCUGAUUGCUGAACUGAAAAUGGCUAGUAACAGGCUUGUAGAGUGUGACAUGGAUGAAGAACAAAGAGAGGGGAGCAUCAUCCGAGCAUGGAAGCUGAUACUGGAGACCUAUCAAGGUGCGCAGCUGAUUUUAGGCAAAUUAGACUGAUGGACUUGUUGGUAAAGAAGUUGGAUGUUUGUGACAGUAGAGACAAUAAAUUGGAUAAACAAUCAAUUUGGAGCAGUGAGAGAAAUGCAGAUACAAGAAGUCUUGAUUUGUACAAAGGUCCAAGGAAGAGGAGGGAAAACGUUCUUUUCAGUAGAUGUGUGCAUAUUUUGUGAAGAAUUAACACACUUUAAAAGCUGGCAUUUCAUACUUUUGGUGUAUCAGAAUGUGACAAGUCCUGAUAGUACGUUUUCUUCAUCUUUUACAGUGAGUAAAAGUAUGUCUAGAGACCAUAUUUGUAAGAUUUCCUACCCCUUUUUUAGUUUGGCAUUUGAUGGAGAGAAUUUAGAACUCUUAUUACUUUUCCUCUUCAAGUAAUCAUUUUUUGUUAUCUCUGUCGGCUUGUCAAUAUCACCUGAUACUGCGAAACUGCUUAAUCCAGUGGUUUGUUAAUUAGCCACCCAUGCUUUGGGUUCACAAACAAAUCAUAACAGUAAAGUCUAAAUGAUGAUCUUAUUGUUAAAGGCUUUUAUAUAAAAAUAGGUACCUAAUACAAGUGAAACAACGACUAACAUUAUUUGUACUAAUUCUAGAUUCGUGAGAUCUGCAUGCCCAUCAAACAUUCUACUUGGUACAUUUUAUGAAAUUUUCAUCAGUAUUGAGUAAAUUAGUCAUCCUCUUUCCAAAAUUUUAAAUUAAACUGCAAUAUCUAAUAUUAGGUCGUAUUAUAAAUUUUCUCCUUUCUAGUUCUCCUGUGCCGCCAUUGAAGUUCAACAAAAAUGUCAUACAGUUCUAACAAAGAGUUGCCAACAAUUGAACUUGGUACUGACUAUUGACUUGGUAAAACUUACUGUUAAACUAAGUAUUUGUACAAAAAUUUUUAUUUUCGUCUCUUGUUUCAAGCAAAGUAGGGAGAGAUGACCAAUCCAUAGCGCUCUUAUUCGAUAGAGGAGAACGAGAGACUUUUCUUUAAGUUGGACAGGUUUCAAGUGAACCAACUACUACUAGAAUAUUUGGGCACCAAAGAUAGGCUUAAUGCUCUCUCUGGUUGUAGAUCAAAAGAUCAAAUUUCUUGAUUUGCAUUCUUCUUUGUAGAAUUUCUUGAAAAUUUCAUCAGCCGAUACAUAAGUAUUUGUCUAAUCUCGUGGCAGUUCAGUCUCCUUUAAGUGCUUCAUUGAUCGUUUUGGGUCCAUCCCAUCGUCCUAAUGUAAAGUAGGAAUAGGUAUAGAAUAAGAUUUGUCCAGUCAACAAAAAAAAAAAAGGGACAGGUUUCAACUUAAAACCAAUGAGUCCAUUAGGCUACAAUAUUUGCAAAAAUAAAUAAAUAAACAUUGUUUAAUUUCAUAAAUAUAACUUUUAACCAUUUUUUUUAUCUUAUGUAUGUCAUACCAUUAAAAGUACUACAAUGCUAUAAUUCCAUUAGGCUACAAUAUUUGUAAAAAAAAAAAUUUUUUUUAUUUAACUUCAUAAAUAUAACUUUUAACCUUUUUUAUCUUACAUAUAUCAUACUAUUAAAAGUGCUACAAUGCUAUAAUUCGUUAUUGAUUCUUUGGACUACGAAAUUCUUUUCUCAUGUUUGCUCAGAAAUGAGAAAUGAGACAUUAGUCUUCAUUCUUCAGUUGAACUUAGAUGUUUUAGACUUUUAGUGAAGCAUUUCUUUCAGGUAAAAUAAAUUUCACUAAUGCAUUUAAAUAAUUAUAGAAAACUACUGUUCUCUUGAAUUUAGAUCAUAAAAUAUUUAAAGGUCAAUAUGGGACAUGAGACUUUAGUCAUUUGAACUUCAACGUUUUAAACUUUUAGUGAAGCAUUUCUUUCAAGUAAAAUAAAUUUCAGUAAAGCAUUCAAAUAAUUAUAGAAAACUAUUGUUCACUUGAAUUUGGAUCAUAAAAUAUUUAAAGGUCAAUAUGAGACAUGAGACUUUAGUCUUCAUUCUUUAGUUGAACUUAGAUGUUUUAGACUUUUAGUGAAGCAUUUCUUUCAGGUAAAAUAAAUUUCACUAAAGCAUUUAAUUAAUUAUAGAAAACUAUUGUUCUCCUGAAUUUUUUUUUCCGUAAUGGCACAUUUAGCUUAAUUUAACCUACUCCUACUUCUAGUCCUACUCUAGGAGGAAGGAGGAGUGGCCCAACAGAACUGAGAGAACCGACGGGGACUGAACUACCGUUGCACCAGAUGAGUGCACCACGCACCCGUCUAGAUUUAGAAGAAACUACAUAUAGUGGCACAUUGAUGAGAGGUAAAAUUUGAAUCUUUGAUCAUCCAAUGCACAAUUCAUGUGAUGGCCAACUCCUCUAGAGUAAGUUGGUAAUUGUUCUCUUGAAUUUGGAUCAUAAAAUAUUUAAAGGUUAAAUAUAUUGAUUCCUUUGUUGUCAAACCUCAAAGUAAUUAUCAAAGAAACUUUUGCAAUAAUAUCAUACCAAAAGAUUCAUAAUCCAUGCUAUAUUGCAUUUUGGAAAUGAUACCUUCCCAGUCCUACCAAAAUCACAAUACUAUAGUACAUAUAAUCAGUUAACUUGGUCUUCGUGAAGUACAUAUAGUCUGUGUUCGACCCAUUUCUUUGACAAAAAUAAAAAACAAAAAUGAUACUAGUAAAAGAAAUGACCAUAUGGUCAAAACAGUAAUAAUGCUAGAUUCAAACGUAUGAAAUCCUUCGUGGACUAAAUUGCAAAUACCCUUGUCCCUUGACAGACCGAUACUUCCUUAUUUACAAAGGAUUCAAUUCCGCAAUUACUUCAGCUGAAUUCGAGUAGCUUUAUGAAUUUUCAAAUCAAACUCAAGAAUAAUAAUUGUCUAUUCAAAAUCAAUGUUAUAAAACCUAGUCCAAAUUGGCUGGUCGGCCUUCUUUUUGGUAUUGGUUUGGUUAAAAAACCAAUUAGUAUCAAUUUAUAGUUAAACCAGUUGAACCGUCCAGUUGAGCCAGCCAAAGCAAGAACAAAGCGUAUAUUAUUGAAAUUUUCAUCAGUAUUGAGUAAAUUAGUCAUCCUCUUUCCAAAAUUUUAAAUUAGACUAUUGUAUUCAAUAUUGUGGUCGUAUUAUAAUUUUUCUCUUCUCUAAUUCUCCUAUGCUGCCAUUGAAGUUUAACAAAAAUGUCAUACAAUUCUAACAACUAGAGUUGUCAACAAUUGAACUUGGUACUGACUAGUGUUAUUUUUUUGGUCAAAGAUAACAGUAGCAUUAUUCUCAAAGAUAUGUGUAAAUUCCAUCUUAUCUUGCUAAUAUCAAGAGCCUAAUCUUCAAAAAAAAAAAACUUACUAAAGCCGUUAAAUUAAGUAUUUGUACUAAGAUUUUUAUUUUCCUCUUUCUUUCAAGUAAGGUGGGGAGAGAUGAGCAAUCCAUAGCAUUCUUCAAUUUUCGAUUUAGAAAAUAGGAGUGUUUUCGUUAAGGGUGUGUUUGAUAAAAUUGAAACUUGAAUGAAAUCUGAGGUCUAAAUUUAAAUCCAUUAAUUACUAAAUUGUUAAAUACUAAAUUUGAUACAUUUAAGUGUAUAUCACAUUAAGUGAUAUUCACUUAUCACUUAUUUUUUAGAACAAGUUUUGCAUAGGAAAUUCAUUGCCACUUAAUUAAUCCAUAUGUUUUAGUGUUAGUUAUCGGACGCAUCUGAACAUAAUAAGCUAUGAAUCCAUUAAAUUUAAGUGUUAAAUUGGGUUAUCAAACAGAAUCCAAGUUUAACAGAAUUUCAACUAAAAAUCAAUAGGUUCGUUGAGCUAACAUAAUUAGCUAAUAAUAAUUUCAGAUAUUGUUCUGAGAAAUGAGACAUGAGCCUGUAGUCUUCAUUCUCCAGUUGAACUUAGACGUUUUAGACUUUUAGUGGAGCACUUCUUUCCAGUAAAAAUAAAUUUCACUAAAGCAUUUAAAUAAUUAUAGAAAACUAUUGCUCUCUUGAAUUUGGAUCAUAAAAUAUUUAGCGGUCAAACAUAUUGAUUCCUAUGUUGUUGAACCUCUCAGUAAUUAUCGAAGAACCUUUUGCAAUGAUAUCCUGGCAAGAGAUUCAUAAUCCAUGCUAUAUUGCAUGUUGAAAAUCAUACAAAAAAACCUUGCCCAAUCCUACAAAAAUCACAAUACUGUAGUACAUAUAAUCAGUUAACUUCUGGUGUUCGUGGAGUACAACUGUUUGACCCAUUUCUUUAGCCCAAGAUAAAAUUUAUAAGUAGCGAAAGAAAUGACCAUAUGAACAAAACAUUAGGGAAAAAUACACUUUACCCUCAUGUAAUUUAGCACUUUUUCGCAUAAUCUCCCAUAUAGUUUUAAAAGCUAUACAUAACACCUCAUGAUUUGGAUUAAAGUACCAAAAUGACGGAAUUUGUAUUCUAUAAUGGAGUCAACUAAAAUAUCAACAGUACCCCUAUGUAAAGUUGAAAAUUAUUUAUUCACCACGAGAGUUUAUAUAUAUAUUUUAAAAAUCAUAAAGGGAUUAUAUGGUAAAUCACUAAAUCAUAAAGGAGUUAUAUGAUAAACCAUAAAAUCAUACGAGGUUAAAGUAUCAUACAUAUUAUGUUUAUAUAUUUUGGUCACUUCAACCAAUUUAGUUUUUAAACAAGAGUAAUUUCAACAUUUUCAUGGAUUCCAUUACAAAUGAUCAUUUCUGUUACUUUAACACUUUAAUUUAAACUAUGAGAGAGUAAUAUAUAACUUUUGAAACUAUAAAGGGAUUAUAUAAAAUAUUACUAAAUCACAAGGGGUAAGUGCGUUUUACCCAAAACAUUAAUACUAGAUUCAAACUAAUGAAAUCCUCCAUGGAUUGAAAUUGCAAAAACCCUUUUCCCUUGGCAAGCCGGGACUUUCUCAUUUACAAAGGAUUCAAUUCCACAAUUGCUUAACUCAGAGCUGAAAUCGUGUUGCUCCAUGAACUUUCAAAUCAAACUCGAGAACGAUACCGCCUACUCAAAACCAUUAAAACUAUGUUGAACUGAGUUUGAGGCAAGGACUGUUGCAGGAGGCAACUCUCCAGAAUGCUUGACCGUCAUGAUUUGGUUAAAAAAAAUGUUAGGAUCAAAUAACAUCUUGUAAAUCAAUUUUAACACCAUAUAUGAGAUCCACAAAAUUUUAUUCUAUGUUUAUAAGUUGUUGAAAAUAAGUUACAUUCUAAAUAAAAUGAGUUACAUCCUGUGCAAAUGAAACAAAAUUGAUCCAAAUAAUUUUUCUGACACCCUUUUGGACCCCUGGUCCAUGGUGAACUUAUUACAAUACAUAGAGACCUUCUCUUAUAGACUAUAUAUCAGUGUACACCAUUACACUAAUAAUUGAGUCUUGCUUGUGAGGCUAGCAACAGUGGUCCACAAUAGACCUUUCAUAAGACAUACUUGGUUUCUAAAAUAUCCUUCGCAUUUCGUUAAAUAAAGUAUUUCAUCAUUCACUUUUAAAAUGAUAAUUUUACAUUUUAUUCAAAAUCAAAUCAGUAAAAUUUGGUUCCAAUCUAGAUUUUUUACUACCUUUUAUCCUAAAUCCAUCAUGUGACCCAUAUGUAGAGCUGACCAAAAAACUCAAAACCCAACAACCCAUCCAACUUGCCCAUUAAUUUUAAAGGAUGGAUUGGGUCGACUGGGUCAUGGGUUUUAUUGGUUUGGGUAAGAACCAUCCAACUUUUUUUUUGGUAAGCCGAAACAUGCCCCGACCUGAGCCCUUUGGACCCGAGCCGGCACACCAAACCGGAGGGAAGCCGACAGCCCCAUACAGCUUUCCCGAGCGAGUCAAGAUGUGCGACGCAGCGGGCACGAUUCGAACCCUGGUCAGUAGGGAAGCCAGCAAUACAAGGCCGACCCCUCAACCGCUGUGCGAUAUGCCCUGGGGGCAACCACCCAACUUUUAUUUGGGCACCCAACCCAACUUGUUUAAAAGUAAUUUAAAAUAAUAAAUACAAGAUUCAAUACACAUAUGCCCAACUACUUGCAUUUGGACAUGUGUUAAUAAUUCAUUGACCAGUUUGUAUUCAAAAUUCUCAUAUAUAUGUUUUCAAUCAAUUUUUUUAAUUUUAUUUGAAAGAAAAAAAAAACUUGAAAUUAAAACUCAUGCUUGUUUUACUUUUAUAAUAGUAGUUAAACUUGCUCAACUUCUACAAUAAUUUAUUAUGCCUUUUAAGAGUGUGUUGUUUUCCUCCCCCUUUUUCCCUUUUUUUUGUGGUUGUUCUCAAGUUGCUACUUGCUUUUGUUUGUCAAUAUUUCAUGUACAUAGAAUAGAGUUUUAAAUUUGUUCUAAUUGCAUUCUUUUUUAAUAUUUUGUGAUUGCUUUUGUUUGUUAAAAUUUUGUGUACGUAUAAUACUAUACAAAUUUCUUUUUUAACCUUUUUAGCAUUAUAUAAUUUUGGAUUCUUCAAAUUUACAAACAAAAGCUUACUUUGUAUCAGCCUAAUAUUCUGCUAAUUCAAAAUCAUGCGAUCCCAAUGUGGUAAAAAUGUCACAACAGUUCAUGAAUUCUUCUCUCAUUUAUUUCUUAAAAAGUUUGGGAUUUUCCUUAAUAAUUUUUUCGGGGAUCAAUACCAAUACCUUUUAUAAGCAUAUAAUAUUUUCUGCUUUAUGUCAGAGCCGUGGUAAUUCUAAAAGAUUAAUAUGACCAUAGCAUCAAGUAUGAUCCUAAAUGGUUCUAAUUAAUUAGGUGAUGAAUUAUCUAAUUGUAUCAAAUCAAUGAAAAAAUACCUUCUAUAUAGAUCAUGAUAUUAACUUCGAAUCAAUAUAGUUGACUUGCAAAUUCUAUUUUGUUUUGAUUAACUAUGGCUAGUCCAACGAUUGAUUUCAUUUCGUCUGAAGCAAAUACCUCCAAUAUUCUUCAAUUUCAUGAGAAGCUUCAUUUCGUACCUAGGAUUUAUUAAAUGGAUCUAAAUGGAUCGGAUAAAUUUCAUCCACCAUCCAUUAAGUCAAAACCAAUUAUGAAUCAUUUAUCCAUAUUACCACCUCUACUUAUAUUCUUUUCAAGUGGUUUACUUGAAUUUGUUUAGUAAGAUUGAAUCCAGAUAGAGGAUGAACUACAUUCAACACAGGAUAUGGUAUUAAUGAGUCAGUCGGUGGCGUUGAAUUAGAGUAAACUAAAAUUAAGAAAAGACUUCACUUAAAAAGUAUCAAUAGACUUUGUUUUGGCAAACCUUAGGAGAGAUAAAUGUAGUUGAUCGAACAUGAUUAGAAUAAUAUACCAUCCAAAUCUAUUUUCAGUUGAGGAACCACAUAUGUUACAUUUAUGCAUUCAAAUCUACCAAUUGUGAUGCUUUAACAGCACCUUCUUGAUUAUGUAAAUAUUUUUCUAAUUUUUUUUAUGCUUUGAGGGAUAAUUUCUAAAAUUUAGUUUUUUUAAGAGUAAAAUGUCCUUUUUUUUUUAAAUAUAAAUUCUAGCCAUAUAUAGAUAUGUGAGUUUGCUUUAGUAAUAUAGCGAUUUAGAUUUCUUUCGUUAGAAUACAUUGACAAUGAAUUUCAAUGAUUUUCUUAUAAUCCCAUUCAUGAAUAGACUUCUAAUUAUUCCUUGGGCUAUUUACAUAAUACUAACAUUGAGUGAUUCUUGCAAUAUUGCUCAUAAGAGGGACAAAGUCAAUAUGACUCUCUACCUUGAAAGUUAAUUUGUUUGAACUUCAAGUUAAUAUUGUAAGCAAAGGAUAAAAUUAGCGUGAAAAGUAUAUUAGUCUGUAUUUGAGGCUUACAAUGUUUUAGCAAAUGCUUGGUAAUCCCCUUACUAAUCAAAUUCGAUGAUAAAUUACUAAUUGAUUUUCUAGAUAAAGUCACCAUAUCCUUUACUUAAGCAUUAAGAGAUGAGGCAAUCCUAUCAAUGGAGAAGACCUUAGAAUAGUUGGUGAGGUGGUAAGGAGCUUUUCCUAAUUUUUCCUUAAUAAGAUUUUUAUUCCUAUCUUUUCUCAAAAUAAAUUUUUUAGCUUUAGUAGCCUGGCUAUUUGAAACAUUUGCAAGUGAAGCUCCAUGAAAACUGCGUUAGAGUUUGCUUAUUCGAGAUAAGGCAAGUGAAAAUGCCAAGCAACUUCCAGUGCAAAAGCAUUCAACUAUGCCAACGAAGCAUUGCACUUCUACACGGAUUGAGGGCUCACAAUUGGUCACACCAUUAUCCUUUUUUUGUCAUGAGAACAUAAUACUAGAAAUAUGCAUAUGAAAUAUUUCACUUAUUAUGGCAAUUAUACACCUUCAAUGCAACGCAUGUAGAAUUUAAACAUUAGUUUAUGUUGUAAUGAAUAUGUAAAUAAGAGUUACAUUAUGGCUAAUCUUUGCCAUAGAGCAUCUCAAGCAAACAGGCCUAAUAAUUGUUAAGGCACUUUUUAUCUAUUCAAUGAGAUUGAAACAAAUGCACCGUUCAAGUUAUUCUUUGUCAAAAGUCGUCAGUCAAGCACUUCAGCAAAAAACAAGAGAGGUGUAAUUGUUCACGCCCCGUUCUUGAUAAGAUGGAAGCAAAUGCAUCAUUCAAAGUUAUUCUUGUCCAAAAUGCAUUCAUCAUUUUUAAAAGGCUCCAUGAAAGUGAGCUCAACGUUCUUGGUCGUGUGUAAGUUUAAAAGUACUUCAUAUGUCAAGAUACUAUUGAUUCUUAUUUUCUCUUUAAAAAAUAAAAGUUCAAGUAAUUUGACAUCACAAGCCCGAUUACUGAGACACAAAGGCAAGUAUAAGUGUUUUACAUGUUUUUCAAAUUAAGAAUAUGUUAUACAUCCCCCAACAAAUCUUAAAAGAAAAAAAAACUUCCUUUCUUGCUUGAAAAAUUGCAUUGUAACGCGUUCUAUUGUUGGGCCAAUUAAGCCUCAUGAACGAGAUACGGAGGUCAUUGUCUACGAGUAAAUUUCCAAAUUCGGCUGCCUUUUGAAGCUAGUUUGUAAAACGUAAAAGUUUUUAAACAAAGAACGCAUUUACUAUAUCCAUUGUUUAAAAAUUUAGAAAAAAAAAUAUAGUUUUACUCCUUAUUGUUUAGUCUCUGUACAGUUUUUGAUCUUAAAGUUUUAGCAAAAGUAAAUCUAGUCGUUAAUGUAUAGUAUAUGUACAGUUUUAGCCCUCCGGGGAUUGGUCUGGUGGUUGAGGUUGCUGAAGAUGGAGACUUAGGUCCCUGGUUCGAACCUUGCUGCCAGCAAGUUGUGGAGGGUAGGGAAUAGUCUGCGGGACUCACUCCCUCUGGGACACCCCUAAAAAAAAAGUAUAGUAUAUGUACAAUUUUAGUCUCUAAAGUUUUGGCAAGAGCAAUCCGAUUUUCAAUGUCACCAAUUUGAAGCAUUUUAAGGACCAUUGCUAAAUUUUUCUAAAUAUUAAUCAAAUCAGUCACGUGCAAUCACAUGUUUGUUAAAAAAAAACCUUCUUAAAAGAGAAUCAAAAUAAUGAGUAAUCUUUAACAAUAAGAAUAACUUGCAUGCUAACACAUUAGUAACAAAUUACUCAAGAAAAAAAGAAAGAAAAUUUGUUAAUCUAUACUAAAAAUUAGGAAUCACAUUUUUUUUACUUGGAGACACUAGAGAUAGUUAGUGAACAUGAAUUCUAGAUCAAUGAACUUGGUAUAUUGAAGUUUGAGUUUAAAAAUUUUCCUUCUUUUUAUUGGUUAAAUAGUUAACAAAUAAGUUAUUAGUUCUUAAUUUUAUUGUUUAAAGUUAGCUACUAUUUUUCUUCUUUAUUUUGAAAUUUAAUUUAAUAGGCAAUUGAUCAGACAUGACUAAAUUUUGUUAGUAAUUGAGAUAAAAUUCUUCAAAUGUCCUAAAUCAGCUUUAAAUUGAAUAUAAAGGGGACCAGAUUUGCUCUUGCUAUAACUUUAUGGACUUAAACUACACAUGUACUAAAUAUUGAGGAUCAUGAUUGUUUUUGUUAAAACUAUAAGGACUAAAACUGCAUAUGGACUAAACAUUAAGAAUUAAAACUACAUUUUCUAUUUAUGCCUACAAAGAAUGAAAAGUGGCAUUCAGCAAAUGCAACUUUUUAAUAAUUAGGAUUGGUUCAAUGGUUAAGAAAGGACUCUUAAAAUUUUCCUCGCUGUCAAAUUUAGGAUUUGAAUCCUGUGCCGAAUAAUUUAGAGUAGGAAGUGUGUGGGAAUGAGUGGAAGGAUUAAAAGAAAGGGCAAGCAUUCAGAUCUUUUCAGAUUAAAGGGCUCCAGCAUUUACUCGAUAAAGAUGAAGGCCCCAGCAACAAAGAAUGAUUAAGAAAACUCAGGUGAAAAUGCCAAUCAACUUCCAAUGCAGAAGCAUCCAAUUCCAAGGUCGCCGACAAAGCAUUGCAAUUCUACACGACCGGAGGACUCUCAUUUGGUCACAUCAUGAAAUUUUUUUUUUCUCCUUGUGAAUAGAACAUAAUACCAGAAGUUGAGAUGGAGCCUAGAUUUGCUAAGAUAUAUGCAAUAUGAAAUAUCUCCUUCAUUGUGGUAAUUGUACACCUUCAAUGCAAUGACUGUACAAUUUAAACACGAGUUUGUGUUGUAAUGAAUAUGCCAAAAAAAAAAAAAGUUACGUUAUGGUUAAAAAUUUUUGCCAUAAAUUGUCUCAAGCAAUUACGCCCAAUAAUUGUUAAGGCACUUUUUUUAUCUAUUCAAUGAGAUUGACAGAAAUGCACCGUUUAAGAUAUUCUCUGUCAAAAUUCAUUGGCCAAACAUUUUAGCAAAAACAAGAAAUUUGGAUGUCUUGAGGCUGUUUUUUUUUUUUUUUAUAACAUUGAAGCAAAUGCAUCAUUGUUAUUCUUUGCCAAAUUUCGUCCAUCAAUUUUUUUUUUCUCUAUUAAAAGAUAGUGUGACAAUGGCACAUCAAUCUCCCCUCAAAGUGAACCCCAUAUCCUUGGUGGUGUAAAACAAGUGGUUGAACUUUAGGGAUUAUUUGGCAAGCAAGUUUUUGGUCCAAUUUGUCUAUUAUAAAUUUUUUUAACAACUUUAGCUACAGUAAUCUCAAAAAAUUUUUCAAAAUUUUUAAACUAUACACUUCAAAAUAUCCAAAAAUUUACACACUUUAAAAAUUUUUUCUACAACUUCUACAAUAAGUUACAGUAAAGUUUUAGACAAAUACCUAAAAAACUUUACUUGACAAAUGGGUCUUAAUUUUCAAAACCAAUACAACAUGAACCACACAAGUACACUGUGUACUUUUACUAUUGACAUGAGUAUCAAGGUUGGUUAUUGUAACAUCUGAUAUAUGUAUAUAUGUGUGUGUAUAUAUAAAGUUGCAUUUAAUAAAACUGAUGUUUGAAAACUGAAAACUGCAAUUUGAAAUUUGAAAUCUAAAGUUUGAAUCUAUUAAAUAAAACACGUUUAAGUGUAUAUCACAUUCAGUGAUAAGUGAAUAACUUAUCACUUAUUUUUGGGAGCAAGUUUUGCUAGGAAAUUUAGCACCAUUUAAAUAAUUCAGAUAUUCAAUUUUUGAUUAUCAAACGCGUUUGAAUAUAUUAAAAUCUAAAUUCAUUAAAUUUAAGUGCAAAAUUGGAUUAUUAAACAAGGCUUAAGUAUGUGUGUGUAAUGCUACAUAAACGAGGAAACUUUUGAUCAAGUGAUUAAUGUUGAAAAGUCAAAAAUUAGAGAUUCAAGGUUCAAUUCUCCUCUUUGCUCGCUCCACUUCUUAAAUCUCCUUUUUCCUAACUACAAUUCUUAAAUCCUAGAAAGCCUUUCUUUGGUGGUUAAUGUUGAAACUUAUUAAAUCUUCUCUUCCCUUACCUUACCCCACUUGUUAAAUCCUAUGAAGUUUUGGCAUAGUAGUUAAGUUUGAUAAAUAAUUUAGGGAAAAUUGCAGAAACCUCCCCUAAAAUUUUUGACGAUAGCACUCAUCUUCCCUCUGGUUUAAGAAAUUGCAUUGACCACCCUUGAAAUUAAGGAAUCUAUUGCAUAUUCGGUCCAACCUAGAAAGAGUCCCAUUAAAAAUUGUUUCACUAAGUUGGAAUUAUUUUGCUAAACUAGCUGGAUUCGGCCAUUAUUGUAGAAGCAGAUGAAACGUUACUGGCUCACUCUUGUUUCGACUUUUGCAAGAGCAUAUAGCUUUGAUUGUUACGUUCUUUUGACAUGGACAAUUUCUGCAAAUUCCAUUGCCUUUUGCUGCCAUUGUUUUCCUCUUUUGCUGUUUAUGCUCUGUGCUUCUACCCUUUAUCUUUGGUUCAUCUAGUAAUUUUUUAAAACACUCUUCUUUCCAUCACUAAUUGCGCGCAGAGUUUUUUGCUCAUUGUCAAAAACUUUAGUGAAAUGUCAAUAUCAACAUUGUAAACAGAGUGCCUCGUAGGCUAUCUUGGAACAUAUAAGUAGCAGUAGUUUCUGAACUGAGUGGAAAAUUGCUCCCUUAAAGAGUGAAAAGUCUAAACAAGAAUCAAUAAGAUUCUGAAACCUAGAGUGCACUCAAAGGGACAAGGUGUAAAACCCAAACAACACAGCAUAUGUUUAAAUUUGAUAAUCUCUCUAUCUAUCCAUCUAUUAUAUCUAUAUCUGUAUCUAUAUCUAUCUAUCUAUCUAUAUCUAUACUCUAUAUAAAAGUAUAUUGAAGAUUAUAUUAGGUAUAUGUCUAUCUGGGUACCUUUGGUUACUCUCUGUACCCGUUUUCCUCGGUAAUAUCUUUAGGAGUAGUUGAGGUAUGUUAGACCUCUGUCAUUGAGGUGUGAUAGAACUCUGUUUUUCAAUUGGGAUGUAAUAGGACUCUGGUCUCGGUACCUGUAUAUAUGGAAGGCACGGAAGCAAUAGAAAGGGAACUUUUCCCUCACAGAAUUUCUUUCAUGGUAUCAGAGCUAUGGAUGACGAAGGGAAAAGCAAGAAUGUUGGGAAGAAAUCUGUUUCACCAUACAUCUUGACUUCGAAUGACAAUCCUGGAACCAUUAUUACCCAGGUACAAUUGAAAGGUGACAAUUAUGAUGAAUGGGCUCGAGCUGUGCGCACAGCGUUGAGAGCCAAGAAGAAGAUGGGAUUUGUUGAUGGAACGGUGACGCAUCCGGAUGACGAUUCCGUCGAUCUAGAGGAUUGGUGGACCGUGAAUUCGAUGGUAGUGUCAUGGAUUCUCAACACGAUAGAGCCAGCUUUGCGUUCCACCAUAACUCAUGUGGAAAUUGCAAAGGACCUUUGGGAAGACAUCCAAGAAAGGUUCUCUGUCGCUAACGGGCCUCGGGUACAACAAAUCAAAGGAGAGAUUGCAGAAUGGAAACAACGGGGACUUCCAAUUGUGACCUACUAUGGGAAAUUGAAGCAAUUGUGGGAGGAACUAGCAAACUAUGAACAAAUUCCGACAUGCCAAUGUGGAAGGUGCGUAUGCAAUCUUUCAGUCCAACUUGACAAGAAACGUGAGGAAGAGAAACUUCAUCAGUUCUUGUUGGGUUUGGAUGACAUGGCAUAUGGAACAAUUCGUUCAAACAUUCUUGGUACAGAACCACUACCCAGUGUGGGUAAGGCAUACUCCUUGAUAUGCCAAGAGGAGCGCGUCCGAAGCAUGUCUAGAGGAAAGGAGGGACGUGGAGAUCCCGUGAGUUUUGCCGUUCAGGCCAACGCAGGAGGUAGGAAACUUGGGACUGAAAUAAAGGACAGGUCUGCGCUGUGUUCAUAUUGCAAUCGCAGCGGGCAUGAUGCUGGAAACUGUUUUCAGCUUAUUGGAUAUCCUGAAUGGUGGGGUGAUCGGCCCAAAGGAAAUGGACGCGGUUCAGGACGUGGACGCGGAAACCAGAAUUCAGGACGUGGACGUGGGGGUGCACAUCGGGCUAACUCUGUUCAGACGAUUGGUCAGUCCUCCUCGUCAACAGUAACCGCAGAAAGGGAGCAUACAGCACAAGGAUUGUUGAAUGGUGAACAGUGGGCAGCUUUCCUGAGUCUGCUGAAUUCUUGCAAGCCUGGUGCCAAUGAAAAGCUAUCGGGUAAGCAUUAUUUGAACUGGAUAAUUGACUCGGGUGCGUCUCACCAUAUGACUGGACGCUUAGAAUGUCUAUCUGAAUUGAAGAAUUUGACGGGGUGUGCAGUAGGAUUGCCUGAUGGCAACCAAACCAUAGCAGUGAAAGAAGGGUCAGCUCGUUUGGGGAAACAUAUGAAGUCGAAGAAAGUGCUAUAUGUCCCCAAUUUGAACUGCAAUUUAAUUUCAGUAUCACAAUUGCUUGACGAAUUAAAUUGCAAUGUUUUAUUUACUAAAAAAUUAUGUGUUAUACAGGACCGCACUUCGAGGAUGGUGAUUGGAGCGGGUGAACGACGCGAAGGGCUUUACUACCUCAAGUCCAUGGGAGAAAUCAAAGCGUGCAAUACCAAAUGUCUGGAUAUCAGUGGGCUAUGGCAUAGAAGAAUGGGACACCCAUCUGCAAAAAUAGUAGGAUUACUUCCUGAUGUGAGUUCUAGCAGUAACAAUUAUGAUAAGGGAAAACCUUGUGACAUUUGUUUAAGAGCCAAGCAGACUAGAGAAGUAUUUUUUCCUAGUGAUAAUAAAGCAAAUGCAAUUUUUGAGAUGAUACAUUGUGACAUAUGGGGACCCUAUCGAACUACUGCUUCGUGUGGUGCCUCAUAUUUUUUAACUAUUGUGGAUGAUUUUUCAAGAGCUGUGUGGAUAUAUAUGUUGGUUGUUAAGUCCGAAGUAGAACGUGUGCUUCGUAAUUUCUUUGCCAUGGUCAAACGACAAUAUAACAAGAAUGUGAAAAUUGUUAGAAGUGACAAUGGCAUGGAAUUCACUUGCUUGGAUGGUUACUUUGCUGAAAAUGGAAUGAUACACCAUACAUCAUGCGUAAGAACACCCCAGCAGAAUGGGCGGGUUGAAAGAAAACAUCGCCAUAUUUUGAACGUGGCUAGGGCAUUACGUUUUCAGGCGAAUCUCCCUAUUGAAUUUUGGGGAGAAUGUGUGCUGACUGCUGGAUACUUGAUUAAUCGGACUCCAUCCAAACUUUUGGGGAAUAAGACGCCGUAUGAAUGUUUGUUUGGAGAGCCACCCAGUUACAAACAUAUUCGUGUAUUCGGAUGUUUGUGUUAUGCUAGGGAUAUGAAUAGAGAAAGAGAUAAGUUUGCCACUAGGAGUCGGCGUUGUUUAUUUGUGGGGUAUCCCUUUGGUAAGAAGGGAUGGCGGUUGUAUGACCUUGAAAAUGGUGACUAUUUUGUAUCACGAGAUGUGGUGUUUUCAGAAGAUGAGUUUCCGUAUGCGAAAGUAAGUGCACCUAAUACGACUAAAGAUGUCCUGGGGACAAGUUCACUUGAGCCAUUCGACCUUGUGGAAGACGAAGUGGAUGAUGCAAGGGAAGAUGAUCUGCUUACAGAGGUUGCGAGUAUACUACCGGAGAUCACGGAUCGGGUUCACAAUGAUGAGAAUAACGAAGACAGGGGGGGCACCACAGGUGCAGAAGCUGGAUUGGUUGCUGAGCAACUUGGGCGUGGUCAACGAAUAAAGCACCCAUCUAGUCGCUUAAAUGAUUAUGUGACGUACACAGCUCAAUGCAUAAGCCCUUCAGCGUGUUCACCCAAACCAAUCUCAUCCUCAGGUACUCCUUAUCCUAUAGCGCAUUAUGUAACAUGUGAUAAUUUUUCUGUGCAUCAUCGGUCUUUCUUGGCAGCUGUGACAACCGGUAGGGAGCCAAAAUUUUAUAGUGAGGCAGUGAAGGACUCUCGGUGGCGCCAGGCCAUGAAGAAUGAAAUCGAUGCACUUGAGACUAAUGGAACAUGGACGGUGGAAGAUCUACCACCGGGAAAGAAAGCCAUAGGCAGCAAAUGGGUAUACAAAAUCAAGUAUAACUCAGAUGGAACUGUCGAGCGGUAUAAGGCGCGUCUGGUGAUUCUUGGCAAUAAUCAGGUUGAGGGAAUUGACUAUCAUGAAACAUUCUCUCCUGUUGUGAAAAUGGUGACUAUACGCACGUUCUUGGCUGUGGCGGCAGCAAAGGAAUGGGAACUUCACCAGAUGGAUGUUCACAAUGCAUUCUUGCAUGGUGAUUUGAAAGAGGAAGUGUACAUGAAGAUGCCUCCGGGUUUUACAACUCCACAAUUUGGAAAGGUGUGUAGACUACGAAAGUCUCUUUAUGGAUUGCGACAGGCUCCACGUUGUUGGUUUGCUAAACUCACAAAUGCCUUACGGCAGUACGGUUUUUCUCAAUCUCAUUCUGAUUAUUCAUUGUUUACUCUGAGUCAGAAUACCAUUCAAAUGAGUAUACUUGUAUAUGUUGAUGACCUUGUAAUUGGGGGCAAUAAUAGUGCUGCAAUUCAACAAUUCAAGGAAUAUUUGUGUCAAUGCUUCCAUAUGAAAGACUUAGGAAUAUUAAAAUAUUUCUUAGGAUUGGAAGUUGCUAGAAAUAAGGCUGGAAUUUUUCUCUGUCAACGAAAGUAUGCACUGGAUAUUAUUGCUGAUGCCGGGUUAUUGGGUGCUCGGCCAACAGGAAUUCCGAUGGAGCAACAUCAUCGGUUGGCAAUGGCAGACAGCAUGCCUUUGGUAGAGCCAGAAAAGUAUAGGCGGUUAGUAGGCCGGUUAAUUUAUUUGACACUAACACGCCCUGAGCUGUCUUAUGGUGUCCAUGUUCUAGCUCAGUUUAUGCAGAAACCCAAAGAGGAGCAUUGGGAGGCAGCCUUGCGGAUGGUUCGCUAUUUGAAGGGCAGCCCUGGUCAAGGCAUACUCCUUCGAUCGGACUGCAAUUUGCAACUGCAAGCAUAUUGUGAUUCGGACUGGGCAAGCUGUCCUCUGACACGUCGCUCUCUCACUGGAUACCUUGUUUUUUUGGGCAACUCUCCUAUAUCUUGGAAAACUAAGAAGCAACAUACAGUGUCCAGGUCAUCUGCUGAAGCAGAGUAUCGCUCUAUGGCUGUGACCAUCUGUGAGCUGCGAUGGUUGAAGGGUCUGCUAGCUUCCCUUGGGGUGUUACAUUCUGGUCUUAUGCAUCUUUACUGUGAUAGUCAAGCAGCCAUGCAUAUAGCGGCUAAUCCUGUGUUUCAUGAGCGAACAAAACAUAUCGAGGUGGAUUGCCAUUUUGUGCGUGAUGAAGUUCAGAGUGGAAAUGUUACUACCACUUAUGUGCGUAGUUCUGAGCAGUUAGCCGAUAUUUUUACCAAGGCGCUUGGGCGACAACAAUUCGAGUAUCUUCUUCGCAAGUUGGGCGUUUGUGAUCUGCACGCACCAACUUGAGGGGGGUAUUGAAGAUUAUAUUAGGUAUAUGUCUAUCUGGGUACCUUUGGUUACUCUCUGUACCCGUUUUCCUCGGUAAUAUCUUUAGGAGUAGUUGAGGUAUGUUAGACCUCUGUCAUUGAGGUGUGAUAGAACUCUGUUUUUCAAUUGGGAUGUAAUAGGACUCUGGUCUCGGUACCUGUAUAUAUGGAAGGCACGGAAGCAAUAGAAAGGGAACUUUUCCCUCACAGAAUUUCUUUCAAAGUACAAUGCGUCUUGGUAUUUUGGAGUGUGGGUGCAAGCAUUGUCAUCAUCUUAUUUUGUGUUAUUUGAAUUAUGCCCUUCUUAAUUUGUGGUAAAAGUUUCAUAUAAUCUUCAGUAUGGGUCAAAGUUUCAUUACGAAUUUCUAAUGAUCAAAAUUCAUUGUAUCAUAUGUAUUGGUUUAGAAGAAAAUAAUUGUUAAUUAUUAUGGUCACUAUAUUGCAUCACGCCAUAUUGAUUCAGAUUGAUUUAGAAAGAAAAAUCUCCUUAAAGUUAUAAAUAUUGAAAUGAUUUGCAAAAUAUUAGUCAAAUGAAUUAUAUGAGUUGUACACAUCCAAUUCAAAAGGGGAAGAACUUUUUCUGUUGCACACAAUGGACUUUCAAUAUACAAAAAAUUAAGACACCUUCAUAUAACUGAAAUAACAAUAUUAAAUUGAAAAAAAAAAGAAAUCUGAAAUAGUCCAUACAAUCCAUCAUUAUUAGUAAUAUCAACCCUUCAACUAUUCAUAAAGUGAAUAGAAAUGAAUCAAAAAGCUGAAAAUGCAAUUCAAAUAAUACCAAAAACAACUUCCAAAUCACUCAAAUUCUAAUUCAGGCCACUCAAAUGCAAGGGAAGACAAAAAUUUGUUAUUGGUAGCCAUGAAGUAGUGCUUCGUUUGUAUUGUUUCGAGCAAAUCAAGUUAAUCCAGCAAGCCAUGUAGAAGCUAUCUCCAAUGGGCGAGUUAAAGGAGAAGAAGCAAAGGUUAGCAUGUAUUAUACUCUAAUUUGUUAACCACCUAUCCUUUCUAGUGUCUAGAAACCAAUAAUUGCACUCGAAGAAAAGGUAGAUCUGUAGUGUUGGUUGGUCUAAUAUUUUUAGCUCUUUGUGGCUAUAUAAAUAGUAUUCAAAUACACUGGAAAAUUGAAAAUUCAAAAGGACCCAAAUCAAAAUACUAAUUACUAAACACACAAAAAGCACUCUUUUGACUGUUUAAAACUUGAGUUUCUAGACUACCAAGUGCUUAAAAACUUUGACAAUUUCCCAAUUAGCACGAAGCAUACCGAGUAAGUUGCUUUUCUUUCUCUUCAAAUUAAUUUUUGGGUUAAUUACAUUUACCUCCCCUGAGGUUUGACCAUAUUACCAAUCAAUCCCUGUAAUUUGUUCAUAUAACGGUCUCACCCUUUGAAUGAUCAAACAUUUAACAAAAACCCCCUUAAUGCCGAAAAUGCCCUUUUUGAGGCCAUAUUGCAUUAAAAAAGGAAAAUAUUUUUAUUUAUUAACAUUCAAGUAAUCCAAAAAAAAUAGAAAAACGUUUUUGCUGAUUAUUUUAUAAAAAUCAUAUCUUUGCUUCCAUAAAUAGUUUUGAAUCAAUAAUUACUUUAAAUCUUAAAAAUGAAUAUUAAAAAUUAGAUAAAUUGAAAGAAAAAUAAAAAAGAAGCAAUUAUUUUAAAUCCUCAAGUAUGGUUCGAAUUUGUGGUUCAAGACAUGUUGUGGAGAGCACAAGGCAUGUUUUCCUCAAUUUGAACCAUACUCCAGGAAUUAAAAUAAUUUCUUCUUUUUUUAUUUUUCUUUCAAUUUAUCUAAUUUUUAAUAUUCAUUUUUAAGAUUUCAAAUAAUUAUUGAUUCAAAACUAUUUAUGGAAGCAAAGAUAUGGUUUUUAUAAAAUAAUAAGCAAAAACUUUUUUCUAUUUUUUUGGAUUGCUUUAGGGUUAAUAAAAUAAAAAUAUGUUCUUUUUUAAUGCAACAUGGCCUCAAUAAGGGCAUUUUCGGUAUUAAGGGGGUUUUUGUUAAAUAUUUGAUCAUUCAAAGGGUGAGACCGUUAUUUGGACAAAUUAUAGGGACUGUUUGGUAAUAUGGUCAAACCUCAGGGGAGGUAAAUGUAAUUAACCCUUAAUUUUUUUAAAAUUUUCUACUCUAUUCCAGCAAACUUAUCUUAGUCUACCAAGUCUAGUGAUUUUGUUUCUCAAUUAGUCUAAUGUAACCAAGAAGUUGCUUGAUGAAAUGAUAAUGACUUGAUCCCUUCACACACUUUUUUUUUCCUAAUCCCUUCUCAUUUUUCUGUUACUUGCCCUAAUAAUUUGCGUAAUAAAGAUUUUUUAUAUUUUAAACGAUAAGUUAACAAUAAGAAAAAAAAGGGCAUAUUAAGAAGAUGCAUCUUCAGGAACUAGCCACCAGGCAUCCAAUUAAUUGACCUACAGAGAUGAACAAGCAUAAAUUGAUUAAUUACACUUUUACAUGUUUUCCAGACCAGGCAACAUCUAAAACAUGUGUGCCUUUCAUUUCUUUAUUUCUUAAUUACACGAGAAGAUGCUUCAAGCAAAGAAGAAGCAAUAUUUAUUUAUUUUUGAAUGGCAAACGGGCUCCAGCAUUAAUCCAAGAAAGUUAAGAGUGAAAAUUUUGAAAAAAAAAACAAAUAAAAAUGCUAAACACAUGAAAAUCACUCUGAUGACUAUUUGGAAUUUUUGCUUUUUGAAACUACCAAGCAGGCAAGCACUGAAAACAUUGACAAUUUCCCAUUUGCCCGAACAAGAUUCAGUAUUUUCUUUUCUUUCUCUUUAAAUUAAUUUUGUUAACUUUUUCUUCUCCAUUCCAACGAUAUCAUCUUACACCAUUAGACUUGUUGAACCGAAUUUUAUGAUUCUGAUACUAUCAACAUGCAGGGUUGUAGGAUUGAACGGAUCAAGUAAUCACUCAAUAUACAUAUACAUAUAUAUAUAUAUAUAUAUAUAUAUAUAUAUAUAUAUAUAUAUAUAUAUAUAUGAGUGUGUGUGUGUGUUUGUGGGAGAUAAUAAACAAAUAAAUAGAGUAAUCUUAUUGCAAAUAUAUUAGCAAGUUGAUUAAUUAAAUUAACAUAGAUAGAUAAAAUAGGGCAAUCUAAUUAGUUAAACUUCUAUUUAUUUUAUUGAUCGAUACCUAAAACAGUUCAGACCUAAUACACACUAUAUAGUUGACAGGGGUUAAACCUGUACAAUAAUAAAUACCUACUCGAGAAAAAUACAGAUUUUGUAUAUAGCGGUGAGUAGGGUUGAAUCCACAGGGAUUGGGGAUAAUUCGUUUCUUCUAGAGUCCAAAGUAUGGGGGGUUUUAGAUUAAAUACUAACUAAAUAAAUAAAUUUGCAGAGAAUAACUGAUUAAGAGAAAUAAUUAAGGGAAAACUCUAGCGAAGAGUACACUUCAGAAAUUGUUCAUGCACUGAUCAUUGAUGCAGAAAUAAUUCCAACAUUUAGUAAUAGAUUAGUUAUAGUUGUCAUGCACGCGAUAAAUAACCAACCCUUCCUUAAUUUCUCGGUAGCUAAGGUACGACCGUUAACUAUUUCUCUAACCCAAAAACAACCCUAGGUACGACCGUAGGAUUUAAUUUCUAGAUUGCAUUAAUAAUUAAAAAGGCCCAAUCCUAACCAACAAACACGCUACGAGGGUUUGUUUAAACUAGAUCGUAUACUCCCCUGACAUAAAUCCAAUUACGCCAGUUGCUACUGAGGUAGACAUAACGAACAAUUACGGAUUCAAUUACCCCUAUUUAGCAAAAAUAGCCUAUAUGAAUAAUUAAUUAUUGCGCACUAAUCAAUCAUACACAAGGCCAUAGCAAUUAAAAUCAGGGAACAUAUAAAUACCAAUAAAUGAAGAAAAUAAUUAAAACAGAUUCGAUCUCACAGUAAUUGUCGAAUCAAAUCGUCAGUUGUCCCCUUGACUAGAAAAAUUUAGCCACGCCUCAUGAGAAAAUCUUCCCGUUGGAGAAUAUUGUCGAAUACCUGACGUGUGUCAGAGGCCAGUCAAAAGAAAGAAAACUAGAACUAAACUAAAAAACUAAAACUAAAGCCGUCCGUCUGUACGUUUUUCUUUUCUACUUAAAAGCCAAAAGAAAGAACCUAAUCUUCUCUCCAGUGGUCCCCACCCAAUUGGUAGUCAAAGCUGCCCAAAGAGAAACCUGCCGAUUUGCUCAAGUCUCUGUACGUUACUUUUCUUUCUUUAGCCAAAUGACUAGUGCUCCUUGUUCUGUGGGCCCCCACCGAAUUGAGAAAAUUAGUUGUUGUUCCUUUCUUGUGGGCUGCGUUGAAGUAAUAUGCUCUAGAAAGCCCCUCCUUUUGGUAGUUUUCUGCUUCCCUCCUGAAAUUGAUUCCAAAUACCAAAUAUAAGUAAAUAUUAGCAAUUAACACAAUAUUUGUCAGGGAUAGAAGGGGAAAUUAAUAAUAAAAUUACUAACAAAUUAUACCCUAUCAAUUCCCCCCACACCUGAAUCAUGCUUGCCCUCAAGCAUGGGGACAACUCAACUAAAAAAUGGCUAGCUUUCACAUUAUCGUCGCCAGCUGUGCUUAUACCAAAAUCAAGAUUUAGUGGCUAAGUGUCAAGUCAUAUCUCUCCCGGUUAGCUCCUAUGUUCAUAGACCCGUCCAAUUCAUGGCUAACUCACCUAAGAAAUCCAAAUAUUAACUAGCAACAGUCGGCAAUUAAGUCAACUGGCAACCCAAAAUCUCAACAUUACGAACCAAGGAUCGGCAGGCCAACAUGAUUAUAAACUCAUAUAUUUUCCACAUCUGAUUUUUUUCCCUUUCACUUCUUUUUUUUUUCUUUGGAUUUUUUUUUUUACACGAAUAAUGCUUAGUCCCAAGUUAUUCAAGUCUUUUGACGUGAACUCUGACAUUUUUAGAUGAAAGAGCCCAAUUACCCAACUUUUCACAGCUCCAGGACCACUUACUCAUAGAUAUCGCCACUUUUUGACGCGAGAGCCGACACGUGUGGUGAAGACUCCUGGUUACUGGGUGGCGACACUAGCGGAGUAUAGCCAUACGUUAUUCACCAUAACACACCAAAAUACCAAGUAAUUAAAGAUCAUAGCCUGCGUCAUGUCCUAAAUAUGGAGAACUAAAGUCAACAUAAGACCAAUCCACACAACAAUGCCAGCAAAAUAUUUACAUUGCCUAAACAAGUUAGCCAUAAAUCGCACCAAGUCGUUAAACUCAAAACAUUCACCAAGACAGCAUGCUCUUACUUGCCACCGAAACUCAACUCAUAGUAUAAACUACAACUAACAAUAAAAAAGUGAGCUGCCGACAUAUUCACCAAAAUAAAAGCAAAGGAAAAAUUACCUAAAAAGAACAAAGGAACAACACCUAAACCGAAAACAAUGGGAAAACACCCAAGAACCGAAAACUAGAAAUACGAGCACCCAAAACUGACCCCCUCACACCUAAAUCACACAUUGCCCUCAAUGUGAUAAUGUAAUAGCAAAAAAGAAGAAGAGGGGCAACAGUACUUCCCUGAAGUCGUCAAAACAGGGGUGGAUCGGGCGCGAACGGAGGGGCAAUUCCCGCAUGUUGCAUAAAAGCCGCCAGACCUAGACCCCAACAAGACAGCAAAUGCAAUGGAGAAUUAUCGGAGGCUUCAAAUGAGUUCAAUGCAGAAACAAAACAGUUGAAAAGUGCAACAACUGCUCCAAAUACCCCACGCAAGUCAAUAAGAUACAACCGAUCAGCAAUAAGCAAAAGAAGGGGCACAGUAGCCUUCCAAUUCAACCAACAGGUACAGAGAAAUACCCAGCCAACAACACGGACAAUUCAACCACCCACAGACUAGGGAACUAUCCCAACGUACAGUAAUGCCAAACAAAAAGCAUAUGUGGAUCCAAUUCAGGCAAAAACAUGAGUAAUGCAACCCAACAAUUUCACUAAAUAUGCCCAACCUAAAUAAGCAAGGCCACUGACGCACUAGCCCUUAACACUAGUAACAAUUGCAAUCAAUGAGCGCCCGUGUUCCAAACGUAAUCAAAUUGAGAAUCAAGGUAGUCCAAAAAGGAUUAAAUGCUCCUAAAUAAGGCGAUUAGAGGCAACCAACUUCAAUGCACAAAUUUAAGCGUUACAGGCACUGCCCAAUAUAACACACAAAGUACCUAUAAUUAGACACAAAUUAUAGCAAAUUAGACACAAUGGAACCCAAAAUCGUAACAACUGCCUCCAAGUGGACAAUUAAUUACCUAAAUCAAUUUGCCAAAAUCAGCAAUUGACCCACGAAUCACAGGGUAGACAGGCACGACUCAACCACAAAUGCCCAAUAGUCACAACCCGCUUAAUUAGGCAAUCCAGAACACAGGAUUAUCAGAUGUGAAACAACUACCAUCACCAGUACCACUGGUGAGUGUAUAGGGAGAAAUUAAAGCAAAUAACCAACCCAGUGAACAAAAUAGAUUCGAACACCCAAGCAGCGCCAAAAAUGAGCAGAAAUUAAAACCAGAAGCAAUUGGCAACUUACUCCCAAAGUACCCCCAAAUAUCGCAGCAGUUUAACUCAAUUAUACCCAAAAUUAACCCCAGAAAAUGCCCAAAAUCACUGCCUGCUAUUUUCCAACAAGAAGCCCAAGCAAAGGUACAAAAUUUCGGCAAUAUAAGAUUCAGAAUAAGACAAAUUGAGGCAGGAAUCGCAAUACCUCCACCUGCCAAAAAAUUGACAGGUGGUAACGCGCUGGGGUGGAGCUGGCGGAGACAAGACAAGGACGUGGAGUGGCGGUGGUGGUGCGGCGUGAGCUGGACGAGCUGCGCGGGGGAAGGAGGCGGCGGCUCUGGUUGCGGAUGACGCUGGAGGCGGGCGAGGGAGGAGCGGCGCGGCGUGCUGGUGGCGGGGCUGGUGGCGGUGGCUGUGGAACGUGGGCAGGCGGCGGUGCGCAACUGGUCAGCGAAGGAGGAGAUGCGCGGCGCUCGAGCUGAGGAGAAAGUGAUUUGGGGGCUGUGGCGGCGUGGGGUGGAGUUUGGAACGGAGGAGCUCAGCGAGCUAUGGGUGGACGGCCGUGGGCAGGGGAGCAGUGGCGGCCUUUGGAGCUGCUGACGGUGGAGACGAGCUGGCAGUGCGGCGUGCUGGGGUCGUGACGUACGGAAGAGACGGGAGAACUGGAGCUUGGAGGUGGUGGCGAUGGACGCGAGCUGGGGUGGUCCGCGAUGGGAAAGCCAAGGGAGGUGCGGAAGAAGAAAAAAAAAAAAAAAGAAGAGAGGAAGAAAGAAAGAAAAGAAAGAAAGAAAGAAAGAAAAGAAGGAAAAAGAAGAAAAGAGAAAAGGGAAAUGUUUUUUUUUUUUCAAAAUUACUCCAACGUAAAUUGUCCAAAUUGGAAAUUACUUUUAAAAAAAAUUUAUUAUUAUUAUUAAUUUUUUUUGGUAAUAAUAAAAUUUUUAAAUUUUUUUUUUAAAUUCAUUUUUGGGUCGUCAAACACCGCGUGGGCAUACCAAGAUUGUAAAACGUCCACUAACCAUGAGACUUGAAUUUAGACGCUUAACGCGUGCCCUCCUCGCGUGGGCACGCCAAGAUUACCUAUUCUGGUCAUAAUGAGGAAACAUCAAGAGUGAUUAGUACCCAAGUGAGAAACGACAUAUUUAAGAAAUUGAACACAAAAAUAACAAAAUCAACAAUUGGGUUGCCUCCCAAAAAGCGCCUUUCUUUAAUGUCUUUGGCUAGACAUGCUAUGCUUGUUCACGGAGGAUAAAAUCUUGUGGCUCGUUUCAAUGCUUCAUCUUCAAUAUGAUCCUGGUAAUCCUCAUAGAUGGAAUAAUCUUUGAGCACACGAGCUACGAUCUUCCGUGAACUAGUAGAUGGCUCCAAACCGGUCAACAAUAAUCUCGAUUCUUCACUCACUCCUCCACCACGCGCAUUUAUCGGUUCAAGAUAUUUCGUCAUCUCCACUCUCAACUUAUUUCUGCCACGAGACUAAAAAACUUCCGGUAUAACAAAAUCAAUCUCAUUAACAGAAAUCAUAGAGUAAGAGUUAGGAAAAUGCGGGUUAGGGAAUGGAGGUGGUGUCACUACAUUUGAUGAUUAUUCACUGGAUUCUUUCACUUCAAUGGGUUAAGGUUGGGGUUCCAUAUCUUCAUUUUCGGCUUCUUUUUCAACUGCAUCUGCAGAUCUCUCAUUUUGACACUCUUGCAUCUCCUCAUCACUAGUCAAGCAAAUUGCACUCUCAUUUUUUUCAAAAUCAACAAUGGUUUCCGAGGGCAAUUCUUCAAUUUGAGAAGCCAAUCGAUUUAUUCUGGAUGUCAAUAGACACAUUUGAUCUUCCAGAUUACUCAUUGCAUCCUUCAUCAUCCCAUUUCUCAUUUGUGUCUCCUGUUGGAAUUGAUAUGUAUUAGUAGCUAUUGAUUCAACUAUUUCUUCAAGAGACAUACCUGACAUAGAUGAUGAUUCUUGAGACUCAUACUGCUGAAAAUUUAUUGGCCCUGUUGUAUAAUUAUAACUGGAGUUAUCCCACCAUCCUUGAUCAUACCCGUUUGGAUUAGAGUUAUACCACGUUUGAGACCAGGGUGAAAUAUCUUCAUAAUUAUUGAGUGGGACACUCAGAUUAUCUUGAUAUUCGGGGUACAUACCGGUUGAAUGAUCCCUGGCAUAACAAAUUUUACAGGUUGCAGCAGCCAUUUUGUCUCUAAUAGAGUUUAGUGCCUUUGAAUAUGCAAACUUAGCAAAAAAACUAGCCUCACUGCCUUCCCUGGAAACAAAAUCCAGUUUAUCACCAAAAUACGGAGUGUUAGAAGCCAUAAACUAUAUAAAAAAAUAAGAGAAAAAUAAAUAAAAAAAAAUAAAAACACGAUGAACUCAAAAAGAAACAAAUUAAUCUGGCACCAGUCCCCGGCAACGGCGCCAAAAAUUGACAGGGGUCGAACCUGUACAACAAUAAAUACCUACUCGAGAAAAAUACAGAUUUUGUAUAUAGCGGUGAGUAGGGUCGAAUCCACAGGGACUGUGGAUAAUUCGUUUCUUCUAGAGUCCAAAGUAUGGGGGGUUUUGGAUUAAAUGCUAACUAAAUAAAUUAAUUGCAGAGAAUAACUGAUUAAGAGAAAUAAUUAAGGGAAAACUCUAGGCAAGGGUACACUUCAGAAAUGGUUCAUGCACUGAUCAUUGAUGCAGAAAUAAUUCCAACAUUUAGUAAUAGAUUAGUUAUAGUUGGCAUGCACGCGAUAAACAACCAACCCUUCCUUAAUUUCUCGAUAGUUAAGGUACGACCGUUAACUAUUUCUCUAAUCCAAAAACAACCCUAGAUACGACCGUAGGAUUUAAUUUCUAGAUUGCAUUAAUAAUUAGAAAGGUCCAAUCCUAACCAACAAACACGCUACGAGGGUUUGUUUAAACUAGAUCGUAUGUUCCCCUGACAUAAACCUAAUUACGCCAGUUGCUACUGAGGUAGAGAUAACGAACAAUUACGGAUUCAAUUACCCCUAUUUAGCAAAAAUAGCCUAUAUGAAUAAUUAAUUAUUGUGCACUAAUCAAUCACACACAAGGCCAUAGCAAUUAAAAUUAGGGAACAUAUAAAUACCAAUAAAUGAAGAAAAUAAUUAAAACAGAUUCGAUCUCACAGUAAUUGUCGAACCAAAUCGUCAGUUGUCCCCUUGACUAGAAAAACUUAGCCAUGCCUCAUAAGAAAAUCUUCCCGUUGAAGAAUAUUAUCGAAUACCUGGCGUGUGUCAGAGGCCAGUCAAAAGAAAGAAAACUAGAACUAAACUAAAAAACUAAAACUAAAGCCGUCUGUCUGUACGUUUUUCUUUUCUACUUAAAAGCCAAAAGAAAGAACCUAAUCUUCUCUCCAGUGGUCCCCACCCAAUUGGUAGUCAAAGCUGCCCAAAGAGAAACCUGCCGAUUUGCUCAAGUCUCUGUACGUUGCUUUUCUUUCUUUAGCCAAAUGACUAGUGCUCCUUGUUCUGUGGGCCCCCACCGAAUUGAGAAAAUUAGUUGUUGUUCCUUUCUUGUGGGCUGCGUUGAAGUAAUAUGCUCUAGAAAGCCCCUCCUUUUGGUAGUUUUCUGCUUCCCUCCUGAAAUUGAUUCCAAAUACCAAAUAUAAGUAAAUAUCAGCAAUUAACACAAUAUUUGUCAGGGAUAGAAGGAGAAAUUAAUAAUAAAAUUACUAACAAAUUAUACCCUAUCAAUUCCCCCCACACCUGAAUCAUGCUUGCCCUCAAGCAUGGGGACAACUCAACUAAAAAAUGGCUAGCUUUCACAUUAUCGUCGCCAGCUGUGCUUAUACCAAAAUCAAGAUUUAGUGGCUAAGUGUCAAGUCAUAUCUCUCCCGGUUAGCUCCUAUGUUCAUAGACCCGUCCAAUUCAUGGCUAACUCACCUAAGAAAUCCAAAUAUUAACUAGCAACAGUCGGCAAUUAAGUCAACUGGCAACCCAAAAUUUCAACAUUACAAACCAAGGAUCGGCAUGCCAACAUGAUCAUAAACUCAUAUAUUUUCCACAUCUGAUUUUUUUUCCUUUCACUUCUUUUUUUUUUCUUUGGAUUUUUUUUUUACACGAAUAAUGCUUAGUCCCAAGCUAUUCAAGUCUUUUGACGUGAACUCUGACAUUUUUAGAUGAAAGAGCCCAGUUACUCAACUUUUCACAGCUCCAGGACCACUUACUCAUAGAUAUCGCCACUUUUUGACGCGAGAGCCGACACGUGUGGUGAAGACUCCCGGUUACUGGGUAGCGACACUAGCGGAGUAUAGCCAUACGUUAUUCACCAUAACACACCAAAAUGACUAGUGCUCCUUGUUCUGUGGGCCCCCACCGAAUUGAGAAAAUUAGUUGUUGUUCCUUUCUUGUGGGCUGCGUUGAAGUAAUAUGCUCUAGAAAGCCCCUCCUUUUGGUAGUUUUCUGCUUCCCUCCUGAAAUUGAUUCCAAAUAUCAAAUAUAAGUAAAUAUCAGCAAUUAACACAAUAUUUGUCAGGGAUAGAAGGGAAAAUUACUAAUAAAAUUACUAACAAAUUAUACCCUAUCAAUAGUACUAGUAAACAGAAUUUCUUAAAUAAAUAAAGGCCACCAACAUCACAUGCCAUUGACCAAAGCUAGUAACAUGGCCUCAUCUUAAUGUAGUACUAGCAAAUGGAAUUUCUUAAAUCACAUGCCAUUGAGCAAACAAGUUUGAUGGCCUCAUCUUAAUGUAGCCUUAAAACUUUCUCUCCUUUAAUAUUACCCCUUGUUUGGUACAUGGAAAUGCACAGAAUAGAAAGGGUUUCGACCAGAAUAUGUAUCCACCAGGAUGGUAGGAAGAAAGUUACUGUUCCAAGGUUUGAUAUACAAGUCAGAGUGGAAUCUUUAUUCAGUUUCUAAUUUUUGGUAUAAUCAAAUUUAGAUGUUAGAAUGAAAUAUACUAAAUACAAAUUCGACUUAAUAUUAGGUUAAAGGGCAUCCUAUAUCUUUUUUUUGUUUUAUUUGUUCUAUAAUAGUAUUUGUCUAUUUAUGUGAAAUUUGAUAUCUUUAUUUAAAAAUAAAUUACGAUUGAUAUCAAAAUUCUUCAAUUGUAGUGAAGAUUCAUUCUAAUAUAUAGAUUUUUACGUUAAAAUUUUAUUUACUACCAAUAUAAUUAGUGGCGUAAAAUAUAAAUUACAUGAAGUUAGACAAUUAUAAUUUAGUUAUUUUCAAUUUUGAUAGGAGAUUUAAAAAAAUUCUUGAACAAUUGUUCAAAAGUCAAAGAAUAAAGUAUCUUAAAACAUUUGUUUCCUAGUAUAAAAGAAAAAUUAAUUAUUAUAAAAAUUACAUUCAAAUAUUAAUUGAGCUAUAAAUAGCUUAAGAUAUGGCGAUGCAUUAGACUUGUGACGAUAAAUUUGACAUCCUACUAUUUAGGCAUUCUAGGAUGAAGGUGAAGAGAGCGUUCCUUAGAUUUUUUUAACGAAUGGAAUUCUAGAAAAAGUUAGAAUGAGCAUUCUAAGAAAAAUUAGCUUUCCCACUUAAAUGAAUUAUACCAAGCACCGGAAUGAAAUGGACAAAUUGGAAAGGCCUUUCUUUCUAGGUGUUUUUGUGAGGUGCAUUUAUGAAGAAGAAGCUAAUGAGCUUCUAAAUCCUAUGUCGGAUCACAAAUACAUGACAAUUUAAUGUGUAAACUAGUGAAGAAGAAUCUUAGCAGUGUCCAUAAUUUUAUUAAGUUUUCUUCUCUGCUAAUCCAACAAGUUAUCUUCAGUCUACUAAAUUUAAUUAAUUCCAUUUCUCAAUUUGUUUCAUAAUUACAUAAGCAAUCAAGAAGUUGGUUGAUGAAACGAAGAAGUCCUCAUCCAUUCUAAAUCUCUUUGUGUCCCUUCUUGAUUGCUUAAGUAGUCAAGAAGAGUUGGCUUAAUUGUUUAAGUAAUCGAGAAGAUUCUUUGCAGUGUGAAUAACAAAUAAACAUUGAGGAAAAAAAGAAAAGAAAAAUGCAAAGUAGGAAGAUGCAUUUUCGAGGAAGUAGCCACCAGGCAUAUUCUAAUACCACCAGCCAGAUUGAAUAAAUGAACUAGGUAGAUAAAGCAGAAUAAAUUGAUUAAUCAGGGUGAGAUUUCAGAUCUGUGUCUCCUGUUGCCAGCCCCUCAAUCAGUUUAGUUAAAGUCAGCUCUUUUGAGUCUGUACACUGUUGCAUUAAUUGCAAUUAUACUAAUCUGAAUCUCACACAUCAACCCACAGGAAUCGUUAACUCAUCUCUCUCCUGUUCUGGGCUUCUAUUCUAUUUCUACCAUUUGUUGUUGAAACAUUCCUUCCAUCUCUGAUAUCAGAAAACCUUUCGAUCCUAGUUCCAAUUCCAAGCAAGAAACAAUAAUGGCUGACGCUGCUAUCAGUGCUACUGUUAAGGUCGUCCUGGAGACGGUCAUUUCCACAGCUGCGGACCGUAUUGGUAUGGUUCUCGGGGUCAAAGCAGAGUUGGAGAGACUGAGCAAAACUACUGCAACGAUCCAAGGUUUCCUGGCUGAUGCUGACGGGAAAAUACAUAGUUCAGGGGUGCGAGAUUGGCUCAAGCAGCUAGAGGAUGAGGUUUUCAAAGCUGAUAACGUGCUGGACGAGCUCCAUUAUGACAAUCUUCGCCGGGAGGUGAAGUACCGAAAUCAACUCACCAAGAAGAAGGUAUGCUUAUUCUUCUCCUUCUUUAAUGCAAUUGGUUUUAGUUCCAGCUUGGCUUCAAAGAUCCGAGACGUCAACACCAACCUAAAAAGGAUCAACCAGCAAGCCAAUGACUUGGGAUUGGUAAUCAAGUACCAAAUUGAAGCUGCACUCCAUGCUGAUGCCACUACAAGCAGACAGACCGACUCUAUUGUUGUUCCAAACGUUGUAGGAAGAGCCGGCGACGAGUCAAAAAUAGUGGAGAUGCUAUUGACCCCAUCUGAAAGAGUUGUCUCAGUUAUUCCCAUAACAGGCAUGGGAGGCCUGGGCAAAACGACUCUUGCUAAAUCAGUCUACAACAAUACAAAAAUUGAUGAGAAUUUUGGCAUAAAGAGUUGGGUUUGUGUGGCUAGAAAAAUAGAUAUAGUGGAGCUGUUCAAACUCAUUUUAGAAUCGUUGACAAGAACAAAGGUUGAAGUGGAUGGUAGGGAUGCCAUAGUUCAAGGAAUUAGAGGAAAACUUGGGGAAAAAAGAUUUCUCCUUGUUCUUGAUGAUGUGUGGAAUUGUGAAGAGAGAUUGUGGGAUGACUUCUUCACCACGUUGUUGGGACUCAGUACAACUAAAGGAAGCUGGUGUAUUCUCACUACUCGUCUAGAACCAGUGGCUAAUGCUGUGCCUAGACAUUUGCAAAUGAAUGAUGGUCCUUAUUCCCUAGGAAAGUUAUCAGACGAUGCGUGCUGGUCUAUGCUGAAGGAAAAGGUAAUUGCUGGAGAAGAAGUACCAAAAGAAUUGGAAGCAAUAAAGAAGCAAAUUUUAAGGAGAUGCGAUGUCCUACCAUUGGCGGCAAGUUUGAUUGGUGGCUUGUUGCUUAACAACAGAAAAGAGAAGUGGCACUGCAUUGUGCAGGAGAGUCUCUUGAAUGAAGAUCAAAGCGAGAUCGAUCAAAUACUUACGGUGAGCUUUGAUCAUUUAUCACCUCCAUCAGUUAAGAAAUGUUUUGCAUAUUGCUCGUUUUUUCCCCAGGACACUGAAUUGGGAGAAGAUUAACUAAUUCAGCACUGGAUUGCAGAAGGUUUUGUUCAACCAGAUCGGCAAAACCAAAGAUUGAUGGAGGAAAUAGCGGGUGAUUAUUUGAGGAUUUUGUUACAAAAUUCCUUAUUGGAAAAAGUAGAAGAGUCGUGGAGAACAUAUUAUAAAAUGCAUGAUCUCGUGCAUGAUUUUGCAAAAUCAGUUCUCAAUCCUAAAAGCAGCAGCCAGGAUCGCUACCUUGCAUUACACUCAUAUGAAGAAAUGGCAGAAAAUGUCAGAUGGAAUAAAGCGGCAUCAAUCCGCUCGUUAUUUCUCCAUUUAGGGGGUGGCAUAUCUGCUGACACGGACAUGUUAUCAGGAUUCAAGCACUUGCAUGUUCUCAAAUUGUCUGGAUAUGAUGUCAUGUUUCUGCCGAGCUCUAUUGGCAAAUUACUACGUCUGCGGUUGCUCGACAUUUCAUCUUCUGGUAUCACAAGUUUGCCGGAAUCUCUUUGCAAGCUAUAUAAUUUGCAGGCACUAACGAUUGAUGGUUAUGCACUUGAAGGAGGUUUUCCAAAACGGAUGAGCGAUUUGAUUAGCUUGCGACAUCUAAACUACUGGCAUGAUGAUGCAAAAUUUAAAAUGCCGGUGCAGAUGGGACGAUUGACUUGUCUUCAAACUCUAGAGUUCUUUAAUGUAAGUCAAGAGAAGGGUUGUGGCAUCGAAGAGCUUGGGACCUUGAAAUAUCUUAGAGGAUCAUUGGAGAUAAGAAAUCUUGGACUAGUAGAGGGCAAAGAAGCAGCUAAACAAGCAAAAUUGUUUGAAAAGCCAAAUCUGUCUAGCUUAAGGUUGGACUUUGAACGGAAAAGUGAUAACUGUGAUGAGGAUGUGUUGGAAGGUCUCCAACCUCACCCAAAUUUGCAAAAGUUGGAAAUUCGAUAUUGCAUGGGUAAUAAAAUUCCCCAAUGGCUUAUCAAUUUGCCAAAAUUGGUGGAGUUGCGGAUAGAAGAUUGCCAGAGAUGCAGUGAACUCCCGUCAUUAGGACAACUGCCAUCCCUCAAACGCCUCUAUUUGAGAAGCUUGGACAACAUCCGAUCUAUUGGAGAUGAAUUCUAUGGUAUUAAUACUAAUGAGGAGGAGGAGGAGGGCAGAUCACGAGCAUCAGGGAGCAGCACUAGAACACGAAAUUCUUUCCGGCCCUUGAAGAACUCUAUGUACGAGAUAUGAGGAAUUUGGUAGAUUGGAAGGAUGCAGACCAAGUGAGGUCAACAACAGGUGAAGUAGAAACAGAUGUCUUUCCCAUGCUGAGGAAUUUUCACAUUCAACAUUGCCCACAACUGACCAAUCUUGCAUGCUCGUGUAAAAUUCUAGUCGUGGAGUAUUACGGCAAUCUAACAAGUAUAAAAAUGGGUUACGACACUGCUUCUGUUGAGGAGUUGAGUAUCCUUUCUUGCGACAAUCUUAGGGAGCUGCCAAGAGAUGUGUUUGGAUCAAGUUUGCAGCUAUUGCGCAUCUCAGAUUGCCCGAGAUUAAUUAGUCUAGGAGUAAAUGGACAGAAAUGCCCCCUUACAUGUCUUGAGCGAUUGAGCAUUGAUUAUUGCUACGGGUUGACCACUAUAUCUGACAAAAUGUUCGAGUCAUGCCCAUCUCUGCGGUUCCUGUCGGUUGGGUAUUGCCGCAAUCUGGUGUCAUUUUCACUUAAUUUGCAGGAGACGCCUUCUCUCGAGGAAUUCAGCUUAUUCGAAUGUCCCAAAUUGAUCCCUCAUAGGUUCAAAGGAUUUGCUUUUGCCACCAGCUUAAGAAAAUUGAGCAUCGGUCCCUUCUCCUCAGAUGACUCCUCAAUGGAUGGUUUUGAUUGGUCUGGCUUGGUAAAUGCAUCAACACUCCGUGAGCUUCAAUUACGAGGCUUGCCUCACUCGGACUCCCUGCCACACCAGCUUCAAUACUUGACUACCCUCCCUUCACUAAGUCUCUUCAACUUUCGAGGAAUAGAGGUGCUACCACAUUGGAUUGGAAACCUUGUGUCCCUUGAAACCCUAAAGCUAUGGUUUUGCGAAAAGCUUCAGUCUUUACCACCCGAGGCUGCCAUGAGACGACUCACAAAGUUAACUCGUGUCGAAGUUUGUGGGUGUCCUCUAUUAAGACAACGAUACACUCCCCAAAGAGGCAUCUACUUGGAGGAGUAGAUUUCAAGUUAUUUUGUAAGAUUUUCCUAUCUAAAGUUCACACUCAUAGAUAUGCAUACAAAUUUUUUGUAUCUGCAUCUCAUUGACAUAUAUUUGCUCUUCAGUCUCUUAUACUCUUUUUUCUCCGUCUCUUCUAUGAAAUUUCACUAGUCGUGUAAAGUUAAUCCCUGUAAUUCUGUUCUUUUUGGGCAGACCUUGGUUUCUCUUCAAAGAUUAGUUUUAACAGAUCCUGGUUUUGAACAAAUUAGAAGAGACCAAAAUUCUAGAUUUCCUCUGCCUCUCUGAAUCACUGAAAGAUUUUGAACAUCUUAAAAACUCCUUGCACUUCAAAUUGUUACAUUCUAUUUGGCCAAGGAUGAAAUUAUUAGCAAUGGUGCAUGCACAAUUAGCCUCUUUGUUUGAAUGUGUUGGAAAAUGUUUCAUUUGAUGCGUAAUGCUACAUGUACAUGGACCCAUUCUUCAUUUUUCUGUCACCUGAUAUUGCCAGUUUGAAUGGACAACAUUAAAGCUAAUCAAGAAACAUUUGCGAAGAAAAUUCAAGAUACAAUUUGCUGUUCAAGAUACAAUAAUUUUGGACAGUUGUUUGUCAUGUUUCACAAGUUUCAGAAGUUUAUUCGUCACAAUUACCAUGCAGGUAAGCAGUGAGAGCGAACAAGAAGAAAUCGAUGACAAUGAGCAAGCAGGCAGAGACUGUGAACAAAAAAGCAUUGAUAGUGCUCAAACAUCAGCUUCAUGGUGUUUCCCAUCGUUGCUGAAGAAGAAGAAGAGCUUAGGAGGUUUGUUGUGCAGAAAAGUGAUAAUGCAGCAUUUCUUUCCCCAAGAACUCUUUUCUUAUGCAGAAAAGUGAUAAUGCGGCAUUUCUUUCUCCAAGAACUCUUUUCUUACCUCCAUCCAAUUUACUAAGAGUACAAGGAAUUGGUGCAAGUUUGCAUUCUAGUAUGCUUGAGUCAUGUAAUUGGCCUACGAACAGGGCAUUUUCCUGUACUGUUAUGUGUUUGUGAACUUUUACCCUAUGCCUACAGCUUAUCUUUUGCUCUUUAAGAUUUUUAUAUUUACUUGGUGCUAAACAUGUCUAUUGAUUGUGAAAGAAUGUGGUCUUUUCCGAUUUUCUUGCACUAGUUACUAGACCAUAACUUUUCUUUGCUUUCAUUGUUCAUUAUAAUUGAAGGCAUACUGAAAUGUACCAUUGUGAUGCUUUCCAGAGUCUUAGGAGACAUAGCUUAUGUUAUUGGACAAAGGACACCAUCGUUUACACACCAAUUGUCACACGAUAUUGCAUAAUAGGAGAAACUUCUUGAAUUCUGGUAGGCUUUAAUUGGUUUAAGUAGGAUGAUGUUUCUUUUAUGUUUGUACUGACCCCUUCUGUUUAGUUUACAUAGAUCUAAUUGGGCUGCUGCUUCUGAUAUGAUCCCAAAAGUACAUACCUUUAGUUUUUUAAGCUGCAGUAUCGGUUUUUCUCAAUGCACUGCCAUCACUAGUUUGUUAUAUUGUUGGUUUCUGGUUGGCAGAUGAGUUUUUAUUGAGUUGAAGUUUCAUUUCUUAGCAUUUAUUAAUUCUAAUUUGAAUUUGCUUUUCAUUUAGGCCAUGUCCUCGCUUAAAGGUAGGGAGAAUACAUUAGAGAAGAUUUGAGGAGGCUAUUGAUUACGUAAAUGAGCAGCAUCCUUCAGAUGAUUCCUCUGUUCCAGCUGUAAGACUGUUUGUUGCUCACUGCCUGCCAGGCUACAAAGACCAGGAAAACAUGGGAUUUCUUGAUAAUGGAAGUAUUUCCCAGUUCAGGAAAAAAGAAAAAUGAUAAAGAUAUUAAGUGAAGGGCAAACUAUUUUUAGUACGAGGUUGGCAUGAAAAAAGUAGAGAUCGAAAUACCUCUCCUUUUAACCAAGAUGAGUUGGCCAUUAGGUGAAACAUAAGAUGCAGGCCUGACCAGAGGUGAGAAGUUUUAACAUUGAAAAAAAAAAAUGGUCUACUUUUAUUUACAAAUAUGACUAAAGAAAGAGAAAAUUUUUGGUUCAAUCCCUCACGUUUAGGGAGAGUUUUUUUUUGGGUCCCUCAUUUUUGAAAGGUAUAAUUACAAAAACACCCCUGAGGUUUGUGACACAUCACAUGGUAUCCCUAAAUAUUGAAAAAUACCACCUACAUCCCUUAUUUUCAACUUCUUCCAACUUUGUCAACCUAUUCCGACAAAUAUGAUUUAAAAACUCAUUUUGGAAGAGAUAAGACAUUUUCAUUCCAAAAUUACCCUUUCUUGUGGAGCUUUAGCUUUCAUGACAAACCAAAUUAACUUCUUAAUAAUCACAACAUGUUAAUGAAAUUGAAAGAUUUUUUAUAGUUUUCGAUAUCAUCUAUCUAAACAAAAAAGGAGAAAAAAUUAGAAACUCUAAAUGAUUUAGAAGACUCAUAUGAGUCAUCCAAAAAUUGUUACAGUUAAAAAAAAAAGACUUUUUGCACCUCAAAUAAAUUUCUAAAUAUAUGGUUAGUAAUUUUAUCUUUUUCUUGUUUUCAAGCCAUCAAUUUGGACAAAAAGUUCAAACAUUCAAAAUAUUCUAAACAAUUUGUAGAAUCCUUAAAUUCAUCCAAAACACUUUGCAACAAACAAAAUAACUUUUCUUUGAAAAUGCCUUAACUGAGUUUGUAAACUUAAUUUUAGACAUUGUGUCCAUUUUUUAUUUUCAAAUCAUUAACCUAUACACAAAAUUUCAAAAAUUCCAAAGAUUCUUAAAAUUUAUAAAACUCCUCCAAUUAACGAAAACCCUUACAAUAAAUGAAAUAUUUUUUCAGCUUGAACAACCUCAAACAUAAUCUUUUGUACCUUAAAAACAUUUGCUAGUAUAUUUUAUCUCACCAAAAUUACACCUGCACACUAUUUUUUUAUUUUCAAGCUUUUAGUACUAUAGUUUCACUUUUGAAAAACUAGUUGGACAACACAAGGGCAAUUUUGGCAUGAAAACAUCUUCGUUCUCAAAAAUGAGUUUAAUAAUAUAUUUUGAAAUGGACUGAUAAAGUAGUUGAAAAUAAAGGAGAUAGGUGAUAUUUGUCAAAGUAAAGUGUUCCAUGUAACAUUGUCAUUACCUUAUGAGAGGUUUCCGAAAGUACCCCUUUUAAAAUGAAGCAAAUUAGUUUCUCACCUUCUAAAAAUAAAGCAAACUAUUCCCAAAAUGACAACCUGAUAUAUAUAUAUAUAUAUAUAUAUAUAUAUAUAUGUAUAUUAUAGGAACAAAAUUAGAACGUCACUUUAGUUUUUGUGGAAUCUAGGUACAUGUCAUGUGCGCAUGACAUUAGGUUGACGAAAAAAGGAAAACAAUUUAAAAAUUAUAACAUAUAAAAAAAUCGUUCUCUCUAAUUUUUAUUUUUUUUUAGAAAAUGAUAUUCGGCCAACAUAAAAAGGACAGUGUAUAUGUGUGUAGAACUUGUAUUUACAAUAUUGAAAUUACAGUUAACUUGAGAGUUUUGGUUUUUUUUUAUUUUCUUUUGGAAUUGGUUUUUUAAUAUUAUACCUAUCGGAUUUAGGGAUGGCAGCGGGGCGGGGUUGGGGCGGCGGACCCCUCCCCCGCCCCCCGCCCCGUUGCCUAUUAGUUCCCCCCGUCCCCCGCUUCCCGCUCCUCCCGCCCCGCCUUGCCCCGCUUCCACCCGCGGGGUUAAUAAAAUUUUAUUAUUAUUAAAUUUUAAUAAAUAAUCAAGUACUAAAAUAUCAACACAUCACCAAAUUAUUAUUCAUUGUAAUUUUACAAUUGAAACUCAUAAAAACAAUCAAACAUAAGUUAUUUGAAUACAAUCCAAUAUGAUGAAAUAAAUAUAACUAAAAUAGUCAAGUUUUCACUUUUAGUACAAAUACAAUCACUAAUUCAUUAUUGUGUUUGUGCUUUUUUUUGAGAAAAAAGUGUUAUUCUAUUAAGUGUUAUUAGAAAUUUAGUAUAAAUGUAUUAGGAAAAUUUAGUAUAACUAAUUAAUAAAUUCUAUUAGUAGACAUGUAUAAUUAUUCAUAUAAUUGAUAAUAUCAAUUAUAUUACAUAAACUAAUAUACAUUAUAUAAUACAUCUAACUAAUAAUAUCAUUAUCAUAAGUUUAUAACUAAUUAACUUACAUAUUAUAUAUAAUUAUAUAAAUAUUUAUAUAUAUAUAUAUUUUUUUUUUUUGCGGGUGGCGGGGCGGGGGAUGGGGCGGGGGUAUACUCCCCCGCCCCCCGCCCCGUUUCUAGGCGGGGGGAAAAAAUUCCCCCCCGCCCCCACCCCACCCCCCGCCCCGAGAGCCCCCCGCGGGCACCCGCCUCCAUUGCCAUCCCUAAUCGGAUUGUAGUUAACUACAGGUUUGUACACAUAUUCACUGUUACUUCAAUCUGACGGCACGCCGUAUCGGUUACAGCAGUAGCAGCAAGAGCAAGGCGCACGCUAUCGGCUGCACCGGCCAAAAUUUCAAACAUUCAUUUUUUUUGGCUUCCAAAUAUGAAAAAGACGUGGAAGGAACAGCAAUUUAUGCAGCGCAUUUCUUUGGUUCAAGGAUAGAAAAGGAACAGAACGGCGUUAUUGUCAACCAUCUCUUCAUAAUCGGAGCAUUAUACUAAGGUGUUGUUUCUUAGUUUAUGUUACAAAAAAUCAAACACAGCAAUUCAUGCAGCGCAUUUCUUUGGUGCUAAGGAUAGAAAAGGAAUAGAAGGGGUUAUUGUCAACCACCUCUUCAUAAUCAGGGCAUUAUAGUCAAGCAACAAACACACAACCCGUUGCCUGCCCAACUGGUCAAGUAUCAGGCCAUUGAUUAAGAUUUUAACAAUCUCCAAAUUGACGCAACUACCCACCUACUCAUGGUGCCCAUGAGGGGCCUAAGCACUAUUCACACCCCUGAUUCCCCCUUUUUGUUUGCCUUUUAUUGAUAUAUAUACUAAUCAUUAUCAUUACUAUAUAAAAAAUACCAUGAGUCUUGGUAUUUUGGAGUGUAAAUUUAAGUAUUCUUGUAAUCUUCGUUUUUGUUAUUUCAAUUAUGUCCUUGUUAAUUGAUGAUUGAAAUUUCAUUAUACUCUUUUUAAUUUAUUAUGAUAAUUAAAAUUCAUUAUACCAUAUCUAUUGAUUUUAAAAAAUAAUAGUUGAUGAUAAGACAAAAUGUUAAGCAUUAGAGAUUAAGCAGAAUUUGGUUUUAGUUUUCUAUUUGUCCAAAAUACCAUUCUCACUAAUAAUCAUUUAACAUAGGAAUAAUUGUAGUAGUCAGGGAAAAAAGUCUAACCUUAAUUAAGUUUGAAUUAUGAAGCCAAUAAAUAAAAUAUAACACUUCAAUCCAAUGUAUCUCUUUACAUUCUAUUUCAGUUUUUUUAUUUUAUUAUAAAUUCUUGAUUAAUCACAGCCUAAUUAAACUUUCAAAUCGUCAAAAAUAUUUCUAUUGAUAUCAAAAUAAGGUGUUCUUAGGAUAAUAGAAUCUUUGUCAUUUAUGCUUUACAUUAGAUUCUGUCUCAAAAAUAAAAAAAAAAAGAAAACAAAAGAAAAAAAAAUAGAAGAACUCAAUUAUCUCUUUCAAUGAAAUUUCAAUUCUCAAAAAAUGAACAAUUAGAUGAAAAAAAUUUAUAUGUGGUAAAUCAUUGCACUCCAUUGUUAACAAAAAUAACACACAAAAUAAUAUAAAGAGUUCAAAUUAAAAAAAUAUACAUUUUUUUUUGUUUUUCAAACAACAGUGCAUGUAACUUCAUAUUGAGAAAUUUCAUUAAGAUACUAACAAAUUCAAUUUAAUAGCACGAAAAAUAAUAAUGAUGGAGUAUGCAACCAAUAUUUAUGCAAACAAUUAUUUUUAUUUUAUUUUUUUACCCUCCUACCCCUCCCUAACAAUUAGCAAACAUAACUUUUGGUUUGCAUGCAAAUUUAGGCCACCCAACUCUAAAAGAAAACAAAAAGUUGUACGUGUAUCUAAUUAAAAAUCAAACAAUGUUAGUGACAUUAUCACAAUUUGUUUGUCAUGCAAAAAAAAAAAAGAAGUAAUUAGAAGUAUCAAUAUUAUACAUACCAUUCAUAAUAUUGAUAUUUUUGUCAAAUCAUUUCAUAUUUGAUCAAAUCUUUAUUUUUUAAAAUGUUAAUUUUUCAUCUUCUAAUUAAUUGUCCUUAAAACUAUUAUUUUAAAUUGAAAGAGAUUAUAGGUAUCCUCAUUUAUUAAAAAUUCUUUAGAGAUUUUAUACGAAUUUAUAGAUAUAACAUUUUGCGAACUUUUUUUUUUUGCUUUUAAAAUGAUGGUUUUAAGGAUAAUUAAUCAAAGAAGAUAAAAAAUUAAAUAAAAAAGGAAAAAAUGCAGAUAUUAAAUUUUUUAAAAUAAUUUUCACAAAUAAAUUUAAUGUAAUGUACUAAUACUAAUAUUUAUAUAUGUAAGAAUAAUUAUAUAGAAAAUGUAAACAAAAUUACUAUCAUACUUACAUAUAUACAGUGCAGCAAUAAAAGAAUAGAUAAUUUUCCAGCCAUGGUAGUGUAAAGUUACUUGGAUUUGGAAAAGAAAAUCGUAAAUAAAUGCAUUUAUUUCUAUUUAUUAUAUUUGAAUUCAAAAUUGAUUGGCAUGGAAAUGAAAUAAAAAAUUAUUAUUGUAGUUUUUAUCAAAUUCAUGCUAUUGUAAUAGAGUGUCUCGUCUAAGGAACAUAUUACCGUAUUUGAAUUACCUUAAUUACCUAGCGUUUGCUCAAUACAAAUGUGUUUGUCAAAAACAUAUUCCCAAAAAAUUCUCCCUCUCCUCUGACCACCUGUCUCAUCGCCUCCCUAUAGUCCCUCCUUUCCCUACUCCUAACCACAUUUUCUCCCUUACCCCCUCCCACUUUCCACCCUUUUUUUUCACUUUUUGUCCUAAUCUACUGUGGCCUCCACCAAUGUUUUAAAAAUCGGACUGUUAAUUGAACCGGUGAAGUGAAAGGGUCGAUGUUCAACCGGUCGGACCGGUUCAACCUCGGUUCAAUGAAUUUUUUAAAAAAUUAUUUAUAUAAAUAUAUAUAUGUACAAAAUAAGACAUGUAAUGGAUUAAUUUAAUACUUUAUAUGAUGAAAGGUUUACUAUUUUUUAAUAACUUGGAUUUUUUAAAAAUAAAUUUUUUAAAUUAUAAGUUAAAACAAAUAAAUUUCACCUCGAUUUCAAUUAUGUCUAAAUCCAAUCCAAAAAUAUCACAAUAUUUUGAAAUUAUACAAAAUUCACGUCUAUGAGAAUUUAGAUAUUGUGAACUUAAAUUUUAAUUUACAUUUUAGAGAUUGUAAUUUAAAAAAGGAAGUUUGGAGUUCGAAGGAAGUCAAGAAAAUCGAAAAUAGAAAUGUAAACUUGAUAAGAAACAAAAAAUGAGAUAAAAGUGAGUGGUUGUAGCAUUAAAUAAUUUGGGUUAAAAAAUAAUUCUUUUUUAACUUUUUUCAAUUUAAUGGACAAAAACCAAAUUAAAAGAUGGAAGAAAACAUCAAUAAAUUAAAAAUAAAGAGGUUUGAUUAAAAAGGGAGUGACAAAAAAAGAGGAUAGAGAGAGAGAGAGAGUUGAAAAUUAAAAAGAAAGAGCCAUGAGCGGAUGAGAUUUUGUAAGAAAAAUGGAAAAAAGAAAUAUAAGUGUUUGCUUUAUAUAAAUAAGUUAUCAAAAAAAACUAAUAAGAUGCGAUGGUGCAACGGUUAAUACAUUGGUCUUCUAUUCGAAUCUUGAUAGCCGCAUUUUGCAAAAAAAAAAAAAAAAGGAAGGUUGAAAACCGGUUCAAUAGCGGUUCAAUCGCGGUUUUUACGGUUCGACCGGUUCUUGACCGGCUUUCUGACAAAGUCAACUAUGGCAUUGAACCGGACCGGUGCCAUGGCCUGGUCGAACAAAAAAAAAAAGGAAGGUUGAAAACCGGUUCAAUAGCGGUUCAAUCGCGGUUUUUACGGUUCGACCGAUUCUUGACCGGUUUUCUGACAAAGUCAACUAUGGCAUUGAACUGGACCCGGUGCCAUGGCCGGUUCGCGGUUCGACCAGCCGGUCCGGUUCGGUUUUCAAAACAUUGGCCUCCACGCCCUCUUCCUCGAACACAAAGCGGAGGUGAAAUGAGGUACUGUUUUGGUGUUCUUUUUUUUUUUCUGGAUAUUUUGGAGUAUCUUUAGCAAGUUACUGUAGAUUUUUUUUUUUUACAAAUUAUUUAUCUUCCUAAAAUACUCAAAAAACACGGAUGCUAAAACAAAAACCUAGCUUUUUAAAAACAUUUUUUGUUUAAAAGCCGGAAAAGAUUUUGGCUUUACCACUAGUUUAAAACUUCGGAUUAAUAAUUAAGAUUAAACAAUAAUGUUUUAAGUUUAUCUCCAGAAGGACUAACAGACGAGUUGAAUUGCCAUUUUCCUCUUUCGCAUGUUUGCCAUCAUACUUUAUUGUCCCUCCGGAUUGGAACGUACUCAGUCAGUAAAGAGAUGAAGGCCACAACAACAACAUGAUUAACAAAACUCGAAGUGAAAAUGCCAACCAAUCAUUAUCCUUUUUGGUUAUUAGAGCAUAAUACUAGAAAUAUGUGUGUGAAAUAUUUCACUUAUCAUGGCGAUGUACACUUUCAAUGCAACGAAUGUACAAUUCAAACAUGAGUUUAUGUUGUAAUGAAUAUGUAAAUAAGAGUUACAUUAUAGAGCACAAUUGUUAAGGCACUUUUUAUCUAUUCAAUGAGAUUAACACAAAUGCACCAUCGUUCAAGUUAUUCUUUGUCUAACGCCAUUAGUCAAGCACUUCAGCAACAGGCGAGAGAUGUGUAAUUAUGUUGAUGCCCCUUUCUUGAUAAGAUGGAAGCAAAUGCAUCAUUCAAGUUAUUCUUGGCCAAAAUUCAUUCAUCAUUUUUUUUUAAAAAAAUAAUAAUAAGAUAACGACAAUGGCACGCCAAUCCCCCAUGAAAGUGAGCUCAACAUCUUUAGUUGUGUAAAGUUUAAAAGGCUCACUUCUCGACAAUUUUACAAUUUAUUCAGAAUACUUCAUAUCUAAGAUUCCAUUUUCUCUUUCCAAAAAUAAAGGUUCAAGUAAUUUGACAUCACAAGCCUGAGAUACAAAGGUAAUUCUAAGUGUUUUACAUGUUUUUCAACUUAAGAAUGCGUUACAUUUUGUGGACGAUGUUGAGCUCUUAUUUUAAGAAUGCGUAACUGAUUAAAUAGAAUGAGACACGGAGGUCAUCGUCCAUAAAUCAGGCUACUUUUUGAAGCCAGUUCCCAAAACGUGACGGUUUUCAAACAAACGUAAUCACUGAAUGCGUUUUUUCAGGAAAGGCAUACGCUAAAUGCAAUGUUUAAAAUUUUAAGAAAAAAUAUAGUUUUAGUCCCUACUGUUUAAUCUACAUGCAAUUUUAGUUUUUAAAGUUUUGAUAAAAGUAAAUCUGGUCCUCAAUAUUUAGUAUAUGUAUAGUUUUAGUCCCUAUAGUUUUGGCAAUAGCAAAUCCGAUCUCCAAUAUUAUCAAUUUGAAGCAUUUUUAGGACAACUGGUGAAUUUUUCUAAAUAUUGAUCGAAUCAGUCAUGUUUGGUCACAUAUUUGUUGAAAAACUUCUUAAAAUUUAAUGAAAUAACAAGUAAUCUUGAACAGUAAGAAUAACUUGCACGCUAGCACAUUAAUAACUAAUUAAUCACGAGAAAAAGAAAGAAAAUUUGUUAAUCUAUAACUAAAAUUAGGUAUUACAAUUUUUUUUUUUGCUUGGAGACACGAGGGAUAGUCAAUGAAAAUGAAUUUUGGAUCGAUGAACUGGGUACAUUGAAGUUUUAGUUUAAAAAUUUUCCUUCUUUUAACUAUUUAAUUAGUUAGCACAUGAGUUAUUAGUUUUCAAUUUUGAUGCUUCAAGUUAGCUACUCUUUUGCUUCUUUAUUUUGAAAUUUAAAUUAAUAGGCAAAUGACUAAACGUGGCUCUAUUUUGUUAGUAAUUGAGAUAAAAAUUCUUCAAAUGUCCUAAACCAGAUUCAAAUUGGAUAUAAUGGGGACCAGAUUUGCUCUUGCUAAAAUUUUAUGGACUAACACUGUAGACGUGCUACAUAUUAAGGAUCAUGUUUGCUGUUGUUAAAACUUUAAGGACUAAAUCUGUACAUGGGCUAAACAUUGAGGACUAAAACUAUAUUUUUUCCAAAAAUGGAAAAUUUAUGCCUUCAAAGAAUGAAAAGUGGGAUUUAGCAAAUGCAAUUUUUUAACAAUUGGGGUCGGUCUAGUGGCCAAAAGAGAGCCUUUAGAGUUUUUAUGAUUGUUAGAUUUAGGGUUUAAAUCCUGUAUCUGAUAAUUGAUAGCAGGAAAGGUAUAGGAAUGGGUGGAAGGGUUAAGAAAAAUGCAACUUUUCUCAAACAUUGCAAUUACGAAAUAUAUUUUUCACCCUUUGGGAAGAAGUUUGAAAAACAUCAUUUUUAGGAUUUUUUUUUAAAAAAAAAAACUAGCACUCAUUCGGUAUAUACUCCAUCAUCCACUAGAUAAUUCUAUUUGCAAAACCAGCCAACUAGCAAAAUAAGUAAUACAUUGACAAAUUGGUCUUUUCCAAUUUGAUUGUGAUCAUAGUUCAUUGUCCCUCCUGGAUGGAACUUUAAGUUACACCACUUUUCCAACAGUCAUUCAGAUACAUUCAGAUUAAAGGGUUCCGGCAUUCAAUCAGUAAAGAUGAAGGCCCCAUCAACAACACGGAUUGAGGGCUUUUAUAAAUCCAUCACACCAUUUUUGUUAUUUCUUGUUAAUAAAACGUAAUUGUAUUGGAAGUUGAGUUGGAGCUUGGGACAGUUGACGUGGAUGCAUAUGAACUGUCUCACAGAUUAUGGUGAUUAUACACCUUCAAUGCAACGAGUGUACAAUAUUUUAAGCAUGAGUUUCGUGUUGUAAUGAAUAUGUAAAUAAGAUUUGUCUCAAGCAAUUAUGCCUAAUAAGAUUCACUUUGUAAAAAGGUGAAGACCCCAGCAACAAGCCAAGCAUCCAACUUUGCCAACGAAGCAGUGCUCUACACGAAUUGACGGCUCAUUAUUUCUUGUACCCAUAAAUAUCUCUGUGGUUAGUGUGAAUGCAGCAAAUUAAUAUGCAAAUGAGAGUCACAUUAUGGUUAAUUAAUCUUGGCCAUAAAUUAUCUCGGGCAAUUAUGCCCUGUAAUUAUUCAGGCUUUCUUUACACAUUUAAUGAGAUUGAGACAAAUGCACCACAAAAGUUUUUCUUUAUCAAAGUGAAACAGUUUGACAAAAACAAAGAAUAUGUAAUUAUUGAUGCCCUUUGAUGUCAAGAUUGAAGCAAAUGCAUCUUUCAAGAUACUAACCCCACCGACCGAUUUUUUUUUUUUUUUUUUUUUAGAAAAAGGAAAUUGGAUUGUAGGUCGAAAAUCCGACACCAAUCCCGCAUGAAAGUGCACACAAAAUCCUUGGUUUUGUGAAGCUUAAAUGGAUCAAUUCUGAACUGAUGAUUAUUUUACAAUUCCUUGAUGAUUGUUCUCUUCAGAAAAUAUACGUUCAAGUAAUUUGAGAUCACCAAUUGACUGAACAUGGUCUCUUUGUGGGUCCUCCUUAGAUUGCUUUCGUGAUCGAUUUUCCGAUGACUCCUGCAUUGGUUUAAAUUAGCAGUGUGUGUGUUUAUUUCGUUUCCGAAAAAAAAGUAAUUUGAGAUCACAAGUUUGGUACACAAACCUAUGAACCAUCCACUUUAUGUCUCUAUUCUUAACCAGCAAAGAAGCAAGGUAGCUGGUCCAAAAAGAAGAUUCCCUGUUUGUUUGUAAUAAAAAUGAGUCCCACCGUAGAAUAAAGCAGGAGCACUCGAAGACUUAUCUUAGAAGCACUUCAAAUUCUUUUCUUCUCCUUAACAUAUUUGCUUUUAGGUGAUGCAGCUGAAGAAUUCCUUCUUAUCUCAUUGCAAAAGGCGUCCUGAUCAUCACCUUAACUGAUACCAGAAUACUAAGCCUCAUGAAUGAGACACGAAGCUGAUCAUCCAAAAGAAGAUCCAAAAUAACUGUUAAUUAUAAAGUACUAAUUGGGCAAUGUAGAACCCUGGAAAAGCAUUCAAUCAGAAAAAGGUGAAGACCCUAGCGACAAGCUAAGCACCAAUUCCUUUGGAAAUUAAAGCAUCCCACUUUGCCAACGAAACACUACUCCACACGGAUUGAGGGCUCAUUAUUUGUCACAUAAUUAUCGUCAUUAUCAUUAAAGGUGAAGACUGUUAGCUUCCUUAUAAAACCCCCGUCAAUAAAAAAAAAUUCAUCUCACUCUUCCUUCUCUUGACCACUAACACUCUGGUGGAGCGAAAAUAGAGAAACUAUUUGUGCCGUCUUUUUACUUCAAGAUCAGGUAACCUCCUCUUCUAUUCAUAGUUUCUUCAUAGUAUUACGGAUACAUUGACAUGGGGUGUAUGAUGGAAUUCUUUUUUGUCAUAUGAAUUUUCAAAACUCCUUAAUGAAUCAAAUUUAUACUCUUUUUAGUUGUUUUCUGGAUACUUGAUUGUGCUUUUUCUUAAAUACUUGAUAGCUUAUUCUUUGGUCUUCUACCUGAUUAUAUGAAUAAUUAUACGGCUUCAAUGAUUUUUCAAAAUUAUCCCUAUUUAACAAUCCUGGACAAGUAGGAUGAGAGAUUAUGAUGUAUGUAUUGCUAGGAAAGUUCGUUAAUUUGCAUUUAGAUCAAAGUUUAAACAAGUUGGAUAAUUGAUAAUUUAUUCCCGUUGAAUCAUCUUAGACAUCAAUUUAUGCUGCACUUAGUGCUGAUCUUAAUCACUCACAACUAUGAUCAGAUUAUCACCAAUUAAUGGCUUGGCAUAAUCCCUCACAACAACUUUUGCCGGUUCUUUUAGAUGGAGCUAUAUACUCGUAAGGCAGCAUACGACAUGAAAUAAUUGAUUUUUUUUCCAAGUAGUAUUGGGUGGCAAACUAUGAUCAUAUUUUAAGGACCUCGUAUAUAUAGUAAGGUUGUCUGAUUAGCAACAAAUUUAUUAUUUUAGUUACCUACUGACUCAUAAAAACAAAUACACUAACAUUAAUACUUUCAGAUGGAUAAGAAAUCACACGAAGAUUCAAAUCAGUUUCACAUCCAACAAAAACAAUGACAAUUAGUUGGUGUUGAUGUUAUUUACCAUGUAACAAAAUUGAUCAUGCCUCAAAGGAUUUGUUGCACAAAUUAUGUUGAAUGACCCAAUGGGUAUCGAUCUAAACAAAGUCAGAAUGUGCGAAAGGAAAUACUGAUGCAACUUAGAACAAAUCAGGUAUGUAGACUCGACAAACAUUGACAAAAAAUUCCUAAUUUUGGCCAACUUGGAUAUAUAAACUUAAACGGUGAUGUGAGGUGAAAAAUUAGGGGCAACAUGGAGGAACACUGGUCUAGGGGAAUUAUAUGACAAUUGUAGUUUUGAUGGAGUAAAAUAAUAAGCUCUUGACUUAGGUUCCGUUUGAUAAAACUGAAUCUGAAUUUUGAAGUCUGAAUUCUGAAAUCUGAAUACUGAAACAAUUAAUUUGCUGAAUUUUAAGCAUUGAAAAAAAUAUGUGAAUGUCUGAAUUUUAAUGCUAAACCUAUUUAUACUGUUUGAUAAAUAUUUAUUACUGAAUGCUUAAUAAGUUUAAUUUGACAAUUUUGCCCUUAUAUCCUUUUAUUCAAAAAAGAAAUAGAAUCUAUGAUUUGAUUAGUUUAAAAUUGUUAGGUAUGAAAAUGACAAUAUUUAUUUUUAAAUCAAAUUAAUAUAAAAGAUGAAAUAUAUUAUAUAAGGAAUAUGGAGAAGAUGUGAAAGUCAUUAAAAAGGGAGAAAAGAGAAACUAAAAAUCGUUAGAUAGAGAAUAUUAGGUUGUUUAAUUAGAUAAGAAUUUUGAAUAUAAUUAACAAAUAAGGGUAGAUUUGGUAAAUAAAAUAAGGUAGUUGAAGUAAUUCUAUUGAUUCUUAUCAGAAUUAAGCAUUCAGUUAGGAUUCUUGUAUUGAAAAAAAUACACACAGGUUCAGCAUUGCUUAAUAAGUUCAGCAAAUAGAUUUUCAUUUAUCAAACACUCAAAACAUUUGAAUGUCUGAAAAAAUUCAGAUUCAGCUAUGUUAUCAAACAGACCCUUAAACCUGAAGGUGUUUAAAUUUUCUUUGGCUUAAAGGCGUUUAAAUUUGAAGCUGUCAGUUUUGUUGCAAUUAUUUACUUUAGAAGAACUUUUUAAUUAAAGGGCACGGUUGUAAAACUAACAAGGGAGACAAUCUUUUCCUUUCACUCCUCCCAAGUCUCAAACAAAACCAAAAAAAUCAUUUCUUUUCUUUUCUUUUUUAAGUUCCCAAACAACAUUGAAGGAAAGUUGUCUAACUUAAUUAGUCAAACAUUCUUUAUGUUUAUAUAUAUAUAUAUGACUCAAUCCAAGGUUAUGCAAAAUUUAAAAGAUUUAAUAAUCAACAGUUCUACAAUUUGGACAAAGAAUCUCAAGAUUUCAUUAUUGACCAAAAGCAAGUAAUUUGAGAACACAAGCCUCACUACCAAGACACUAAGGUAACCAUCCGCUACACCUCUCAAAAUUUCUACUACACAGGAGGCAAAUUAACUGGUUUAAAAAGAGGGUCUGAUUUGUUUAUUGAUUUGCUAUAUAAACUUUUUGGUCCCAUUAAUUUUCGCUACCUUAAUUCCCUAAUUGAGGAACGGUCUUAUAAAAGUUUCACCACCUACUCAGAUUGCUACAAUUUAUAGUUCCAAUUUUCUUUUCAUCCGACCACAGUGGUUUAAUUUCUUCCACAACUAAGGCCCCCAUCAGUGACUAAAUCAGAUUGCGCUAAAAUUAUUUUGAGGUGCCCCACGCAAUUUGAUUAAUCACAAUUAUACUAAUCUGAAUCUCUCUUAUACAUCAGCCCACUGGAAUCGUUUAAUCAUCUCUCUCUUGUUCUGACUGGCUUCUAUUCUGAUUUCUGCCAUUUGUUGCUGAAACAUUCCUUCCAUCUCUGAUAUCAGAAAACCUUUCGAUCCUAGUUCCAAUUCCAAGCAAGAAACAAUGGCUGACGCUGUUAUCAGUGCUACUGUUGAGGUCGUCUUGGGGACACUUAUUUCCAUUGCUGCGGACCGCAUUGGUAUGGUUCGGGAGGUCGAAGCGGAGUUGGAGAGACUAAGCAACACUGCUGCAAUGAUCCGAGAUUUCUUGGCUGAUGCUGACGGGAAAAUGCAUACCCAAGGGGUGCGACAGUGGCUCAAGCAGCUAGAAGAUGAGGUUUUUAAAGCUGAUACCGUGCUAGACGAGCUCAACUACGACAAUCUUCGUCGGGAGGUGAAGUACCGAAAUCAACCAAUGAAGAAGAAGGUAUGCUUCUUCUUCUCCUUCUUUAAUGCAAUUGGCUUUAGUUCCAGCUUGGCUUCAAAGAUCCGGGACAUCAACACCAACCUAGAGAGGAUCAACCGGCAGGCCAAUGACUUGGGAUUGGUCAGAAAGCACCAAAAAGAAGCUGCACUCCCUGCUGAUGCCGCGGCAAGCAGACAGACCGACUCUAUUGUCGUUCCGAACGUUGUAGGAAGAUCCGGCGACGAGUCAAAGAUAGUGGAGAUGCUGUUGACCCCAUCUGAAAAGGUUCUUUGUGUUAUUCCCAUAACAGGCCCGGGAGGUUUGGGAAAGACAACUCUGGCGAAAUCAGUCUACAAUAAUCCAAAAAUAGAUGGGCACUUUGGCCAAAAAAUUUGGGUUUGUGUGGCUAAAGAACACAUUAAGAUAAUGGAGCAGUUCAAGCUCAUUUUAGUACAAUUGACACAAGAUGAAGUUAAAGUGGAUGGCAGAGAGGUUAUCGUUAAAAAAAUUGGAGAAAAGCUCAAGGGAAAAAAAUAUUUCCUUGUUCUUGAUGAUGUGUGGGAUCAUGAUCAAGGAUUGUGGAAUGAUUAUUUCAACACUUUGAUGGGACUCAACGAAACCAAAGGAAGCUGGUGUCUUCUCACUACUCGUCUAGAAUAUGUGGCUAAUGCUGUGCCUAGAGAUUUGCAAAUGAAUGAUCGUCCUUAUUUCUUAGCAAAGCUAUCAGGUGAUGAGUGCUGGUCCAUCAUAAAAGGAAAGGUGAUGAGUGCAGGGGAAGAAGUACCAGAAGAAUUGGAAGCACUGAAGAAGCAAAUUUUAAGGAGAUGCGAUGGCCUACCCUUGGCGGCAAGUUUGAUUGGUGGCUUGUUGCAUACCAACAGAAGAGAGAAGUGGCACUCCAUUGUGCAGGAGAGUAUUUUGAAUGAAUAUCAAAGCCAAAUUAAUCAAAUACUUAAGGUGAGCUUUGAUCAUUUAUCACCUGCAUCAGUUAAGAAAUGUUUUGCAUAUUGCUCAAAUUUUCCCCAGGAUACUCAAUUACGAGAAGAUGAACUAAUUCAGCAUUGGAUUGCGGAAGGUUUUGUUCUAAAGAAUAAUAGAGUGAUGGAGGAAACAGGAGGCGAGUAUUUGAGGAUUUUGUUGCAAAAUUCCUUGCUGGAAAAAGUCGAAGAGUCGUGGAGAACAUACUAUAAAAUGCACGAUCUCGUGCAUGAUUUUGCAAAAUCAAUUCUUAAUCCAGAAAGCAGCAAUCAGGAUCGCUACCUUGCAUUGGACUCUUCUAAAGGUUUGGAAGAAAAUACCAUAAGGACAAUACCAGCAUCAAUUCGCACAUUAUUUCUCCAUCUAGAGGGCGGCGUAUCUACUGACAUGCUUUUAAGAUUCAAGUGCUUGAAUGUUCUCAGAUUGUCUGGCGAUGAUGUCGAGUCUCUACCGAGCUCCAUUGGCAAACUACUACAUUUGCGGCUGCUCGACAUUUCAUCUUCUAGAAUCAGAAGUUUGCCGGAAUCCCUUUGCAAGCUAUAUAAUUUGCAGACACUAACGAUUGAUGAUGAUGCACUUGGAGGACGUUUUCCAAAACGGAUGAGCGAUUUGAUUAGCUUGAGGCAUCUAAAUUACUAUGAUUAUCUUCGAGAAUUUAAAAUGCCGGCACAGAUGGGACGAUUGACUGGUCUUCAAACUCUGAAGUUUUUUAUUGUAAGUCAAGAGAGGGGUCGUGGUAUCGAAGAGCUUGGGACCUUGAAAUAUCUGAAAGGAUCGUUGACUAUAAGAAAUCUUGGACUAGUGAAGGGCAAAGAAGUAGCUAAAUAAGCAAAAUUGUUCGAAAAGCCAGAUCUGUCUUACUUGGCGUUUGAAUGGGAGAGUGGGGAUCGGGAAAGCGAUAACCGUGAAGAGGAUGUGUUGGAAGGUCUCCAACCUCACCCAAAUUUGGAAAGGUUGGGAAUUCAAUAUUUUAUGGGUAAUAAAUUUCCACAAUGGCUUAUCAAUUUGUCAAAAUUGGAGGAAUUGCGGAUAGAAGGCUGCAAGAGAUGCAGUGAACUCCCCUCAUUAGGACAACUGCCAUCCCUCAAAAUUCUCUAUUUGAUAAGAUUGGACAACAUUCGAUUUAUUGGAGAUGAAUUCUACGGUAUUACUGCUAAUGAGGAGGAGGAGGGCAGAUCACGAGCAUCAGGGAGCAGCACUAGAAGGCAAAAAUUCUUUCCUGCCCUUGAAGAACUCACUGUAGUAGAUAUAGAGAAUUUGGCAGAGUGGAAGGAUGCAGACCAAGUGAGGUCAGCAACAGGUGAAGCAGAAGCAGAUGUCUUUCCCGUGCUGAGGAAUUUUCGCAUUCGAGAUUGCCCACAACUGACCACCAUUCCAACUCAAGGUCGUUUCCCAAGUCUUGAUGUAUUGGAAAUAAAAAAGAAUUGCCAUGUUUUGCUGGCAGAAAAGGUUUUGAGCAAUAUAGCCAAUCUCUCGUCCCUUGAAUUAAGUGGCGGUCAUGAAGGCAUCGAGUCUCUAAAAUUAGUGAAACGACCAGAGAGCAGCUUGAGUAUUGAUGGCUGUAACAGUCUACCCACUGACAUGCUUGAGCGACUCUGUCUUUUUCCAACUCUUCUGCGUGUAGAAUUGAGGGGUGCCGAUAAUAUAACAACAUUAAGAGGACAGAAAGGCCUGCUUAAGUCUCUUCAGGAAUUUACUGUCAAUGGGUGCGAUGCAUUAACAAGGUUACCAGUGGAGAUGUUCGAGUCGUGUACGUCUCUCCGAGUGCUGAAUUUGGUCGAUUGCCCCAAUCUGGUCUCCUUUCCCCUUGAUUUGCAACGAACCCCUUCUCUCGAGAGCUUCUCGUUAUUCGAGUGUCCCAACUUGAUUGCUGAGAUGCCUAGUGGAUUUGGCUAUCUUACCAGCUUAAAGAAAGUGCAGAUUGGUCCCUUCUCAGAUGUCUCUGUAAUCGAAUUUGAUUGGGCUGGAUUAGCAUCUUCACCAACACUCCGACACGUGUUUUUAUGGGGAAUGCCUGACAUGAAAUCUCUGCCACAUCAGCUUCAAUGCUUGACUACCAUCACAUCACUAUGUCUAAUUGGCUUCGAAGCAAUCGAAGCCUUACCAGAUUGGCUUGGGAAUUUUGCAUAUCUUGAAGACCUAAUCCUAUACUAUUGCCUAAAGCUUGAAUAUUUACCAAAAGAUGCCAUGAAACGCCUCAAAUUAAGACGUCUGGAAAUUAGUUAUUGUCCUCUAUUAACCGAAAGAUGCACUCCUCGUAGCGGCUCCGAGUGGCCAAAGAUCUCUAAUAUUACAGAGCUUGAAAUUGAUUAAAAGCCAUCUUUCUGAGCCAUCCGGUAAGAUUUCACUGCAAACUUUUGAUUAAUUGCUUCUCAUUAUUGGAUAUCACUGUUCUUCACCAUCUUAUUCUAUCCAUCUUUUUGCCUCACUCUUUUUCUACUUCUUCUCAUUAAAGUUUCUUGUCCCUCUCUGGUGGAACUUACACAAUUAUUCAAUCAGAAAAAUAUGAAGGCCCCAGCAACAACAGUGAUCGAGGGCCAAGCAACUUCCAUUGCAAAAGCAUCCAAAUUUCCCACCGAUGUCUUUUAAGUAUUCUACCGAAACAACUAAUGGCCGCCUUCAUUGACCAAACUUAGAAUUGUUGUGGCCGACAAAAUUUAGUCUAGGCUUUCAUACAGCUAUUCUUUAUCAAAUCAUGCAACAUAUAUUUAUUUGUAAACCAAAAACUUGCAACAAAUAUUUGGAAUUUUUUUUUUGAAAAAUAUUGUGACGUUUCUUUAAUCUGAUGUAUGAUGUAUGUGAGAUAAAAAAAAUAGUUAAAAAUGUAUUAAUAAUAUAAAUAAAUAAAUCUUGACAAAUAAUUUACAGUCACAAACAAACCCAUUACAGCCAGAUGACACGUUACUAUGAACUAUGAACAGAGAAUCUUUUAGAAGUUUGCAUCCGAAGAUCAAAAUAUUCCUUUGCUAACUUAAAUAUAUGCAUUUACCAUUCCAUGUACUGAGAAAUAAGUACAACAUUGGCAAUAAUUCAUACGGUAAUUCAGAUAUUUUCAGUAACAGGCCCCAGCAUUGAAUCAUAAAAAUAUGAAGGCCCCAGCAACAACAAUAAUGAUUAAGAAAGCUAGGGCGAAAAUGCCAAGCAUCCAAUUUCCUACUGAAUUGAAGCCCAGCACUAGACUGAUUGAGGACUCCUUAUUUGUCACAUAAUUAUCAUUAUUUAUUUCUUGUACCAAAACAUGGUAGUCGAAGUUGAGUUGGACCACAGGGUUGUUAAUGCGAGCAUAAAUAUCUCAUGUGAUUAGGGUGGUUCUACACCUCGAAUGCAACAAACGUAGUACAGUUUAAGCAUGGAUUUGUGUUGCAAUUAAUGUAUGCGAAUAAAAUUCAUUGUGUGAUUGUAAAAAAAUAAAUAAAAUUUCCUCUUAAUUUCUUAAAUUGGAGAAUAAAAGAAGCUGGUAAAUUGUUUUUUUUUUCUUUUUUGGCAAAGCCCCAAAUUGGGGUAGGGAUGCCAUCCCUUAAUUUAUUUAUAUCGAAAAAGAGUACAGCGAAUUAGAGGAGGGCCAAACCUGACCUCUGUUAAAGUAAAAGAAACAGUUAAGGAUCAACAAUAAAACGCACAUAUGGAAAAAUCUGGAAUAAUCUUGUGGGAUUGUGAGUGAGCAUGGGAAUUUGGUUUAACAUCUUGACGUGUUUGCAUUGUUUUACCUUUUUUUUGAAAGCUGCUUCCUCGCUCUCUUCGAAUCAUUUGGGUAAAUUGCUCGUGAACUAGGUUCUGGUCUUGAUCUUUGUCUUUUUCGCAUUGUGAAUCACCUUCCUCCUCUUCAUUUUUGUCAUCAUUGCAUGUUGUACUUGAAUGAAGAAAAGGCUUUUGAUGUACAAAGGGGAUCCUACCAUGUAAUUUCUCCCAUUUAAACUGUUCGAAAACAUCUUUAAAUUGCGGAACAUCUUUAAACCGUGACUUUUGAGGCAUAGAGGAUUUCAUUUCUAUUCUUGUACUUGUACCCACAAGGGGUGUAUCUCCAACUGACACCACAUCAUGUAGGUCAUGAAGAAGCCGGUAAAUUGUAAUUAACUUAUUAUACAAAAAAAAAAUUUAUGUUGUUUCUUCAGCUUUAUAAAUUUUUGGUGUGAAAAUUUUUUUAUUUGCUUAAGAAUAAAAAUUAAUAAAAAUUUUAAAAAGAGUAAUUUGGAAUAAAAACUAGAAGGGAAGGGAAAAAAAUGAAGAAAAUAUCAACAUAGUAGAGGGAUUUUUUUUCCUCUUAGUUAGGGGGUUAAGUGUUACAAAAUAGAAAUUAGUGGGUAAAAUGAAAAAUAGGGCAUACCUUAGCAAGAUAAAUUGUAAUUAACUCGUAUUAUUAAUUAAAUAAAUCUUAUAUACACUGACAGUGUAUACACUCUCACCGUUAGAUUCAUGACACGUGUGCAAAAAUUAAAUUUCAAAUUUAAAUUUUAUAUAGUUAUCAUUCAUCUAAUGCUGAUAAUGUAUACACUGUAAGUAGGAAAGAUUAAUCCUUAUUAAUUUAUUAUGUGAUCUUAACUUCAAAGGUGAAACUAAUAAUAUGGACCAUUAACGGUCGUACAUGAGCCAUUAAUUAAGAACAUCUUUAGCUUAAACUCUGACAGCCACUAAGUUUUUAACUUCCAUAUUUAUACCCCUGAAGCAAAUGUUUUGAGUAUAUCUCUAAAAGGACUAACAGAUUAGGUGAAUGACCAUUUUCCUUUUUCCCAUGUCUUUGCCAUCACACUUUAUAUAAAGUCCCAUUAGGCUGCAACGGACAAGUGAAAAUGCCAAGCAUUCAGAUCUUUUCAGAUUAAAGGGCUCCAGCAAGCAUUUACUCAAUAAAGAUGAAGGCCCCAGCAGCAACAGGAAUGAUUAAGAAAACUCAGGUGAAAAUGCCAAGCAACUUCCAAUGCGGAAGCAUCCGAUUCCAAGCUCGCCGACGAAGCAUUGCAAUUCUACACGACCGGAGGACUCUCAAUUGGUCACAUCAUGAACCUUUUUUUUUUCUUGUGAAUAGAACAUAAUACUAGAAGUUGAGGCGGAGCCGAGGGUUGUUAAGAUAUAUACAAUAAGAUUAUGGUAAUUGUACACCUUCAAUGCAAUGACUGUACAAUUUAAACACGAGUUUGUGUUGUAAUGAAUAUGCAAAAAAAAAAAAGGGUUACAUUAUGGUUAAAAAUUUUGCCAUAAAUUGUCUCAAGCAAUUAUGCCCAAUAAUUGUUAAGGCACUUUUUUAUCUAUUCAAUAAGAUUGAGAGAAAUGCACCGUUGAAGAUAUUCUCCGUCAAAAUUCAUUAGCCAAACAUUAUAGCGAAAACAAGAAAUGGAAGUGUUGAGGCUUCUUUAUUUAUUUAUUUUUUGGAUAACAUUGAAGCAAAUGCAUCAUUGUUAUUCUUUGCCAAAUUACGGCCAUCAGUUUUUUUUUUUCUAUUAAAAGAUAGUGACAAUGGCACGUCAAUCUCCCCUCAAAGUGAACUCCACAUCUUUGGUAGUGUCAAACAAGUGGUUGAACUUUAAUUUUCUAAAACAAUACAGCAGCGAACCACACAAUUACACUGUGCAUUCUUACUAUCAGGGUUGGUUAUUGUAACAUCUGAUAUUUGUAUGUAUGUGUGUGUAUAUAUAUAAGGGUGUAUUUGAUAAAAUUGAAGUUUGAAAAGUGAAAUCUAAAAUCUAAAGUCUGAAUUCAUUAAAUUAUUAAAAUGUUAUAUACUAAAUCAAAUACUUUUAAGUGUAUUUCACAUUCAAUGAUAAGUGAAUAGCUAGCUUAUCACUUAUUUUUAAGAACAAGCUUUGAAAUUCUCCUCUUUGCUCUAUGUGUGCGCGUGUGAAAUUGAGUUAUCAAACACGGCCUAAGUGUGAAUGUGUGUAUAAUGCUAUAUAAACGAGGAAACUUUGAUCUAGUGAUUAAUGUUGAAAAGUCAGAAAUUAGAGAUUCAGGGUUCAAUUCUCCUCUUUGCUCACUCCACUUCUUAAAUCUCCUUCUUCCUUACUACACUUCUUAAAUCCUAGAAAGCCUUGCUUUAGUGGUUAAUGUUAAAACUUCUUAUAUCUCCUCUUUCCUUACUCUACUUCUUAAAUCCUAUAAAGUUUUGGUCUAGUAGUUAAGUUUGAAACUCCAACAAUCAGAGGUCCAAGUUUCACUUCUUGUCUUUUCUCACUUCACUUCUUAAAUCCUACCAUUCAUGUGAUUUUUUUUUUUAAAAAAACAAUAUAAAUGUUUUUGAUUUUAUUUUCAAAGGACUCACUUCUUAAAUCCCACUCUUACUGUGUUUUUUUAAAAAAAAAAAUUACUACACGAAUGUUUUUGAGUUUAUUGCUAAAGUACUCAUCAAUAAAUGAGGUGAGCUGCCGUAUGCAUUUUUCCAAUUUGAUUAGGAACGUGUAGUUUCUUGUCUAUCUGGGGUGGAACCUACACCAGUGUUAGAACAACCAUUCAAGCACUUAGUACAACAGGCCCCAGCAUUCGGUCAAAAGAUAUGAAGCUCAGCAUUCAAUUAUAAAAAAUGAAGACCCCAGCAACAACAAUGAUCAAGUGAAUUCAAACUCCAACAGUUAUUCCAGAUUUAUCAUGAUGGUUAGUUAAUUUCAAAUGCAAUUGAGUCGGAUUCUCCCUUAGUAUAUAAUAAUGUAGAAUUAGUGUAGCUGCUGUGGAUUCACAAAAUAAAUAAAUAGAAAUAAAAAAAUAAAAAUAAAACUUCCACAGAUUAAGGGCUCAUAAUUUGUCGCAUAAUUAUUCUUGACAGGUCGUCAACCUGUGCAAUAAUAAAAUUAAACCUAAUUGCCAGUUAAAAUGACCAAAACCCAAUUCCAAGUACUGGAGCAGGGACUCUAGGUGUGCAAUGGGUUACUUGAUUCACCCUGUUCCCGAAGAGUUUGCUUGAUCCGAUAUACCCGAAUGGAAUGGUUAUUCCUUUUCACAAAUGAUUAGGAAUUUGUAGACAGGGCAAGUAGGGUCGUAUCCACAGAGACUGGGUAUAUUUGUUUCUUAAGAAAUCCAAAGUAACACAGGGGGUGAUUUUGUAGGAACGACGAUAAUUAAAUAAAUUCAAAUGAGAAAGUAAAAAUAAAUAAUUAACUAGAAAUUAAACCACAAUUUACUGAACUCAGGAUAACAAUAGUUAAAGGCCUCAAUUAAUUAAAAUAAGGAAACAAUCAAAAAUAAAAUAAAGUAGGUAAUUAAAAGUCAAAUGGCAAUCCACUACAAUCAAGGAAAUAUUAACUAAAGAUCUAGCCAAGAAAUAACUUCAGCAAUGGUUCACCUAAUCGAUCAUUGAUGCAAAGCAAUCCCAAUUAUUUACUAAUAAAUAGGUUAUAACUACCAAACAAGCGAUGGCAGUCAACCCCUCCUUACUGUGUCGGUGAUCAAGGUACGCCCGUUAAUCACUGCUCUAAUUGAGAAAUAAUCCUAGGUACGCCCGUAGAAUUUAAUUCCCCAACUGCCUUACGUAUUAGAGGAGCCCUAUUCUACCCAAAUAACACACUACCAGGGUUAUUUUAGAUUAGCCCGCGUAUCCCCCUGACACGAAUCUAAUCGUGCCAGUUGUCACUAAUUUGAGGUAAUUAAACAAUUACGGAUUCAAUACCCCAAUUGACAAUAGAUUAUCAAACCAAUGAAUUAUCCGGAUCCAAGACAAUCAACUAAUUAAAUAAUCAUAAGCACUGCAACCAAGGAAUAUGCGAAUACCAAUAAAUAAAGGAAAAGAUAAAAUUAAAUCGAUCUCACAAUUUACAGGUGACCCAAAGCAUCAGUCGUUUCUUGACUAGAACGAGGGGGUUAGCUCAUAUUGGAUGAACUAAGCCCGCGGGAAAUUCCAGCAAAAGUCACGGCCGUUGUAUGCAUUUCAAGAGCCGCAAUUCGUCAAACACUUGGAAAGCGAAUGUAAGGCACGGGUAACAAUUGAAACUUUCUAAUUGUUCCUAGCAUUCGUAAAGCAAAUUCACUCCAGAAGUACAGUGAGGAAAAGUCAAAGAAAGUGGGCUUCAAUUCCUUGCUCCUGACAUGCGUGGAGACAAGCCAAUGCAAGACUACAAUAAACUAACAAGGAAAAGUCAAGAAUUGGAGCUAAGCUCCCCUGCCAUGCGCAGGAAUCCCAAAAGUAAAAAGUAAAGCUUCAAAGAAAAGUCAACAAUUCUUCCUAAGCUACAGACGGAAGAUCCAGCACAAAAGCCAGCUCCCUUUUUGAUCCCUUUUUCCCCCUUCUUAUUGCGGCGGCUCACCAGGAGAGGAGAGCCCUCCGUCCGUCCUUUCUUCCGGAAAUUACCAAAAUGGGCAUGACAUCUUCUCUUCCAAAAGUGCCCCUGGGACAAGCUUUCUCAUCUGAAUUCUUUUUUUUUCCAAUUUGGCACCUGUUAUCAUAUUUAUAUUCUACUCCCUGAAAUAAACGUCAAAUACUAAAAGUGAGUAGAAUCCAGCAAAUAAAUCCACAUCAAGUCAGGUAAUAGGAGGAAUUAAUAAUAAAAUAAAUGAAUAAAUUGCACCCUAUCAAUUCCCUCCACACCUAAACCAUGCUUGUCCUCAAGCAUAAGAAAAGUAAACGAACACCAAAAUUCGACGAUAGCCAUUGCCCAAUCUCCUAUAUUGCCAAGACAUUCAAGAGAAAAACACAUAUCGAGCAUUGGUGAUUAGAAUCCCAGAAGCAUCCCCCCGGUUAGCCCUUAAACUGCAAAUUCCUUCAAUUUCCAGGUUAACUAUUCUAAGAAAAAGGAAUGGCACGCAACAUUUAUCAGCUAAUGGUCCAAAUAUUCACACAAGUCCCCAUAUUAAGUCCAUAAACCAGCAAGAUCUCCUAUUAUUUAUUCUCUUUUUUUUUUCUUUUUGUGUGUUUUUUUUUUUCUUUUUUUUUCUCUUUUCUUUUUUUUACGUUUUUUUCAAGCAAUAAUAAUAUUUGACACAAGAAGACUUAGUCUCUAGCCGCCGGAGCCUUUUGACGCGAACUCCAUCAUUUUUAGAUGAAGGAGCCCGGUUACUCAGCUUCUGCCGCUAUACGACCACGUACUCAUAGAAAGUACCACCUUUUGACGCGAGAAUCGACACUUUUAGGUGCAGAUCCCCGGUUACUCAGUAGUGACUAAUAGCGGAGUACAGUCCAGAUUAUUCACAGCCAAACAAAGCCAAAAACACGAAAUACCAACACUAGCAACUAAGCAUAGGGGCAGCUCGCCUCAUUAUUGCCAAACAUGGAGAACUGGAGUCAAUAUUGGACCAGUUCACCUUAAAAUGCCAACAGUCAUUCCCAACGCCUAGAAAAGUUAACAAAGAAAUCAAAAGAGCCAAGCAAUCCGAUAUUCACCAAGGAGAUAUCUUGGAUCCAACCACAUCAACCCGAUACAUACUUAUUUUAAAAACUUGGCAAAAGUAGAAUUAGAGUCAAUGAGCCAACAUCCAAUCAAUUUUUUUCUCUUUUCUUUUUCUGUUUUUUUUUUCAGGAGAGAUAAGCACCAAGCAGAAAGAAAGAAAAUGAGCAACUAGAAAUAAAACUAAAAACUAAAGAAAACUAAAAACACUAGCACCCCAUUAGACCCCCCCACACCUAUAGGACACAUUGUCCUCAAUGUGACAAAUAACCAACAAAAGUGGGUGAGAGGACAGAAACACUUCCCUGAAAUCCGGUCAAAGAGGUGGGCGAGGUGGAGCUGGAGGAGGAAAGCCCGUAUGAUGCAGAAAUUGCGCCAAAUUCUGUGCUAUGCCCGCUACAUUGAGGUCGACGUUGAGCAUUCGAGCCUCCAAAUUCUGAACCCGCUCCUGGAGUUGUUGCCAUUCAGUUGACCCAUAUGGUGGAGGUCGCGCAGAAGAUGACGGCCCAGCGGUGUCCUCGGCCGACCCAGGGAAUGAAGAGUGCCCCGCCUGCGUUGAAGGCUGUGCACCCGGAGCUCGAACUGGGCCCGGAGGUGUAAACUGGUGGAAACCAUUGGGUAGGCGCUCGACGACUCCCAUUUUCUCUAAGCAGUUCACGUCCAGGAGCUCCAUCUCGAAAGCCAAAUGUAAGUCGUGGUCCUCCAGACUAAGAACUCCCAACUCCACAGGGACUACCCCAGGCGGCAGACAGAGAAGCGGCGUUGAAGCUGGUGGUCGAGCGGGGCGACGCUCGCGUCGGCGUGCGCAGCGGCGACGGCGCGCGAGGAUGGAGUUUCGUGGGGAGGUCGCGUGCGGGCUUGGGCUGAAGACGCGGCGCGCGCUAGGGCUUCGCUGCGGCAGGGCGAGCAGGAGGCGGCGACUGGCGGCGCGCGGCUGGAAUUUCAACAGCGGCGGCGUCGAUGGAGAUCUUGUAGUGGCUGUGCUGCUCGGCGGCUGGCUGUGCGAGGAUGGGGGCUGCGUGCGGCUGCUCGCGGCUGGUGAUCUGGCGGUGGAGAGCAGCGGCGAAGGGCGGCGGCGGCUUGGGCUGGUCGAGCGUGCGGCGGGCGAAGAGAGCAGGAGAGCAGCAGGGGAGAAAGAAAGAAAAGAGAAAGAAAGAAAGAAAGAAAAAGAAAGGAAAGAAAGAAAAGAAAAGAAGGAAAAGAAAAAGGAAUUUUUCUUUUUUUUUUUUUUUUACUUUAGGCUACGGUUUAGAGGACAAAUUUUUCUUCUUCUUGUUUUCUUCUUUUUUAUUUUUUUUUUAGUUUUUAAUUUAGUAUUAUUAUUAUCAUAUUUAAUUGAGGAAAGAAAAAAAAAAUGUUUUUUUUUUUUACUUGAAUAAAUGAAAUGAUAAUAAUAGUUUUUCUAUAUUUUUCAUAUAUUUUUUUUAAAUCCCUACCUUUCCCGCGAACGUGACGCGGGCACGUCAAGAGGGCAGGAGAGCUCCCAGAAGUUUCAGAAUUUCCUGAUCGUGAGCGCCCUGCACGUCACCACGCGGGCACGUCAUGAGGACAUGAGAGCUCCCAGAAGUUUCAGAAUUUCCUGAUCGUGAGCGCCCUGCACGUCACCACGCGGGCACGUCAUGAGGACAGGAGAGCUCCCAGAAGUUUGAAGUUUCUGAUUCCUGCCCGUCAUCACGCGGGCGCGUCAUGACUGAAGGUCACCUACAAAUCAGCAAAAACGAAAACUAACACCCAAAAUCAGUCAAAUUCAGGGAAAGCAGAUUUAAACUAUGCUACAAAACCAACAAACAAUUAAAAGAAAUAAUUAGGUUGCCUCCCAAUGAGCGCCUUUCUUUAAUGUCUUUGGCUAGACAUGGUAAAGUGUCACUGAUUAGGACACGGUGGUGCGUCAAGCCUUAUUGUCUCCACCUCUCUACCUGAAAAUCCUUCGUAAUAAUAUUUGAGACGGUGUCCAUUCACCACAAUUUUGUUGUCUGUCUUAGCACUCCGGAUCUCAACUGCACCAUAGGGAAAAACACGAGUAACAAUGAAAGGUCCAAUCCAACGGGAACGUAGCUUACCUGGGAAUAGCUUGAGCCUGGAUUGGUACAGGAGGACCUUCUGACCAACCUCAAAUGUUUUUCUUGAAAUUUGUUGGUCAUGAAAUGCCCGGCUUUUCUCUUUAUAAAUCAAGGCGUUUUCGUAUGCUUCGUUCCGGAUCUCCUCCAAUUCUUGCAAAUCCAACUUCCGUUGAGCACCGGCCUCCUCUAAAUUCAUAUUGCAUUGCUUUAUCGCCCAAAAAGCCUUAUGCUCGAAUUCCACUGGAAGAUGACACGGCUUCCCAAAUACCAACCGGUACGGUGACAUCCCUAUAGGAGUCUUGUACGCCGUCCUAUAGGCCCAAAGUGCAUCUUCCAACCUUUGGCUCCAGUCUUUCCUAUCAGGGCGCACCAUUUUCUCUAAAAUGGACUUAAUCUCCCGAUUUGUCACCUCCGCCUGACCAUUGGUUUGAGGGUGGUAUGACGUUGAGACCCUGUGGAGUACACCAUACUUGCGAAACAACGCAGCUAUGGUUCUGUUGCAAAAGUGCGUUCCCCUAUCACUGACAAUAGCUUUAGGCAUUCCAAACCGCACAAAGAUAUUAGACCUGAUAAAAUCUGCAACUACUCUCGAAUCAUUAGUUCGAGUGGCCUUAGCCUCCACCCAUUUAGACACAUAAUCAACUGCUAGCAAAAUAUAUAAAAAGCCAAAUGAAGUAGGAAAAGGCCCCAUGAAAUCUAUACCCCAGACAUCAAAAAUUUCAACAAAAAUCAACGGGACCUGGGGCAUUUGAUCUCUACGGGCUAUAUUACCUACCCUUUGACAGCGAUCACAUGACUUACAAAACACAUAGGCAUCCUUAAAUAAUGAAGGCCAAUAAAAUCCACUUUCCAAAACCUUAUGAGCAGUUCUCUUAGGUCCAAAAUGACCUCCACAGGCAAAAGCAUGACAAAAAGCUAAAAUUGAUUGAAAUUCCACUUCACUUACACAUCUCCUCAUUAUUUGGUCUGCACACCUUUUCCAUAGGUACGGGUCGUCCCAAAUGAAGUACUUGGCGUCACUCUUCAAUUUAUCCUUCUUCGAUUUUGGCCAACCUGCAGGAAAAUCACCCGUUACUAGAUAAUUGACUAAAUCAGCAUACCAAGGCAAUUGAGAAUUUAAGGAAAAUAAAUGCUCUUCAGGGAAUGCAUCUUUCAAUGGCUCCUUAUCCUCCCCAAUUGGUAUGCGACUUAAAUGGUCUGCUACUAGAUUUUCUGAGCCUUUCUUGUCCUUUAUCUCCAGGUCAAAUUCCUGUAGUAGCAAUAUCCACCUGAUGAGUCUCGGCUUUGCAUCUUUCUUGGUCAUUAGGUACCUUAAUGCUGCAUGGUCAGAAAAUACAAUUACUUUAGCACCUAGCAAAUAUGACCUAAAUUUUUCCAAAGCAAAAAUAACUGCAAGAAGCUCCUUCUCAGUGGUGGAAUAAUUCAACUGGGCUCCAUUCAAGGCCCGGGAUGCGUAAUAGAUGACAUGAGCUGCCUUCCCUACUCUUUGCCCCAAUACAGCCCCAAUAGCAUGAUCACUGGCAUCGCACAUGAUCUCAAAUGGCAAAUUCCAAUCGCGGGGUUGGAUGAUUGGGGGUGAAGUCAGCAAUUCCUUCAGCUUGUUAAAGGCCUUCUCACAUUUGUCAUUGAAUUCGAAGGUCACAUCCUUUUGUAGAAGUUGGAACAACGGGGCUCCAAUUUUUGAAAAAUCCUUGAUGAACCUUCGAUAAAAACCUGCAUGUCCAAGAAAAGAACGCACCUCCCGCACACUCGCGGGGUAAGGUAAUGCAGAAAUAAUGUCUAUUUUAGCCUUGUCAACUUCUAUGCCCUUAGACGAUACAAUAUGACCCAGGACUAUUCCGUGCUCAACCAUAAAAUGACAUUUUUCCCAAUUUAGCACAAGAUUAGUCUCUAUACACCUUAUCAGGAUUAAUUGCAGGUUAUCUAAACACGUAUCAAAACUAUCACCAUACACACUGAAAUCAUCCAUGAAAACUUCAAUAAUUUUCUCCACGUAUUCAGAAAAAAUACUCACCAUACACCUUUGGAAAGUCGCAGGUGCAUUGCACAACCCAAAUGGCAUUCGUCUGUAGGCAAAGGUCCCGAACGGGCAUGUGAAAGUUGUCUUCUCUUGAUCCUCCGGGGCAAUUGCUAUCUGAAAGUAUCCUGAAAAUCCAUCCAAAAAGCAAUAAUAAGCUCUACCAGCUAAACGUUCAACCAUUUGGUCAAUGAAAGGGAGAGGGAAGUGGUCCUUUUUAGUGACGGCGUUCAGCCUACGGUAGUCUAUACACUGCCUCCAUCCAGUGGGUUUGCGCACUGGCACGAGCUCACCCGUUUGGUUGGCUUCUACCGUUACUCCUGCCUUCUUCGGGACUACCUGGACCGGACUCACCCAAGGGCUAUCAGAUAUUGCAAAGAUGAUCCCCACAUCUAGCAGUUUUAGAAUCUCUUUCUUUACAACUUCCAUCAUGAGGGGGUUGAGCCUUCUUUGAGCCUGCCUAACAGGUUUGGCAUCGUCUUCUAGCCUAAUCCGGUGCAUACAGAUGGCCGGGCUUAUCCCCUUAAUGUCUGCGAUUGUCCAGCCUAUCGCCUCUUUAUGCUCCCGAAGGACUCGGAUCAAUUUCUCUUCCUGGAUUUUUGACAGUGCCGACGAGAUAAUCACCGGGAGUGUCUCAUUAUCACCCAAAUAUGCAUAUCUCAGGUGCUCUGGUAGAGGUUUCAACUCCAGUACAGGUGCCUGCACCACAGAUGGCAAUACCCUCUGAUGAGGCUCGGGAGUAAAAAUAGGUAAGACUUCAUACCUUUUCCUGGUGGUCUGCAAUGAGUGUAAUGCACCUAUUGUGCAUUUUAAAUCCUCACUCCACUCCACCUGAGGAGUUGUCUCCAACUCGAGGUGCUUGGUUAAAGCCACCUCCAACUCAUCCCUGCCAUCAGUUUCAAACACUUCCUGCACUACAGGAUCAAUAGCACUCACAGAGAAAACUGAGCUAAAGUUGGAGUUCGAGGGGUAUUUCAUAGUAUCAAAAAUAUUAAAAUGCACAAUUUCCCCAUCAAACUCCAUGGACAAGGUACCCUUAUUAACAUCAAUUUUCGUCUGUGCAGUGCUCAUAAAAGGUCUACCCAAUAACAAAGGUGAGGGAUCAGGGGAGUGAUCAUCAUCCAUAUCCAGUACAUAAAAAUCAGCUGGAAACACCAAAUCAUUAACUUUUACCAAUACAUCUUCAACCAACCCAUCAGGAUAUGCAUUAGUUCGGUCAGCUAAUUGAAUGAUAAUUCCAGUUUCUUUUAAUGGACCUAAUUUUAGAGAAGCAUAGAUAGACUUAGGCAUGACAUUAAUUGAUGCUCCCAGAUCCAACAUGGCCCUUCUGAUCACAGUAUUACCUAUCCUACAGGGAAUAGUAAACAUACCUGGGUCCCCGCACUUCGGUGGGAGCUUUCUCUGCAGGACCGCUGACACAUUCUCCCCAACAAUAACCCGUUCAUCCCCUCUCAAUCGCCUUCGGUUGACACACAAGUCCCUUAGGAACUUGGCAUAUUUUGGUACUUGUUUGAUGGCGUCUAAGAGGGGGAUAUUUAUCUCAACCUUGCGAAAAAUCUCCAAGAUUUCCCUCUCCUUAUCCUGCUUCUUUGAUUUUUCCAACCUGCUAGGAAAAGGAGGCGGGUUAGUCCUAACUGUAAUUGUUGGGUCAGGAAGUACCUGUGGAUCUGCACCAUUGCUGUCCUCCCUUUCGAGCUCACUUUCGAUCUUCUCUUCAUCCUUGUCCUUGGGGAUCAUAGGCUCAGGCCCUUGAACUUCCUUGCCACUCCUCAAGGUCAUGGCGCUCACAUUCUUCGGGUUCAACUCAGGUUGAGAUGGCAAUUUACCUUGAUUUUGGGCAUCCAAGCGGUUGAUUGUUGUGGCCAGUUGACUUAUCUGAUUCCUUAUGUCCUGCAUUUCGGAGUCCGUCCUUUGCUGAUGUUGCAUAAUGGUUGCCUCCGUCCUUUGCUGAUUUUGCAUAAUAGUUGCCUCUGUCCUUUGCUGAUUUUGCGCCAUGGUUGUCAUCAUUUGUUUCAUCAUCUCCUCCAUAGAUGAACCGGAUUGAGGGGGCGGGGGUGGUCGGGGUUGGUAUUGCUGCUGGUACCCUGGUGGCUUAUUUGGCACAAAACUAGACUGCCUGUUCGGUGUAAAGUUGGGUUGCCUAUUCCCUCCAUAACUGAGGUUGGGAUGAUCUCUCCACCCGGGGUUGUAGGUGCUUGAGUAAGGGUCGUACUGCUUCCUUGGCGCGGGCGCGUGGUCAGCCAUGUUCACCUGUUCUGCAGUUUCUUCCUGAAUCAUUGGGCACAUGUCUGCAGAGUGGCCUAUACCAGUGCAAAUCCCGCAUACCCUGGCUUGUGAUGCAUUUCUCACAGCCUGUUGCCUAACAAAAGCAGUCAACUCAUUUAGUUGCUGCUGCACAGAGGGUGUCUCUAUCUCAUUCACCCUACGUAUUGGAACAUCCUCUCUUGUACUGAAUUGCUGUGAGUUCUCUGCCAUCCCCUCUAUUAACUCCCGUGCUUCCUGAGGGGUUUUGUUCACCAGUGCCCCUCCACUUGCAGCAUCAAUGAUGCUCCUGUCUCUAAAAAUGAGUCCCUCAUAAAAAUAUUGUAUGAUCAACUGCUCACUUAUUUGGUGUUGGGGGCACCUGCGCAACAAGUUCUUAUACCGUUCCCAAUACUCGUAAAGUGACUCCCCUGGAUGCUGUUUGAUCCCACAAAUUUCUUUCCUUAGACUUGCAGCCCUGGAUGCAGGAAAAUAUUUAUCCAAAAAUUUUUUCAUCAAUUGGCCCCACGUGGUGAUGCUACCUGGUGACAGGUAGUACAGCCAGUCCUUCGCAGAAUCUUUCAAGGAGAAGGGGAAUGCCCUCAUUUUUAUCUGCUCUUCUGUGAUUCCCGGGGGUUUCAUACUGUUGCAAACAACAUCAAACUCCUGCAGAUGCUUAUACGGCUCUUCACCUGGUAAACCAUGAAAAGAGGGUAAAAGCUGAAUCAGACCAGAUUUUAGUUCAAAUGGAAUGUUGUCAUUUAAAGCGGGGAAAGUAAUGCACAAAGGCUGCUGAGUUAAAUCAGGAGCAGCCAACUCCCUUAAUGUUUGUGCAUUAGCCAUGGUUCCUUCCUCCUGGUCAGAGUCACUUGAAGUGUCACCAAACGAAUCUGUUGGUUCAACUUCUGACUCGGGUCUUUGAGAUGUAGCCCUGGUGUGCUCUUCUCUGAGUUGUCUGGUUUCCUUUCUCGUUCUACGCGCGGUCUUCUCUAUCUCGUGGUCAAAAAUCAAAUCACCUGUACGAGAAGAUCGAGGCAUACACUAGAAGAAGACCAGAAAACUAGGACAAAAUUGAAUUUAAAAAUAAACAAAUAAUAACGCCAGUCCCCGGCAACGGCGUCAAAAAUUGACAGGUCGUCAACCUGUGCAAUAAUAAAAUUAAACCUAAUUGCCAGUUAAAAUGACCAAAACCCAAUUCCAAGUACUGGAGCAGGGACUCUAGGUGUGCAAUGGGUUACUUGAUUCACCCUGUUCCCGAAGAGUUUGCUUGAUCCGAUAUACCCAAAUGGAAUGGUUAUUCCUUUUCACAAAUGAUUAGGAAUUUGUAGACAGGGCAAGUAGGGUCGUAUCCACAGAGACUGGGUAUAUUUGUUUCUUAAGAAAUCCAAAGUAACACAGGGGGUGAUUUUGUAGGAACGACGAUAAUUAAAUAAAUUCAAAUGAGAAAGUAAAAAUAAAUAAUUAACUAGAAAUUAAACCACAAUUUACUGAACUCAGGAUAACAAUAGUUAAAGGCCUCAAUUAAUUAAAAUAAGGAAACAAUCAAAAAUAAAAUAAAGUAGGUAAUUAAAAGUCAAAUGGCAAUCCACUACAAUCAAGGAAAUAUUAACUAAAGAUCUAGCCAAGAAAUAACUUCAGCAAUGGUUCACCUAAUCGAUCAUUGAUGCAAAGCAAUCCCAAUUAUUUUAUAAUAAAUAGGUUAUAACUACCAAACAAGCGAUGGCAGUCAACCCCUCCUUACUGUGUCGGUGAUCAAGGUACGCCCGUUAAUCACUGCUCUAAUUGAGAAAUAAUCCUAGGUACGCCCGUAGAAUUUAAUUCCCCAACUGCCUUACGUAUUAGAGGAGCCCUAUUCUAACCAAAUAACACACUACCAGGGUUAUUUUAGAUUAGCCCGCGUAUCCCCCUGACACGAAUCUAAUCGUGCCAGUUGUCACUAUUUUGAGGUAAUUAAACAAUUACGGAUUUAAUACCCCAAUUGACAAUAGAUUACCAAACCAAUUAAUUAUCCGGAUCCAAGACAAUCAACUAAUUAAAUAAUCAUAAGCAUAGUAAUUAGGGAAUACACGAAUACCAAUAAAUAAAAGGGAAAGAUUAAAUUAAAUCGAUCUCACAAUUUACAGGUGUCCCAAAGCAUCCGUCGUUUCUUGACUAGAACGAGGGGAUUAGCUCAUAUUGGAUGAACUAAGCCCGCGGGAAAUUCCAGCAAAAGUCACGGCCGUUGUAUGCAUUUCAAGAGCCGCAAUUCGUCAAACACUUGGAAAGCGAAUGUAAGGCACGGGUAACAAUUGAAGCUUUCUAAUUGUUCCUAGUAUUCGUAAAGCAAAUUCACUCCAGAAGUACAGUGAGGAAAAGUCAAAGAAAGUGGGCUUCAAUUCCUUGCUCCUGACAUGCGUGGAGACAAGCCAAUGCAAGACUACAAUAAACUAACAAGGAAAAGUCAAGAAUUGGAGCUAAGCUCCCCUGCCAUGCGCAGGAAUCCCAAAAGUAAAAAGUAAAGCUUCAAAGAAAAGUCAACAAUUCUUCCUAAGCUAAAGACGGAAAAUCCAUCACAAAAGCCAGCUCUCUUUUUGAUCCCUUUUUCCCCCUUCUUAUUGCGGCGGCUCACCAGGAGAGGAGAGCCCUCCGUCCGUCCUUUCUUCCGGAAAUUUACCAAAAUGGGCAUGACAUCUCCUCUUCCAAAAGUGCCCCUGGGACAAGCUUUAUCAUCUGAAAUCUUUUUUUUCCAAUUUGGCACCUGUUAUCAUAUUCAUAUUCUACUCCCUGAAAUAAACGUCAAAUACUAAAAGUGAGUAGAAUCCAGCAAAUAAAUCCACAUCAAGUCAGGUAAUAGGAGGAAUUAAUAAUAAAAUAAAUGAAUAAAUUGCAACCUAUCAAUUCUUGUGAAACUUUCGGCAUCCGACUGUUGAAGCUCAACUUUGGCAGCAAAACCAUAUCGCUAAACUUAGAAAUCGUAGUCAUUUGAAAUCUAACUUUGAAGUAAAUGUCUUGAGCUACCAUUUUUUCUGCAUUCCUUUGAAGUAAAGGAUAGUAUUGAUUUAUGGGUACAUCAAUUUAUGCACAAAAGUUACUCUUUUUAUGGGUACAUCAUUUUCCUUUUUCCCAUCACACUUUAUUUUCCCGACAACCAUUCAGACAGUUUCAGAUUAAAGGGCUCCAGCAUUUACUCAAAAUUUUUUUUUUUUAAAAAAUGAAGGCCCCAGCACCAAAGAAUAAUUGAGAAACUCAGGUGAAAUUGCCAAGUAACUUCCAAUGCAAAAGCAUCCGAUAAUGUUUUAAGUUUAUCUAUCUCUAAAAUGAUUAACAGAUUAGGUGAAUGACCAUUUUCCUUUUUCCCAUGUCUUUGCCAUCACACUUUAUUUUCCCGACAACCAUUCAGACAGUUUCAGAUUAAAGGGCUCCAGCAUUUACUCAAAAAAUUUAAAAAAAAAAAGAAAAAAAGAAGGCCCCAGCACCAAAGAAUGAUUGAGAAACUCAGGUGAAAUUGCCAAGUAACUUCCAAUGCAAAAGCAUCCGACUUUGAUAACCUUUUUCUGGAAAGCCAUUUUGGCUUAAAAAAAUUUCGCAAGCACAUUUUUUAAUUAUUUUUAUAUCUCGUAUAUAUUAAAUUAUUAUAAUAUUUUUUUUAUAAAUACUUUAAAAAAUAGCAAUUCAAAUGAAAAAAAAAAAAAGCAUUCCACUUCGACGUAGAUUGAUGACUUUCAAUUGGUUACAUCAUGAACCAUUUUUUUUCUUGUCAACGGACUAGCCCUGCAUUUGGGAGGCAAGAAAUGAUAAGAAAAGAAAAGUUUUGGAUGGAUACAUAUCAAUUUCUGUCAUUUGGGAGAAAGGGUGGGAAAGAAAAUAAAAGAAUUGGACAGAUUUUGAUUUCCCUCCAGAGUAAAAAAUGGUAGGAAAUGGAGAAGCCUACAGUAUACUUUCACAAUAUGACAGUUUUACCCGUAAAAAGUUUCUAGGCAAAGUUGAAAGCUUCAGUAUUUCGCCUUUCUGAUGAUGAAGACGAUUGAACUAGACUUCAAUGUCUUCAUACCGAAUGUAGAUAUAUCUCUUAAUCCAAUACUUGUAACUCAAAAUAUUGCCAAAAUAUGGAAAUAUAUUAAAACUGAAAAAAUUUGCUUCCUUUUGUUCUUGAUUGCUGCACUUCAUGUCUUCUUUUCAUCACUUCAAAUCAUCAUCAAUCAUCUAGUUAUCUUCUCAAUUCAUACCCUCUGAUGAUUGAAUUAUUAAACCUACAAAAACAUAAAGUUUUUACCAUUAAAAUACAUAGAAAUGCAACUUUUACCAUUUAAACCACAAAAUGUAUAUUUUUACCAAAAUCCUAAUUAAUUAGUUAUAAAACUAGGUAAAACAAACUAAAAUUAACCAGUAAAAUACACUUAAAAACAUGUAAAAUAUACUCUUGUCAGGCUCCUUAUUUGUCACAUAAUUAUCAUCAUUUCUUGUACCGAAACAUAGUAGUCGAAGUUGAGUUGGACCAUGGGGAUGUUAAUGUAAGCAUAAAUAUCUCAUGUGAUUAGGGUGGUUGUACACCUUGAGUGCAUCCAAUGUACAAUUCCAGCAUGGAUUUGUGUUGUAAUUAACAUAUGCAAAUAAUGGAACUAAUAUUAUGGACCAUUAACGUUUGUAUACGGAGCAUUUAAGAACCAUUCCUUCCCCAACUCAUCGGAAGACUCUUCUUCCACUCAAUUUCUGUGAUAAUUGGUAAGACAUUGGUACUCAUGCUGAUGCCAAAUUGGUGCAAAAUUUGAAUUUGGUCGGUGAAGCAGUACCUCCAAAGGACUAACAAAUGAGGUGAAUUCCCAUUUAGUCUUUUUCCAAUUCGAUUGUGAUCAUAGUUUAUUGUCCCUCCUGGAUGGAACUUUGAGUUACACCACUUUUCCAAUAGUCAUUCAGAUAUAUUCAGAUUAAAGGGUUCCGGCAUUCAAUCAGUAAAGAUGAAGGCCCCAUCAACAACACUGAUUAAGAAAAUUCAGGUAUGUACAAUAUUAAGCACGAAUUUGUGUUGUAAUCAAUGUGCAAAUGAGAGUCACAUUAUGGCUAAUUUCUUGGCCAUAAAUUUUCUCGAGCCACAAAAGUUACUCCUUAUCAAAUUUCACAAGCGAGACAGUUUGACAAAAACAAGGAAUAUGUAAUUGUGGAUGUCCUUCAAUGCCUUGUUUGGAAAGCCAUUUUCCCUCAAAAAAAUUUCUAUCUUUUUUCAUAGGCAUAUUUUUUAAUUACUUUUUAUCUCAUGUAUACCAAAUUGCUAUAGCAUAUUUUUCUACAAAUACUCUAGAAAAUAGCAAUCCAAAUGGAAAAGAAGCAUUCCACUUCGACGUGGAUUGAGGACUUUCAAUUGGUUACAUCAUGAACCAUUUUUUUUCUUGUCAAGGGACUAGCGCUGCAUUUGGGAGGCAAGAAAUGAUAAGAAAAGAAAAGUUUUGGAUGGAUAUAUAUUAAUUUUUGUCAUUUGGGAGAAAUGGUGGGAAAGAAAAUAAAAGAAUUGGGCAGAUUUCGAUUUCCCUCCAGAGUCAAAAUAUUUUCCGCCCAAAAUUGGGCUGAAAUGGUAGGAAAUGGAGAAGCCUAAAGUAUACUUCGACAGUUUUACCCGUAAAAAGUUUCUAGGCAAAGUUAAAUUUCCUUGACUUCUAGCUUCCUUAUAAAAGCCCCAAUCAAUAAAAAAAAUUCAUCUCUCUUCCUUCUCUUGACCACUAACACUCUGGUGGACCGAAAAUAGAGAAACUAUUUGUGCCCUCUUUUUGCUUAAUGAAUUAAAUUUAAAAUUUCACAUGUUUUAGUUGUUUCCUGGAUACUGGUUGUGCUUUUUCUUAAGUACUUGAUAGAUCAUUCUUGGUCUUCUACCUGAUUAUAUGAAUAAUUAUACAGCUUCAAUAAUUUUUCAAAAUUAUCCCUCUUCAAUAAUAUCUAACAAGCUCUUGACCUGCUAAAUUUCCUUUGGCUUAAAGGUGUGUGUUUAAACCCGAAGCUGUCAGUUUCAUUGCAAUUAUUUACUCUAGAAGAACUUUUUAAUAUAAGGGCACAGUUGUAAAAGUAAAGAUAGACAAUUCUUUCUUUUCACUUCUCUCGUCUUAAACAAAAAAAAAAAAAAUCAUUUCUUUUCUUUUUCUUUUUUAAGUUCCCAAACAACAUUGAAGGAAACUUGUCUAGUUUAAUUAGUCAAACAUUCUUUAUGUUUAUAUAUAUAUAUAUAUAUAUAUAUAUAUAUAUAUAUGGCUCAAUCCCCCAAGAUACUGGACUAAAAAUUCCUAAUUUUGGCCAACUUGGAUAUAUAAACUUAAACGGUGAUGUGAGGUGAAAAAUUAGGGGCAAUAUGGUAGAACACUGGGAAUUGUAUGAUAAUUAUAGUUUAGAAGGAGUAAAUUAAUAAGCUGUUGACUUAAACCUGAAGGUGUUUAAAUUUCCUUUGGCUUAAAGGCGUUUAAACCCGAAGCUGUCAAUUUUGUUGCAAUUAUUUACUUUAGAAGAACUUUUUAAUAUAAGGACACGGUUGUAAAAGUAACAAGGUAGACAACCCUCUCCUUUCACUCCUCCCAAGUGUCAAACAAAACCAAAAAAAUCAUUUCUUUUCUUUUCUUUCCUAAGUUCCCAAACAACAUUGAAGGAAACUUGUCUAACUUAAUUAGUCAAACGUUCUUUAAUUCUAUUUAUACAUGAUUGACAUGAAAUAUUAGUCAAAAGCCAACACUUAAAGCAAUGAUCUAAUCAUCCAAGUAAGCAUUGAUCCUUUCCCAGGUUCGUUUAACUUAUCUCAAAUAUCCACCAUUCCUAAAACUCCAUCGUUUUUUUCCAAGGCAACUCUAAUUUUUUUUUUCUUUACAAUUGCUUUGUAUUUAAUAUCAUAAUUUUAGGUUUGUGAUUUAGAAAUUUUUUGACAAUUAUUAAUUUAUCAAUUGUUCUUAUUCUAAAUUUAUGUCUUAGAAGUUUUAUGUUAAUUUGUAUAGGGUUAAUUUUUUUUAUUGAAUUUAGUUAAUAUUUAUCUAAUUUUGGUUUGUGAGUUAAUUUUCAUAUUUUGCUUUGGACUUUAUCUUUUAUUAUUAAAAAUAUUUAGUUGUUAGUAGAGGUGUCAAAAUGGGUGAUUUGGACGGGUUUGAGUUGGAUAAAAUGGGUAAUGGGUAUAAGUGAGUCAACCCAUUUAUACCCAUUUAAUUAGAUGGGUAUAAAUGGGUAAGUCAAAAAUUGGGUAAUCCAAUUACCCAUUUAUAACCCAUUUAUUUUAGCUUUUUGUAAAUUCAUUUAAAUUCAUUUUUGCAAACUAAGUUAUCAAUUUAUAUCAUUCUUUGCACCCAUCAUUAGUUUUAAAUAUUUAUUUAUAAUACUCAAUAAACUAAUUAUCAAUUUUUUCCAUCUGUACUCUAUGUUGCAUAAUUACAUACUAUUUAAUAGUUAAACAAUAAGAAUAUAAAAUUUUGAAUUAAGUACUAUAAAAGUUAACAUAAAAACUUAAUCCAAAAAUUUUGAACCUCUAACAUUUUUUCAUGUGUAAAUUUAAAAUUUCAUUUUGGAAAAGUAAGAAAAGAGGCUAAAACUUUUCAAAAAUUGGUAAUACUGAAAAAUGAGCAAAUUAACAAACUAAGAGAAAAUAAAAUGAUAAGAUAAAACCAACAAAUAAUAAUAAUAAUGAAACAAAUGUAGUUAACAUCAUGACAAAAUGAAAAUUUUGAAAAAAAAAAAUGGGUGGGGGAAGAGAGGAGGUUUUGGGGAAGACAAUUCUAAAUGGGUUAAUUGGGUUUGAUGAGUUACCCAGUAAUAUCCAUUUAUUAAAUAGGUAUUAUUGGGUAACCCAUAUGUAAAAUUUUAAGAUACCCAGACCCAUCUAUUCAUGGGCGGGUAUGGGUAAACUUAAUUAAAUGGGUUUGUUUGACAGCUAUAGUUGUUAGUUAUCGUCUAUUAAACUUUGGUUUUAAAUUUUUUAUUUCAAGUUAAUGUGCAUUAUUUGUUUUGAUUUUUUUUUUUUGUCACUUGUUGUUUGAUCUUUCGCCCCCCUCUUCCCCAAACCAAAAUCCUACAUUCAUCAUUGGUUAUCUUUAGUGAGCUAUAAAAUAAUUUAUUAUUGCAGGGUUUGUGACAAAAAUAACGGAAGGAAUGUCCUAGAAGGAGCUGGAAAAUCACAGAAGGAGCUGUCCUAAAAGCAUGAUUUGGAAAUGUGUAUAGUGAUGAAUUCUUUAAUGUAAAUGUUGCCGAACUCAUGAAGUUGAAUUAGUUCUUUGUUUUUGGUGGAUUGAUUAUUUAAAGUUUUGCCACUAUUGUUGAUUCUUUUUCUGGCUUAACACAAAUCUUCGGUAAUAAGCGUAGAACGAACGUUGUUUUAUAACUCUUUGUAUUUGGAAACUGCUGACAUGUUCGCUUUUGGCUGAGCUGUAGUAGAAAGAAUCUCCCUGAAUGAUGUGGACUUUAUCUUAAUUGGUUACAGCUACCGAAGUUUGUUCUGAAGUUAUCACUGAUUCAUGAUAGGAUGAGUAAACAAGGAGAACUAAUUCUGGCUUCUGAAUGAACCUAAAACGAGCACUGUGAACUAAAUGUUGUUGGAUUAGGGGUGCAAACGAGGUAAAUCGAGUCGAGUCAAGUUUUGGUUUAAUUGACUCGGGUCUCAACUUAGUGUUAUAAAACUUGAACUCGACAAUCUUAAAAUGUAAAGUUUGCGCUCGAGUUUAAAAAAAAUAUAUAUAAUAUUAUUUUAUUUUUAAAAAAUAAAUAAAAUAAUAAUUUUUUAACAAAUAAUAAAAUAUUAGGAACAUAUAUGUAUAUAGAUGUGUGCGUGUAAUCGAACUGGCUCGUGAAUUAACGAGCUAAAUAUGUUUGAGUUCAAAUUCGACUUGAUCAGCUCGAAUUUGAUUAGAGUUGCUCACGGGGUUGGGGGGUGUUGGCAUCUGCAUCACCUGUAAAGUUUCGCAUUCGACCUCGCGUACAUCAUUCACGUUUGUACGCCUUUGGUUGUGGACUAAAAUGUUCAAUAUAUUACUCUCAUUAUGAACUCGAUCAUGUGCAUUGAAGUUCAAUACUGAGUAUAUUCUAUCGUUGUAGAAUAUAUGAUUGUUGGUUUGAACAAUUCUUAGUUUAUCACCAAGGCUGUGAAAUCACUGUUGAAAGGUUACGACUGGUGACUCGUAAUCAGAUGGUACUUUGCUUGUGCUUAAUCAGUGGCUGCAACAUAGUAGCAUAUUUUUGUUCCUUUCUCCACCAUACCAAAUCAACGCCAAAUGUCUAAAUGGUGUUGUGGGUACAUUGGUGAGACAAUUUACUAAAAGAUUGAACCAAGGCAUUGAAAAGCUUUAUCGAUCGGUUCAAGUAGGAUGAUGUUUCUUUUUUGUUUGUACUGACCCCUUCCUUCUGUUUAGCUUACAAUAUUGCAUGGAUCUAAUUGGGCUGCUGCUUCUGAUAUGAUCCCAAAAGUACAUACUUUCCAGGGUGGCAGAUGAAUAUUUCUCGAGUUGGAGUUGAAGCUUAUCACUCAAUGUGUAGCUACUCUGCAUAUGAUCCUUCUUUCCUAUCUCUCUCUGUUUCUUUCUUUUGCUUCAUUGAAGCGGUACCUCCAAGGUGAAUUCCCAUUUAGUCUUUUUCCAAUUUGAUUGUGGUCAUAGGUCAUUGUCCCUCUUUUCCAACAAUUCAUUCAGAUAUAUUCCGAUGAAAGGGUUCCAGCAUUCAAUCAGUAAAGAUGAAGGCCCCAUCAACAACACUGAUUAAGAAAAUUCAGGUGAAAAUGCAAAGCAACUUCAAUGGCAAAAGCAAAUCACCUGCGCUUCUGAACACGGAUUGAGGGCUUUUAUAGUCCAUCACACGAUUCUUGUUAUUUUUUGUUAAUAUUAGAAGUAAACAUGCAUCUACGUGAACUAUCUCACUGAUUGUACACCUUCAAUGCAACAAAUGUACAAUUUAAGCACGACUUUGUGCUGUCAUCAAUAUGUAAAUAAAGGUCACAUUGUGGUUAAUAUUUUCCUUAAUUUGCCUCAUGCAGCUAUGCCUAAUAAGAUUCACUUUGGAAAAGCAUCAAUGAGAAAAAGGUGAAGACCCCAGCAACAAGCCAAGCACCUUUAUUCCUUUGGAACCUAAAGCAUCCAGCUAUGCCAACGAAGCACUGCUCUACACGAAUUGACGGCUCAUUAUUUCUUGUUACCCAUAAAUAUCUCACUGGUUAGUGUGAAUGCAGCAAAUUACAUUUGUAUGUACGAAAUAAGCAUGAAUUUGUGCUGUAAUCAAUAUGCAAAUGAGAGUCACAUUAUGGUUACCCCUUAUCAAAUUUCAUAAGUGAAACAGUUUGACAAAAACAAGGGAUAUGUAACUGUGGAUGUCCUUUUGAUGUGAAGAUUGAAGCAAAUGCAUCUUUCAAGUUACUAAUCCCCAGACUUCAUUGAUAAAAAAAAAAAAAAAAAAAAUUUAAGAAGGAAAGAGAAUUGGAUUGUAGGUCGAAAAUGGGACUUCAAUUCCCCAUGAAAGUGGAUACAAAAUCCUUGGUUUUAUAAAGUUUAAAAGGAUCAAGUCUGAAGAUUUUACAAUAGAAGCAAAUAUCUGACGAUUAUUUCGUUCAGAAAAUACACGUUCAAGUAAUUUGAGAUCACAAGUUUGUUUAUUGAGACACAAAGCUAUAAACCAUCCACUUAUGUCUUUAUUCUUAACCAGCCAAGAAGCAAAGUAGCUGGUCCAAAAAGAAGAUUCCCUGUUUGUUUGUAACACAGGUUCCUUUACCUAAUAGAAUUACUACUACAGUUUAGUUUAAUUUUCAAUGCUUGAGGCUCGCACUAUAGAAUAAAGCAGUAGCUCUAGAAGUCUUACCUUAGAAGCACUUCAAAUUCUUUUCUUCUCCAAACAUUUCUGCUUUUAGCUGCUGAAGCUGAAGAAUUCCUUCUUAUCUCAUUCCAAAAUCCAUCCUGAUCACCACCUUAAUUGAUUCUUUUCUUCUAAUUUCAAUCCCAAGCACGAAAAAAAAUGGCCGAUGCAGCUAUUAGCGCUACUAUUCAGGUUGCAUUGGAGACGGUUAUUUCCCUUGCCGCUGAUCGUGUUAGUUUGGUUCUUGGAUUCGGAGAGGAGUUGGAGAGACUAUGCCACACUGCAGAAACCAUCCGAGGUAUCCUGGCUGAUGCGGACAGGAAAAUGCAUAUCCUCGGGGUGAAAAAUUGGCUCGAGCAGCUUGAAGGAGAGCUUUUUAAAGCGGAGGAUGUGCUGGACGAGCUCAACUAUGAAAAUCUUCGUCGGGAGGUGAAGUAUAGAAAUCAACUCAAGAAAAAGGUAUGCUUCUUCUUCUCGCACUUUAAUACAAUUGGUUCUCGUUCAAGGUUGGCUUCAAAGAUCAGGGACAUCAACUUGAACCUAGAAAGGAUCAAUCGGCAAGCAAAUGAUGUGGGACUGGUCUUCCGGUUCCAAAUUGAAGCCGCACUCCCUGCUGCUACAGGUGCCACAACAAGCAGACAAACCGACUCUAUUCUCGUUCCAAAUGUUGUAGGAAGAGUUGACGAUGAAUCAAAGAUUGUGGACAUGUUAUCGAGCCCAUCUGAAAAGGUUCUUUCUGUUAUUCCCAUAACAGGCUCAGGAGGUUUGGGAAAAACAACUCUGGCGAAAUCAAUCUACAAUAAUCCAAAAAUAGAUGGGCACUUUGGCCAAAAAAUUUGGGUUUGUGUGGCUAAAGAUCAAAUUAAGAUAAUGGAGCUGUUCAAGCUCAUUUUAGUACAAUUGACAGGAGAAGAAGUUAAAGUGGAUGACAGGGAUGUUAUCGUUAAAAAAAUUGGAGCAAAGCUCAAGGGACAAAGAUAUUUCCUUGUUCUUGAUGAUGUGUGGGAUCAUGACCAAGGAUUGUGGAAUGAUUAUUUCAACACUUUGAUGGGACUCAAUGAAGCCAAAGGAAGCUGGUGUCUUGUCACCACUCGUCUGGUACCAGUGGCAAAUGCUGUGUCUAGACCUCUGAAGAUGAAUGAUGGUCCUUAUUUCUUAGGAAAGCUACCAGACAAUGAGUGCUGGUCUAUCCUGAAAGAAAUGGUAAUUGCAGGGGAAGAAGCACCAACAGAAUUGGAAGCAAUAAAGAAUCAGAUUUUAAGAAAAUGUGAUGGCUUACCAUUGGCAGCAAAGUUAAUUGGAGGUUUGUUGGUUAACAAGGAGAAAGAGGAGUGGAAAUCUAUCGUGAAGGAGAGUCAAACUGAUGAAGAUCAAGAUGAGAUUGAUCAAAUACUUAAGGUGAGUUUUGAUCAUUUGUCACCUGCAUCAGUUAAAAAAUGUUUUGCAUAUUGUUCAAUUUUUCCCCAGGACACUGAAUUGCGAGAAGAUGAACUAAUUCAGCAUUGGAUGGCGGAAGGUUUUGUUCAACCAGAUCGCCAAAACCAAAGAUUGAUGGAGGAAAUAGGAGGCGAGUAUUUGAGGAUUUUGUUACAAAAUUCCUUAUUGGAAAAAGUAGAAGAGUCUUGGAGAACAUAUUAUAAAAUGCAUGAUCUCGUGCAUGAUUUUGCAAAAUCAGUUCUCAAUCCUAAAACCAGCAGCCAGGAUCGCUACCUUGCAUUACACUCAUAUGAAGAAAUGGCAGAAAAUGUCAGAAGGAAUAAAGCAGCAUCAAUCCGCUCGUUAUUUCUCCAUCUAGAGGGUGGCAUAUCUGCUGACAUGUUGUCAAGGUUCAAGCACUUGCAUGUUCUCAAAUUGUCUGGAUAUCAUGCCAAGUUUCUGCCGAGCUCUAUUGGCAAACUACUACGUCUGCGGUUGCUCGACAUUAAAUCUUCUGGAAUCAGAAGUUUGCCGGAAUCUCUUUGCAAGUUAUAUAAUUUGCAGACACUAACGAUUAAUGAUUAUGCACUUGGAGGAGGUUUUCCAAAACGGAUGAGCGAUUUGAUCAGCUUGCGACAUCUAAACUACUACCAUGAUGAUGCAGCAUUGAAAAUGCCGGAGCAGAUGGGACGAUUGACUUGUCUUCAAACUCUAUGGUUCUUUAAUGUAAGUCAGGAGAAGGGUUGUGGCAUCGAAGAGCUUGGGACCUUGAAAUAUCUGAAAGGAUCGUUGAUUAUAAGAAAUCUUGGACUAGUGAAGGGCAAAGAAGCAGCUAAACAAGCAAAAUUGUUCGAAAAGCCAGAUCUGUCUCGCUUGGCGUUUGAAUGGGAGAUUGGGGAUCGGGAAAGCGAUAACCGCGAGGAGGAUGUGUUGGAAGGUCUCCAACCUCACCCAAAUUUGCAAGAGUUGGGAAUUCGUUCUUUUAUGGGUAAUAAAUUUCCACAAUGGCUUAUCAAUUUGCCAAAAUUGGAGACAUUGCGGAUAGAAGACUGCAAGAGAUGCAGUGAACUCCCAUCCCUCAAACGUCUCUAUUUGGAGGGAUUGGACAACAUUCGAUUUAUUGGAGAUGAAUUCUACGGUAUUACUGCUAAUGAGGAGGAGGGCAGAUCACGAGCAUCAGGGAGUAGCAGUAGAAGGCGAAAAUUCUUUCCUGCCCUUGAAGAAGUCCGUGUAAGGUAUAUGGAGAAUUUGGCAGAGUGGAAGGAUGCAGACCAAGUGAGGUCAACAAUAGGUGAAGCAGAAGCAGAUGUCUUUCCCGUGCUGAGGAAUUUUCGCAUUGAAAGUUGCCCCCAGCUGAUCACUCUUCCAUGCUCGUGUAAAAGUCUACACGUGGAGAAUUGUGAUAAUCUAACAAGUAUAAAAACGGGUUACGGCACUGCUUCUGUUGAGGUGUUGAGUAUCGACUCUUGCGACAAUCUUAGGGAGCUGCCGGAUCUGGAUCUGUUUGGAUCGAGUUUGCAGCGAUUGACCAUCGCAAGUUGCCCAAGAUUAAUUAGUUUAGGAGUAAAUGGACAGAAAUGCCCCCUACCAUGCCUUGAGGAAUUGAGUAUUUAUAAUUGCGCAGGGUUGACCACUAUAUCCGACAAAAUGUUCCAGUCAUGCCGGUCUCUGCGGUCCCUGUUGGUGAAGUGGUGCCCCAAUCUGGUAUCAUUUUCGCUUAAUUUGCAGGAGACGCCUUCUCUCGAGGAAUUCAACUUAUUCAGAUGUCCCAAAUUGAUCCCUCACAGGUUCAAAGGAUUUGCUUUUGCCGCCAGCUUAAGAAGAUUGAGCAUCAACAGUCCCUUCUCCUCAGAUGACUCCUCAGUCGAUGAUUUUGAUUGGUUUGGUUUAAGAUCUAUAUCAACACUCCGUGAGCUUCGAUUAGAAGGGAUGCCUCACACGGAGUCCCUGCCACACCAGCUUCAAUACUUGACUACCCUCACUUCACUAAGUCUCUUCAACUUUGGAGGAAUAGAAGUGCUACCGGAUUGGAUUGGAAACCUUGUGUCCCUUGAAACCCUAUCGCUAUCGAAUUGCGAAAACAAGUUUUUACCAUCCGAGGCCGCCAUGAGACGCCUCACCAAGUUAACAAGUGUUGAAGUUCAUGAAUGUCCUCUACUAAGACAACGAUACACUUCCCAAAGAGGCAUCUACUUGGAGGAGGAGAUUUCAACUUAUUUUGUAAGAUUUUCCUAUCUAAAGUUCACACUCAUAUAUAUAUGUGUAUAAAUUUUUUGUAUCUGCAUCUCAUUGACAUAUAUUUGCUCUUCAGUCUCUUGUACUCUUUUUCUCCAUCUCUUUCCUGCAAAGUUAUUCUCCGUAAUUAAUUCUCUUCUUUUGGGCAAACCUUGGUUUCUCUUCAAAGAUUAGUUUUAACAAAGCCUGGUUUUGAGCAAAUUGGAAGAGGCCAAAAUUCUGGAUUUUCUCUGCAUCUCGCCAUUGAAAGAUUUUGAACAUCUUAAAAACUCAACUUGUUACCUUCUAUUUGGCCAAGCAUGAAAUUAUUAGCAACGGUGCAUACACAAUUAGCCUCUUUGUUUGAAUGUGUUAGCAAAUGUUCCAUUGCAUGUGCAAUGCUAGAUGUGCAUGGGAGCAUUCAUCAUUUUUCUAUCACCGAUAUUGCCAGUCUGAAUGGACAACAUUAAAGCUAAUCAAGAAACAUUUGCGAAGAAAAAUCAAGAUACAAUUUGAUGUUCAAGUUACAAUAAUUUUGGAUGGUUGUUUGUUAUGUUUCACAAGUUUCAGAAGUUUAUACGUCACAAUUACCAUGCAGGCAAGCAGUGAGAGCGAAGAAGAAGAAUCGACGACAAUGAACUAGCAGGCAGGGACGAUGAAUGAAAAAGCAUUCAUGGUGCUCAAACAUCAGCUUCAUGGUGUUUCCCAUCGUUGUUGAAGAAAAAGAAGAGGUCAGGAGGUAUGUUGUGCAGAAAAGUGAUAAUGCAGCAUUUCUCUCCCCAAGAACUCUUUUCUUACCUCCAUCCAAUUUAGUAAAAGUACAAGGAAUUGGUGCAAGUUUGCUUUUUAGUAUGCUUGGGUCAUGUAAUUGGCCUAAAAACAGGGCAUUUUCCUGUACUUUUAUCUGUUUGUGAACUUUUACCCUAUGCCUACAGCUUAUCUUUUGCUCUUUAAGAUUUUUAUAUUUACUUGGUGCUAAACAUGUCUUUUGAUUGGGACAGAAUCUGGUCUUUUCCGAUUUUCUUGACUAGUUACCAGACCAUAAGUUUUCUUUGCUUUCAUUGUUUAUUAUAAUUGGAGGCAUACUGAAAUGUACCAUUGUGAUGCUUUCCAGAGUCUUAGGAGGCAUAGCUUAUGUUAUUGGACAAAGGACAGCAUCGUUUGUUGUUUCAUUUCUUACUAGAAUACCAAGGGACAGAAGUUAUUUUCAUUGACCAGACAGGGUUUGAAGAUGAAGGCAAUUAUCAAUGAUCUUUAUUAAUCUCAUUAGAUAUCAUUAGCUUUGAUGGAGGCUUCAUAAAUAGUUGGUUCUCCCCAAGUUUCUCAAACAUAAGGUUUUCAUCUUCUCCUACUCAGACUGGAGAAAGGAAGGUAACAAUUUAGCUUGUUCAUCUUCAGGGAAGUUUUGGUAGUUUUUUAAUCUGCAUUCUUGAUAUGUAUUUAGUAAAUCAAUUACCAAAACUUUUUUUUCCUGUCGUGUAGCAUGCUGAUUGCUGAACUGAAAAUGGCUAGUAGCAGGCCUGCAAAGUGUGAUAUGGAGGAAGAAUAAAUUGGGGGGAGGGGGAGGGGGGAAGCAUGGAAGCUGACACUGGAGAGCUAUCAACAUACAAUGCUUAUUUCAAUCAAACUGGAGUUGGUCUAUUGGUUCAGAAGGGAUUUCAGGCGAAGAGUUGGAUGCAUCAGAAUGAUGUGAUAAGUACAUCCUGAUAGUACGUUUUCUUCAGCUUUAUUUGGAAGUAAAAGUGCAUCUGGUGACCAAAUUUAUGACAUUUUCAUCUUUUUUUUUUAAAAAAAAAAUUAAUCAUUUAAUGGAGAGAUCAUAGAACUCUUGUUACUUUUCCUCUUCCAGAAAUCAUUUUUCGUUAUUUCUUUCGCCUCUUUUAGCUGCUUCCCUUUCAACUACCGGGUCCAAGAUUUCGAUUAAUCCAUUGCAAUCACCACAGGAUUUCUCCUGGUUGGUUCCCUUAUUUUCACAUCUCAUGACUGUUUGAUUACUUUUGGGCUUCUGAUAGAUUCAUCUUCUCUUUUUUCCAGGAUUUUUACACUGGGUGGGCUUGUUUGGGUGUUCUUCAGGGUUAUGAUGCUAAUUUCUUUGCGGCCGUAAGUUUACUCUGACUUCUUCAGUUUGUUUUCCUGCCUUGGUUAUUUCACAGCACUUGGUUUGUAUUUAUGCGUGUGUUUUCUGAUAUAUGUUUUGUUGCUUUUGGUUUUGCUUAGGCUGCCAUCUUUUGUGUUUGCCAUUUGUUAACUACUGUGUUUUUCCUGCUUGUCUUUGUUCAGGUUGCCUCAUCGGUCCUAAAUUUCUCAUUCAGUGAAAGUAAUGGCAGUAGAAGCUAAAGUUGCGCGCCUUCCAAUCCUUAAACAUCCUUUCCCUUUCUUUUGGCGUGAAUAUUACUUUAUAUUAGGUUAUCUCUAUGGUCUAACUACCGAACUACAUUGGAAAGUUCUUUUUUUUUUUUCCAGUUCAUUGAAUGUUAAUUUCUUGUAAUGUAAUGUUUUACAGUUUGUGCUCACCAAAUUGAACGGAGCUCAUGGAUGAAUUACAUAUGCUUUUGAAAUUCAGUACACUUAAAAAAUUUUUGUGUCUUAAAUUUUAUUUAGGACUGGUGUAUUUUGGGAAUAAAAAGAUAUAAAUCUCUUAAUUUUAAACUGAAUUUCUGUUUUUCUUCUGGGGAAAAUUUUAUUGUGAAACUUAGGUCUUAUGCUUGGGUAAAAUGGGUAACUAGAGAACAAGUGGUUCCAAGGCAAUCAAUUGAAGGAAGUGUGAAGCAAAAAACAGGAGAAAAGGCUGAUUAAACAACACCGAGUAACAAUGUUCUGUUAUGAUGGCUCAGAUACUAAGGGUCUUGAAAGCUACACAACCACCAUAGCUUACCAAGAUCGACAGUGAUUUCAUAACUCUGCCCUCCUUACUUUCCAUUUUCUUAUUUUCUGUAUAUUUUUUAUAUGAAUUUUUAACUGUGUACAUUUUUUUUUUUUAUGAAAGACAAUGUUUUGUCAUUCGAUUAUUUUGAACCAAAAUUGUGAAAUCGGUUAAUGUAUCAGCUUCUGAUUUUUAUAAGUUCUGUGAUGGGAUAUUUCAGGUUAUGAAAGCAGUUGAAGCUAUCGAAGGCUACUAUUAAGGCACAGGUUCUGAUUUUCUCUCCUGACCAUGCUUCAAUUUCCAAUGAGGUUGUUACUUGGCAUAUGAAUUUUACCAUUCAGUCAUCCGGGAAAAGGAUUAUUCACAUGUGGUUCUUAUUUGCUUGCAAGCUGUAAUUUGGGUCUUGUUGCCCAUAAAAUGCUUUCUAGAGUUGCAAAUCAGUGAGUUCAUGGUUUCAUUAGACUUAAUAGAUAAUGCAGAUAAGUUUCUCUUGAUUAUGUGUGUACGGUUCUGAGAUAAUUUUGUAUUAUUGUUUGAACUUGCUCUCAAGUCUCUUUUUCUAAACUACAUUAAAGCCAAGUCUUUGUUAGUAAAGGAUGUCCGGAAGAUUAGUUAUUGGCUAGUAGCCUGGUACUAGAGAAAAAUUUACGUCUUUUCUAUUUUUGGUUCCUGCCAUAUUGUUGUCUUUAGUUUGAGCUACCAAAGGCUACUACACAAGGUAGAAAUUUAAAAAAAAAAGUAUUUUCUUUUCUUCCUGGUUGAUUUUUCUAUCUUUGUCUACAAAAUAAUAUGCAUUCUGCUAUCUUGCCCCACACACUAUCAAAUGGGGAAACUUUCUCGUCUCAGAGGUGGAAACAUACAAAAGCGGAGAUUUGGAUCUGACAUUGGACCUAGCAUAGUAUCCUCUGCAUUCUAAUCUCAUUUUGUCACUUAGAAACUUUGUUUGGUUUUGAUUUGGGAAGCAGCAAAGUUCAUUUUAGAUUUGUCAUUAAGCUCUGUUGUUAUUUCUUUUGUGACCAUGUGACAGCACGCUGAUACGUAUUGUAUAUAUUGUUCUUAUCAGCAAAUUACAAUUUUUUGUCUUUUUUCUUUGCUUUUACCUGGUAUGUGGAUAGAUUGAUGUCCGGAGGUUGUAAAGAAUAGUAAUGAAAGAUUGCAUGAGUCAUGUCUUUUCUUUUUCUAGAUAUUGAAAAAGCAUAUCUGCAUUUGACACAAUUUGUCCCCAGGAUUUUGACGCUGACAAGUACUUAUAUGCUACCUUUUGCAGACCCCGUCCAAGGUUCCAGAGGGAGUAUGUUGAGCGCAAUAACAAGCUGUUGUACUACAUCCUUGAUUGCCUUAGCAUGGGUUCAUCAUCAAGGUGACGAUAUGUCCUGUUCCUGGCACCAUCAAGAUUGAAAGUUUGGAGAUCAGCAGCAAGGCCUUGUCAGUGAAUUUGAUACUAGAAAGUUAAUGCAGUUGAUGCGGCAAAAGCUAAUUGAUAUACCUGAUUUCAUGGCUGAAACUUGAUUUCUCACUUUUGCAUUUUUUUUCCCUUCUUUUGAAUAAUGUACAUUCCUGGGAACACUUGACCAAUUAGGAAUGUGUUAGGAUGAUUGGUGAGAAAGCUUCUUUUUUUGGAUGAGGUAAAAACUUUUGUCAGUGAGCCAAUAUGCAUUAGGCAAGAUUUAUCAAAGAUGCUUUGCACUGCAUCUGUCUCUGUUUCUAGUAGAUUAUUUGUUUGAUUUGACUGGAAGCAGUGUGUCAUUACUAUAAUAGCAUGGGGCGAUUGAACAACGAAUGACAAAUAAGUCUAUAACAGCAUGUAAAUAUUCAACGAAUCAAAGAACAAAGAAAAUUAGAAUUUUGAGAGAGUUAUUAGAACUAUUGUGACGGUGCAAAUAGUUCCUUUUAAAUUGCAAAUAGAAUUAUACAAAAUAGAAUAUAGGCAGGAAAUGAGAAAGAUUCCUGAUAAAAUUUUGUAAAACAGAGUAGAAGGAAGAAAUGGAAAAGAUUCUUGAUGUAGCAAAGAAUGAUAAUAAAAUAAAAGAACGUCCUCUGAUCUUAUUAAAGCUAAGAUUAAAUCAAUUGAGUGUUUGAUAACUUGGAUAUAUACGGAGAUGGGCAAGUAAAGAAGUUUGUGUUACCAUUUAUGCCUCCUAGUCGAAAUGUCAUCUACGUCAACGUCGUAGACAAAGAAUGUCUCGUAGGCUAUGUUGGAACAUGCAGCAAGCAAUAGCUUCUCGUGCCAAAUUGUAUGAAUUUGUAUUUAUAACUAGUUGAUGUUGACAGAAAAUUGCUCUCUUACGCCGUAAGAAGUCUUCCGAAUGCAAUAUGCAUAUGUGUUUAUACAGCUAUACGAAGUAUAAGCACUAUGGAACAAGUAUCAAGGAACUAUUCGCUUGCAUGGCCGAGACCAGUGGCCAAUUUGGGUAUUUUGGUUCCAUUCUGAGCACUUUGGGAUUAAUUAACUUUAAGCCCGUGUAUUCUGUUUUAUUGUACAUUUUCCCCAAAUAAAUGCUUCAUGGGUCUAAUAUCAACUUGUAGAAAAAAAAAUAAACCAAGCCAAUUUUAGUUGUUUUAGAAUUAAAUUCAGUGUCGAAGUUGAUCUAAGAAAUAGAGUUAAGCCCUAUUUUGGUAUUAGAAUUUGAAUAGUGUAGUGCAUUCGUCUGGUCCAAUGGUGGUUUAGUCCCAUCGGCUUUUCAUAGGCUCAAUUGGGCACUCUCCCUUAAAAUAGGCUAGACUAGAAGUAGGUGUCGGAUAGACAAGUGCCGUUAACCAAAAAAAAUAAAAAUAAAAAUGGCUGAUUGUUGGAUGCAGGUACAAUUGCUUAGAGUUGCCAAAAUGAUUGACCUUUGUGUAGGAGGAGAUUUUACAAUACUAGAGGCAUUCAAUAUGCUUAAAAUGGGGCUUUUAUGCAGCCAAGCUAAUGCAAUUUUGAGGCCUGAUGAGGUUGUUUAGGUGCUCUGAGUUGUACCUAUGCAAUUGUUGAACCAAAUGAAUAGCCAGGGCAAGAUGUUGGUUUGCCUGCUGACAAUUCGACUGUGUUGUAAAGCUACUGGAGUGAAAUAGUUGACAAUAAAAUAGAGAAAUUUUUAGAAUUAGUUUAUAAGAAAAGGAAUGGGCAGAUUGUUUCAUAAAGAGGCUAAAGAGUGAAACGUACUUAGUGCAGAUGAAAAAACAUAGCUGUCAAUUAUUUUCUUACAUAAUUUUUAGAGAAAAAUGCAGUUUUAGUUCCGAUGUUUAGUUAGUAUGCCAAACUAGUCUAUAAUAUUUUGAUAAAAACAAAUGUAGUCUCGAAAAUUUCUAAUUUUGAGCAAAUUUAGGAUAAUUUAUCGAAAUUCAACCAUUCGUAGCGGUAAAUAUCAAAUUUCUAUUAGUCAAAUAUUUUGGCUUUUCAUUUUAGUUCCCAAAGUUUGAAAUUUCAGUCAUUAUAGCCCUUAAGUUUCAAAUGGUAUCUUCGGGGAUUUUAUGACGAAAUUGGACAUAAAAAGGGUUGAAAUUGUAUUAUACAUACUAAAUAUGUUGAUAUAAACUUGUCUUCUUCUUUUUAUUUCUUUUUUUUUAUUUAUACAUACUACUAAUUUAUAACAUAUUUCUUCUCUUUUACAUACUUGGUCAAAUUUGGCACAAUUCAUCUAAUCAUGUCUAAUUUUCAUUCAUGUUGAUAACUAAGCAAUCAAUUAAAUAUCCCUUUAAAAUGUUAAGUUGAUUGAACAGUAAAUUUUAUUUUUCUUUUUUUUGGCAUUUUAUUUGGUCAUCAAUUGAGUUUCAAAUGAAAUAGAUAUUUUAUAUGAUUGCAUAAAUUCAUAAUGAAAUUAUCUAUGUAUACAAACAUAGAUACAAACACUUUAAAAUUUUAAUAUGGAAAUAUUUGAUUUAAUAUGAAGGAAGUAUAAGAAUAAACAACAGGGUGGUUUGUCAAAAUUUCAUACAAGUUCUUCAUAUUAUUAAUUACCUUUACUUGUUAAUAUAAUAAUGAUUGAAAAUUAUAACAGUUUGAAACUUGCAUCCAACAAUCAAUUGACAAAUCUCUGAUCUCCAAUAGAGAAUCUACAUUUAUCCAACUCUUAACUCAAUCCUUAUAGUACUUAAAUUUUGAUAAAUCCAUCAUGAAAUUGCCUAAUAUUAUCAUAGUGAGCUUGGAUAUUGUGUUCUACGAUAGCAGCGUACUAAAUUAGUGAAUCAUAAUUUUGUAAAGUAUGAAGUUUCUGCACAUACUAGUUUGAAAGUUUCUCAAUAUCAAAUGUAACUAUUUUUAUUGCAAAUGGUUAUGGCAAUUCAUCUUAAAUGUUUCAUUGUUUGGUUGUUUGUAAUAAAAAAAAAAUCUAAAUAGUUAACACAAAUCACAAAAAAAAAAAAAAGGAAACACAAUAACAAAGGUUUUCCAUUGUUGCAGCCAUUUGUUCAUUUUGUUUUUCUCUGACUCAAAAUGAAAGUGGGAAAGUGUGGGGUUUUUAUGCGAGAGUGAUGAAUAUUGUAAAGGUUUAUAGUGUGAGAUCUUUUUCUUAAGAUUACAAAACAUAAUACGUAAGAUUACUCUUCAAAAAAUUUCUUUUGCUAUUUUCAUUUAAUUCUUAAAAGCUAUCCAAAGGAAUGUUUUGAUUUUUUUUUUUGAAUUAAAUUCCAAAAGCCAUCAAUAAAUGAAUUUUGAUCUGGUUCCAUUCAACAGGAAUUUUACAACAAAUAUUUCACGACAAAAAAAGUUCAAAUGGUAUAACUUUUGCUUCUAAUCCAUAGUCAUGCGUUGCCUCCUUCACAUUCAAAGAAGUGUCGUUAUCGCCUUUCUUUUUAUUUUAUUAUUUAUUUUUUACAUUGGGGACAAUGUAAGAUUUAGGUGUGGGGAAGGAGUUUGGACUGCUAGUUAGGCACUAAUUGUUCACUUUUUCUUUUCUUUUUGCUAGUAGUGUAUGGUGGUUAAGAUGAAUGUAUGCAAUCAAGAUGUGAGAAUGAAUAGCAAAUUUAUGCUAGUUGAGCAUUUUAUUUUUCUUGGCAAUGGAUUUUGACAAGGUGUCGGCCUGUGCAAUAAUAAAAACCUGCUCAAACUAGAAGUAAUUUCUGUAGAUAGUGGUAAGUAGGGUCGAAUCCACAGGGACUGGGUGUAAUUGCUUCUUUCCAAAUUCACAGUGACAAGAGGGGUAUUUUUAUAUCAGGGGUGAUAAUUUAAGCAAUUCAACUAAAAGUAAAAUAAUAAAAAUAAAACAGCCAACUAGAAAUUAAAUAAUAAUUUACCAAAAUCAAAUGAGUGAUAAUUAAGGAUCUAGCCAAGAAAUAACUUCAGCAAUGGUUCACCCAAUUGAUCAUCGAUGCACAAGCAAUUCUAAUUAUUUAUUAAUAAAUAGGUUAUAACUGCCAAACAAGCGAUGACAGUCAACCCCUUCUUACUGUGCCGGUGAUUAAGGUACGCCCGUUAACCACUACUCUAAUUGAGAAAUAACCUUAGGUACGCCCAUAAGAUUUAAUUCCCCAAUUGUCUUACAUAUUAGAGUAGCCCUAUUCUAACCAAAUAAUGCACUACCAGGGUUAUUUCAUAUUAGCCCGCGUAUCCCCCUGACACGAAUCUAAUCGUGCCAGUUGUCACUAUUUCAAGGUAAUUAAACAAUUACGGAUUUAAUACCUUAAUUGACAAUAGAUUAUCAAGUUAACUAAUUAUCCGGAUCCAAGACAAUCAAUUAAUUAAAUAAUCAUGAACACUGCAAUUAAGGGAUAUGCGAAUACCAAUAAAUAAAAGAAAAAGAUAAAAUUAAAUCAAUCUCACAAGUUUAGGCGAACCAAAGCCUCCGUUGCUCCUUGACUAGAGUGGAGAAAUUAGUUCAUGUUUAACGAGAACAAAACAUACGAAACUGAAGCAAAAGCUGCGGCCAUCUUCUGUGUUUGGGAGAAAAGCCACGGGAAAAUCAUUCAAUUGUCCCUAAUUGCUCCUGACAUCCCAGGAGACAAAAACUACUAAGAAGCCUCCAAGGAAAACAUUAAAAACUAAGCUUAGUAGUGCCCAAAAGAAAAGUCAAAGCUGAAACUACUAAGCAGUCCUGCCAUGCGUGAGAAAGAAAAACCAAAAGGAACACUAAGCUGAUGGAGAUAAUGAUCCCCCGCUACUCAAUCCAAUUCCUAUCUAAUUGUCUUCCUUUGUGCGGCGGCUCCCACGGAAAAGAAGACUUCGGCCAAAUGACCAAAAAGGGCUUGCGUCUCUUUGUUCUAAAAAUGCCCCUGCAAGCCUUCUAUUUGAAUUCUUUCCCGAUAACUGUCAAAUUAGCAUUGAUUGUGGUGUUUUCGAUCUACUCCCUGAAAUAACUGCAAAUUAUGAAAAGUGAGUAGAAUCCAAUAAUAAAUCCACAUCAGGUCAAGUAAUAGGGAAAAUUAAUAAUAAAAUAAAUGAUAAAAUCGCACCCUAUCAGAUUUGAAUGAUAAAUGUGUUGAAUUUGACAAAGUUUAACCACUUUGUGAGUUUGUUGGGUCUAUUAAUGAGCAUUUCAUUUGUGUUUGCUCUAAUUUCAUUUGUUGAGUGGUUGUGGCACAUGAUUUUGUCAUUCUAGAACUUGGUAUUAUGUGCAUAUCGUGUUGGAUCCUUAAUCCAACAUUGGACUUAUAUGUGAAUAAUUAUGUAUUGCAAACUGUCAAUUAAGGUUAAACCCAAUUAAAGUGAUCAAAUAUAGUUUGGGUUUAAUGUAUCUAAUAGGAUGUGGGCCCUUUAAUGUGUAGAAACUUAUGGGCUCCUAUUUUAAUGAUGGGCUGAAAUAGGGCUCCAAAAGGUAACAGGAAUGUUACUUAUAAAUAGGGUUAUGGUCCCCAGGUCACAGGUAUCAUUUUAGUUGUCGUACUUCCUAAUACCACAAAAUAUCUCUUCCCUGAUAUCUCAUCGUCGGGAAAGAUACUAGAGAGAAACUAAAGGCCUCUCUCAAAGGAUCGGUGAAUACCUGUUGACCUGGAAGACCACCCCAAAAUCUCUAGGGAUUCAAGUGUCAAAUUUAUCAAUAUGGAUUCAGGUACACUUCCGCUAUUUUUACAGUUAAUGUAUUUCUUAAUAAUCGCCAUACAAAUCUUGGGUUUAAAGGUGAUGGUUUUCACCAGUGGUUAAAUUUAGAUAACCACCCUAACAUAUCGAAAUCACAAUUUUGUUGAAUUUGAUGCAUGAAAGUGACAAGGGUACCUAGGAUUUAAUCCCUUUUGACUUUCUUAAAGGACUAGCCCCUCAUUUGUUUACCAUUAGUGAGACCAUUUGAGCCUUUAUCCCUUUUCUUUGUCUAAUAACCAAAAUUGUUGCCCCUAAGACCUUUUGUUUUGAUUUUUUUUCGAACAUUGUGUUAAAGGGAUGUCUAAAUUUGAUGGCAUGAAAGCUGGGUGUAUAGUUGCAAGGCAAUAGAGCAAGUGAGAUGGUCCACAAGUGUUUGAAUAUGCUGAGGAAUCAUGAAAAGUAAGAGAGAGAGAGAGAGAGAGAGAGAGAGUUGAAAAAAAAGAAAAAAAGAUGGAAAAGCACAAAAGAAAGAAAAUGGAGAGAUGCAAGCUUUUGUGCAUAAGUGUUGAAGUAAUAGAAGCAAAUUGCUGAAAAAUAUUUACAUUUAUCGAAAUUGAUGAAGGUGGAUGCUAAGCCUUGGAAGAUUGAAUUUGAGAAAUUUUCCUGUGAUGAAUUCUUGACAUUCCCUUGACAUGUUUAUGCCUCAAUUUACCUUUAUAUCCUGUCCUUUACCCCAGCCCCGUUAGAAUCUUAUAAAAGUCCUUUCGAUUCUUGUAUAGAAUUCACUUUUGAUGGUGAAAAUGUGAUAUAUGAACAAACUUAUGGUAAUAUCACUCCGUGGUGUGUAUUUGAAAGUUAUAUGAUACCCUAUACACUAUUGAGUGGCGAGUGUGCAUGUUCAAACCUUUGUAAGGUUUGUUGAGUUUGGUUCAUUCGAAUUUUGAAGAAAUUGUUGGAAGGGUAGGAUGUUUAUAUUAGUAUGAUAUGCUGUGAGUUACUUGCUAUCUUGAUUGUGUUUUUGCUGUGAGAUGCUUGAGAACAUGCAUAGUUUAGGUAUGGAGGAAGUUGAUAUGUUAUAUUUUUGUCAUAAAAUUCAUGAUUAUUUUUUCUUUAAUUUUGACCAAAUAUUGCAUUAAUUGGUAGAUUCUACUUAUAUUUGAUAAUCGUAUUGGUUGCAGGGAUCCGGAGCCAAAAAAGAUUAAAAACAUGGAUUUUACUAUAUUUUUGCGCAAUUCACCAAGGGCACGUCAAGGUCUAAUUCUGCAUGUCUGAAAACUCGGAAUUUGACACGUGAAUUCCAAUAUUAAAUUGAAGCUGUGGAAGUCCGUCUCUUCACCAAAUAAGUAGUCUCCUACUUCUAUUAGGACAUCGGUCUAGUUGGCCUAUCUCGACUUUUUGGAAAGAGUCCACUACCUAGUAGGAAUUUGAUUUCUUUGAUGAGAGAAACUUUUAGUGGAGAUAGGAAACAAAGUCCGGAAAAUUAGCAUCAUUAUAUGCUUGGAUUGUUUGUUUCCGUCGGAAAAUAUUGUCGUUUUCCGUGAUCACAUUUUUCUAUCACCUUUUUCCCUCACAUAUAUCAAAUCGCUACAGUAAUUUUUCCAUGAAAAAUGACGGAAAAUGCAAUCCAAACACAACCUAAAGAGUAACGGAGGGGAGACAUCUUUUUCUUUCAACCAAGAAACGAGGGGAGACAUCUUUUUCUUUUCUUUUCUUUUCUUUUUUAUCGUAUUUGUUGGGGAGAAUGGCAGCAAUAAAUUCAAUUAUUUUACGUGUGUCUUUUCCCUUAACAAUAAGCUAAAUUUUUUUUUUCCAAUCAAGGAGUAACGGAGGAUUUGGUUCAUUUAAAAAUGUGAUAUCGAAUUAAUUAUAUUCAUUUCUUUUUAUUUACUGAUAUUCGUAUGCUCUUUGAUUUAAUUUUUAUCGUUAUUUUGUUAUUUGAAUAUCAAAGGCCUAAUAUUUAAUUUAAUCUAAUAACCUAAAACCAUUUAGACCAGUUAAAUCCGUAAUUAUUUAAUUGUUUUAAAUUAGUGGUGGCUAGUUUGAUUAGGUUUGUAUCAGAGGAACAUAUAGGUUAACUUAAAAUAAUCCUCGUAGCUUGUUAUUUGAUUAGAAUGGAAUUUCUCUAAUUCUUAAAAUAAUUGGAAAAUUGAACUCUAGCAAUCGUAUCUAAGGCUAUUUCUUGAUUAAGAAAGUAAUUAACAGUCGUACCUUGAUCAGUGACACAAUUAGGAGAAAUUGUUUGUCAUCGCAUAUUUGACAGUCAUAACUUUUUUAUCAGUGAGUAAAUGAAAUUAUCAUUGCAUCAAUGAUCAAUUAAGCGAACCAUUUCCGAAGUUAUUUCUUGAUUGAAGUUUAUUUAUUAUUGAUUUAAUUUUAGCGAAGUGUUAUUUAGUUCUUUUUAUUGGAGUAAUUUAAUUAUUUUCAUUUUUAUAAAAUCCCCCAUACCUUAAAUUCUUAAAGAAACGAGUUAUCUCUAAUCCCUGUGGAUUUGACUCUACUCAUCCUAUACGCAAAAAUUUGUAUCUCAUUUGAAUAGGUUUUUCAUUAUUAUACAGGUUCGACACCUAUCAAAAUAGUCACAAUCCAUUCUUUCAGUAAUCAAGAAGAUGAUUUGUAACUGCAAAUAAUAAAGUAACAAUAAGAAUAAAACUAAAAAAAAAAAUACAAAGGCAAGAAGAUGCAAUUUGGAGGAAGUAACCACCGGGCGUCCAAUUCGUCCAGUAACGCCACUGAAAAAGGUUGAGAACUGCAAAGGAAGCAAUUACGGGGAAUCCAAUCUGUCCAACAGGUCUUUAUGGCGGCCUGUGAGAAGCACUGAUCCAAGAAAGUUACAUCGGAAAAUUGAACAAAGAACAAAAUAGUAAACACAUAACAAAGCCCUCUUUUGACUCUUCAAAAAUUUAACUCUAGACUACCAAGCACUUAAAAACAUUGACAAUUUCCCACUCAGCACGAAUCAUGCGGAAUAAAUUCUUUCCUUAUCUCUUCAAAUUAAUUUUACAAACUUUUCCACACCCGCUAAAGUAAUCAAGAAGUUGUCUGAUGAAAUGACGAAGUCCUGACCCCCUCUCAUUUCUUGGUUUCUUGUCUCAAUCACUUAAUUAACAAUAACAGAUUAACGAAAAGAAAAAAAAAGCGAAUUAAGAAAUACAUUUCAAGGAACUAGCCACCAAGGAUCUAAUGCCGAUGUAGACUUGGCCAAGAGGACUAAAUUAAUAUAGAGAGAUGAAAAGGAUCAAACCAUUGUGGUUGGCCCGAUGGAGUGAUUAAGAAAGGACCCUUACCGUUCUUUCUAUUAUUUAGAUUUAGCGAUCAAAGUCUGGGUUAGGCAGUUCAGCGUGAGAGGGCUGUGGGGAAGCUUGGGAGGUAAUAAAAAAAAUGAAAAAGAAUAAACUGAUAAAAUACAGUUUUAUACAUUAUCCUGGCAAUGUCUAAAACAUGUACUCACCCCUUUGAGUUUGGCGCAAUGCUUUUAUUUUGAGCUUCUUCUAUACGGUUUUUUUUUCCUUUGAUAUUUGUGGCUGAAACGUUGAAUCCUUCAAUUCGAAAACCCAAAUUAGAAAAUAGAUAUUAUCUUUAAUUUGUAAUUCCAAAUAUCUGAACACCAAAACACACCAUCUUAUGAGAUUUACUUGAUAAUCGAAAAAAUAAUAAUAUGGUAAAUUUAUCUACAGGGAUUACCAUACACUACUGCAAACUGUGCUUUCGUAUUGAAAGAUAUAGUACCAAAAACGAAAUAUUGCUAUUCGUUGACUAAUUAAUGAGAUGACCAAAUGAUCAACCACUUUCAUUUCUUUAUUCUUUAAGUACGUGAGAAGAAAGCAUUGCCUCUAUAUUAAUGCCUUAAUUAAUCAAGCGAUUUCCACUUGAAUAAUUGACUAAAAAAUUGGUCUGAAGAUGUCAUUAGCCAUUUUCACUUCAUUAUUUCAUUUCUUAAUUACUGUUUAUCGAUGGAAUCAAGAAGAUGCUUUCUGGUGUAAAUAAUAACAAAUUCAAAAAUAAAGAGACGCAAAUUAUGAUUUGGAGGAAGUUGUUGCGGGGCGUCCAAUCUGUCCACUCGCAUUGGUAGAUGGACACUUCAUUAUUCUUUGUUCUUGGCCUCUAUAGCGGUUUUCACAUUUGCCAGCGAUCCAGAAUAAGUCCCUACUUUUUUUUUUUUUUUGGGUUUUUGGCCUUUUAAAAAAAUGAGCAAUCAGACAGCCACUUUCAUUUCUUUAUUUUAAAUUGCACGAGAAGAUGCUUCAAGCAAAGGUGAAGCAACAUUGGCCGAUGAGCAUCUAAAGUCCAUGUGUAAUCACAUGGCAAGCCACAAGGGUUGUCCAUAUGUAAUUAUAUUGUACUUCUCUAAAUCAUUUGCAGUGAAUAACCUAACACGAGGGCGUGCAAACAAAAUGUCCAUUCUUCUAGUCUUGAGUCAUUCGCUAUUCUGCCUGCAUCAAAUCCAAUUUCAUGAUAAUGGCUCAUUAUUCUAAAAAAGAAAAAGAAGAAAUUCAUAAAAUUAAAAAAAAUGCUAGUACUAUUUUUCUUUCUUUUUUCUUGCAAAAACUGUUGUAAGAAGUUACCUAAAAUGGUGCAUGAACUCAAUUUGACGACUUGAUCGGUGCCUUUCACCUUAGUACCUAACUUUUAACUUUUCCAUAAAGUCAGCUAUCCUAAACAAGUCCUUGAUUGCAGUUACAUUUUCAUGCAUUAGUAUAUGUGAGUUAAACAGUUUCAAGUUUUGGUUUCUUUCGGGGUACAACUUAUUUGAAUGCUAUUAACUACAGCAAACUUGUAUUUAACAGUAGUAAAUUGGUAGCGCCCAUGUUGAUGUCACAGUUUGACUUUCAAGUUAGCAAUUUAUUGGAUGUUUCAGGCUUGUAAUAAUGUCGACGUCCAAUGAUGUUUAACCUACUAGUAUUAAACGUUUCAUAUUCAUUCAAAUAUUUGCUGCGUUUAAGUAAGCUAUUUUAUCGCAUAUGCAUGACUUCAAACCUUCUCAUUCACUGCUCUUUCUAUAUUUAGCCUUUGUUGUUUUGAUCUGGACUUGUUUUAGUCAAGGUGAUUUUAUUUUCUCAUAAUUUUUUUAUCACACAUAUUAUAUUACCGAAGGUACUACAAUAUUCAUCUAAAUAAAUUUUCAGUUUCUAAUUUACACUUCCGAAGUAAGGGGUUGGGGGGUUGAAGGAGAGGAGAGAAGGGGAUGAAAUUAAUUAAAGAUGACGCUAGAAAAAACUGAUGCAGACAACAUCCAAUUUCAUUGUUUUUUGUAGAUAAAACACAUUAAAGAAUUGAUGUGACCAAGAGAACCUUCUUGUUAUUUUAACCUGGCAAUAGGGAAGCUGAAGAUUUCCACUUCCAUAAUUACAUCCAAUUUGAGAAUUGAAAGCUAUCAUCAUUCAAUAUUGCAAGUGGAGAACCCUCUUAAACCGACCUUCUUCACGAUCUAUCUGCUGACCCACCCAGCCCUUGUUUUCCCUUUUGUCUUCUUUUAUAAGGAGAGGUGCUCGUAAUUUAUAGUGUGUCGUACUGACUUGCUUUGGUUUAUUGCACCCAAGCCAUGUUGUAUUAUAAUAGUUCAGACCUUUUCUUCACAGCUAAUUUUAUUCCUAGAGAACAAAAAAAAAAAAGAAGUGCUGCCUACCACUAGUCACUUCUCCUUGAGGACUUGGGAGGUGGAGUUGGGAACUUUUGGGGGGUUGACAUGGAAGUGGUGGAAACUUGAAGCUUGGAGUGCAAAAGAAAGAAAGAAAAAAUUAGAUUGGUGAGAGUAUAAAAGAGUUAGCGGGAAAUCAUUAUUCGUCAUUUUACCAAAUUGAAAUUUCUCGAUCUUUUCUUCUUCCCUUUCUCCUAGCAAAAACCCUUGCUUUCUUCGUUCUUUUCAUUCUCUCACAAACGAUCACACUUGGGAAAUCAAGCUCAAGCAAGUGCUUCUCAAGAGCUAGGAGACCUUCCUCUAUCUCUUAAUCAAGGUAACUAUUGCAUCUUUUAAGUUUUCUUUAUUUGAUUUGAUUUGGUUUUGGGUAUAGAUGUAAGCUAAGCUUUGGUUUCGAGUGGACCUUGUGGUAGAGAUCCUUGUAUAUGUAGUUUUUAAAUUUAGAGUUUAGAGACUAAAUUAAGAAUCAUGGUAUAGUUAAAAGAUUAAAGUAUCCUAAUUUAGAAUUUAAGAACCGAAGUGUCAUGUGCGGUUAUCACACUGCUUCCAGGCCCUUAAUCUGGUAUACCACCGCUCUUUGUUGAGGUUUGCUUAUUUUAUUGAGCAACAUAUAAAUCAAGUGGUAAUUGAAGUCACUGACUCACACAAUUGUAAUUUCAUUCGAAUGCAGAGAUCAGAGAUAGUCUUUUUUUUUUUUUUUUUUGGAAAAACAAGAUAAAACCAAGCAAGUUCCAGCGAAGUGCAUCCAAUUGCUGUGGAAAUACAUUAUUUGAUCUGUAUUAUGAAGAAAAUUUAAGCGUUCACUUGUCCAAGAAUUCACUUGUUAGAGGAAAUAUCCAAAAGAACCCAUUAAAAAGGCCCAAUACAUAAGUCAAAAAUCCCAUCUUGACACAAAAAUUUAAAUUGUUAAGCUCUAGCCCUUACAUAUUAAGUGACCUUUUUUUUUUCCAUUUCUGAAACUAAUGUGAGAUACAAUUCUCUAUUUAUAAACCUAACAUUUUUUACGGAAAAAAAGCACCUUUUAUAAUUAAUAAAGAGGAUUACCUAAUAAUUGAGAUUAAAAAAUGAUCAAUCAGAAAACUACUUUCAUUUCUUUAUUUCUUGAAGAUGCUUCAAGCAAAGAAGAAGCUCUGUUACCCGGUGAGUAUUGAAAGUCGAUGGUAAUCACAUGGCAAGUCACCAGGGCAGACGAGUGACGGAGGACACUUUUCUACCGGACAUAAAAAAGAAGUUCUAACUAAUGUCUUAUUCAAAACCUACAACCAAAUUUGCAGAAUAAGAAAUAAUUAAUAAGCCACUAAAUUACCCAUUACUAAAUACGAAAAUUGAUAAAAGAUUGAGUCCAAUAAAAUCACUAGACAAGUAGAUGGAAACUCUUAAGCUUGGUUUUAGUUUACCAACAAGAUUUACAUAAUUCAUUCUCAGUUAGUUUCUUAAUUACUGAAGUAACCAAGAAGUACUUGCUUCACGAGAUGAAGAAGUCGCUGUCCAUUUGUCAUUUCCUUGUUAACGUCUAGCCUUAGUUACCUUAGUAAUAAAGAAGAAUUUUCAUUAUGUAAAGUAAUGACAAGUGGUGAAAAAAAAGAGCAAAUUAUGAAGAUGCAUUUUCGAGGAAGCAGCCACCGGGCAUCUUAUUACGAAUACGCGACCAAGUUGAAAGGUCACGCUUUUAUUUAUUUAAUUUUUUUUGGAGUACGGUCACGCUUUUAUUUGUUUUAUGAUCAGAUAAUAUCUAAAACAUAAUAUAUAGUGGAGUACUAGUAAACGGAAUUUCUUAAAUUAACUAAAGGCCGUCAGCAUGAAAAAAAAAAAAGAAGAAUGGCCGUCAGCGUCACAAGCCAUUGACCAAAACUAGUAUCAUGCAGUUUUAAAACCAAUGUUUUAAAACUCGGACAGUUAAUUAAACUGGUGAAAUGUUCGGAUUAAGGUUCAAUCUGUCGGACCGGUUCAACCCUAGUUCAAUGAAUUUUUAAAAAAUUAAUUUAUAUAUAUAUAUGCACAAAAUAAGAUAUGCUAUGGACUAAUUUAAAACUUUAUAUGAUGUAAAGUUUAUUAUUUUUGAAUAACUUAAAUUUUCAAAAAUAAAUUUUAAAUUAUAAGUUGAAACAAAUAAAUUUCAUUUCAAUUUCAAUUAUAUCUACCAAAAAAUAAUUUUAAAUCCAACCGAAAAAUACCACAAUAUUUUAAAAUUAUACAAAAUUCGCGUCUAUGAGAAUUUAGACAUUGUGAACUUAAAUUUUAAUUUACGUUUUUGAAAUUUAGAGAUUGCAAUUUUAAAAAGGAAGUUUGGAGUUUGAAAGAAGUUAAGAGAAUUGAAAAUAAAAAUGCAAACUUGAUAAGAAAAAAAAAAGAGAUAAAAGUGAGUGGUUGUGGCAUUAAAUAAUUAGUCUUUAGGGUUAAAGAAAAAUAAUUCUUUUUUUAACUUUUUUCAAUUUAUGGACAAAAAACAAAAUUAAAAGAUGAAAAAAAACAUCAAUAAAUUAAAACUAAAGAGGUUUGAUUAAAAAAGAAGUGACAAAAGAAAAGAGGAGAGAGAGAGAUAGAGAGAGAGAGAGAGUUGCAGAUUAAAAAGAAAGAGUCAUAAGAGAAUGAAAUUUUAUAAGAAAAAUGGAGAAAAGAAAGAUGGAUGUUUGUUUUAUAUAAAUAAGUUAUCAAAAAAGACUAAUAAGAUGUGAUUGUAUGAUGGUUUCUACAUUGGUUUUCUAUUAUAAAAGUCUUGAGUUUGAACCUUGGUAGCUGCAUUUUGCAAACCUUUAAAAAAAAAAAAAGAGGGGAAAUUUGAAAACCGAAAACCGCUGACCAAUUUUCUUUAGAUUUUUUAAAAUUUGUUUAAUUAUGUACUAACUAAUAUGAGAAUUGUUUAUGAGAAUGAUUUAUACAUUAAGCGAGUGCUUUUCUUUUUUAUUUAAUUACAUAAACCAAAUUAUAGAUAUUGUUUCUAAGAAUGAUUUUUAAGUUAUGCUGAAAUGUUUAUUUUUAAAUUGAUAUGCUGAAAUUUUAAUGCUAUAGGGUCAAUAACUGAACCUACGCUAAUAGCUCGGUAGUGUCAAGAUCUAAAGCGGUAACCUUCUUUGGACCCAAAUCAUCAUGGUAUUGGACCACUAUCUUCCUGCCACUGGGGGAAAGGGCAAAAAAAAGCACAAAUCGCAAAACACAAUUUUCAUAGGACGUAAGAAGUAAUAAUUUUGACUCAAAAUUCUUUUCAUACACUACUGUUUGAUUGAAACUGUCAUUAACACACCAUGUACUAAAUAGUCUAGAAGACGUGAUUAAAAUGAUUCGGUAAUUCUAACUUUCCUCCCAAGUUCAUAGACAGAGCACGCCUGUCGUUUGAAGAUUCAAAGUUGCGUACAUAGUUCAUAAUUUCUGCCGGCGCAAACACAGAUUAUUACGUAUACACAAAGGAAUUACCAACAAAUAGUGAAAAUUGGGACCAAACUUUUGUAAUUUGAAAACUUCGGGGGCCAAAAUGCAGCAUCGUUUAUAAGGGACUCAAUAAGUAUAAAUUCCAAAUGUUAUGGACCCAUUGUGAUAUAGAUAUCACACAUUUGCAUGUGGUAUCAAUCAUAUACAACUAAAGUUUGAAGGGUAAAGUUUUGUCUAUACAGUCACCAUUCAUCAGUACCUUAACACUCCCAUCAUGAGGCGGUUCAUUUCAAGAAUAGCAUUUCCCACAAGAAGGGAGUUAUUAUUGGGAUCAAAAUGCCAUCUCUUCUCGUUGCCCCGCCAACCGAGAAGAAACCAUAUUGCUGAUGGUUCUGCAGGAACUACCAAACCAGCGCUGUUUGGCUGCAAAUGUGCAUCGAAAGGGUAUAAUGAACAUUUCAUGAACAGGCAGAGUAAUGGCCAUGUCUAUACUUUUCCAAGUUCUGGCAUUGCUGGCUCAAGAAGGUAUGUAUGUAAACUUCUUUCUUUCUUUCUUCAUUACUCUUUAGAAUACGUAGUAUUGACUUCUUCUUUUUUUUUUGGUUGUCCAUGACUAUUGGAGGGAAGUUUUUUCAAUUUCUUUUUAUUAUAGACAAGGGGAAAGACAAAUAGGGAAAACGAAAAAGAAAACAAAAAUAACUAGAAAGGACAGAAGAAACUCCUUUGCUAAAACUAAAUGAGUGUCAAUUUUAGGCUGUGAUUAUAGGAAUAUUUUUUGAAAAGGGUCCAUGAGGAGAAGUUCUUGAAUUAAAGGGCUUCAUCUUCGAGAUACAUGUAAUUGUAGAUAGGAAAAUAUACAUUUUCUUUUUUGGUAUGCUCAAAAGUAAAUUUUGCCCUAGAAUUAGUAGAGAGGACCUUUCAUCAUUUCACGGUAAUGACAUAGCAAAAAUUUCAUGUUUUGAGUUUUGUUCUUGUUUAUGAUAUUAUGGAAUAGUUCUAAAAGUCCCAAAAAUUCAUCACAAUAACGUGAAGUUAUUGAAACUCUAGCUAAUUAUGUUUUUCUAGUCCAAAAGCAAUAAUUAUUCGUGAAUUUGAUAAUACUCUUAUUCAUAUUGCUUUCUUUUUAUUGUCAUUGGCAGGAAAAUUAAGACUUUCUCAAUUUAUAGGGGAGUAAUUCAUUUACUACAACGUACUAGUAUAAUACUAUAAUUUGAAAUUUAUUACUCAAAAGCAGAAUUGCUAAUUAAACAGCCCCAGACGAGCUGAUCUUAACUAUGAAAAACAAACAAUAAAGUUUAUUUUUCCAUUAAAUUUAAAAUUUUAAUUUUAUGAUAAUUUUAUCCUCUUUUGUAAUGGCUAAAAAUUCUUCUAAACAUGUCCCUGCAGCAUUCAUUUGAGUGUCGAUCAGAAAACUGCAUAUAUGGGCAUAGAAAUUAUCUCCAAGGAAGAAAUCAAGCCAGCAUCUCCAACUCCCCCUGAGUUGAGAACUUUUAGGUUUUCAAUCUUGGAUCAGCUUACUCGGGACUCUUAUACAAAUAUAUUGUUCUUUUUCUUCCCAAGAAAACAACAAGGCACUUAUCUCAACGAUGUUAUUUCCCAAAGAAGUCGAUGUCUAAAGGAAUCACUAUCAAAAACCUUAGUACCCUUCUAUCCACUAGCAGGAAAAAUAAAAAAUAAUUUGCAUAUUGAGUGUAAUGAUGAUGGAGUUUACUACGUCGAAACUCAAACCAAUAUUGGACUGUUAGAUUUUCUGAGGAAGCCUGAAAAUGAGUUCAUGAAUCAGCUAUGUCCAUUUCAUCCAGAUUCCACGGAAUUAUUGUCAAAAAGUUAUCCUAUCAUGGUUCAAGUAAACAUUUUUUACUGUGGUGGUAUUGCCAUUUGCUUGAGUGCUUCCCACAAGAUUUUUGAUGGUCUCUCAGUUUCUACAUUUAUGCAAUCUUGGGCAGCUACAGCACGCGAAUCAACGGUACAAAUAAAUCCCAGUUUUAUUUCAUCUUCCUUAUUUCCUCCUAUUUUGGAUAUGUACCAAGAUUCACCUCCUGUGGUCUCCAAACCACAAAAGAACGAGCCUAAAUAUGCUACAAGCAGAUUUGUGUUCGAUAGCUCAGCCUUGGCUGCGCUUAAAUCCAAGGCAGCUACAUCAACAUCUUCCGCGAAACCAAGUUCAGCCAAGGCUGUUAUGGGACUUCUAUGGAAAUCUGCCAUAGCAGCUUGGAAAGUGAGGUCUGUUUUGUUUAUCCCGGUGAAUCUGAGGACAAAAGUUUCGCCCCCUUUAUCACCUCAUUCACUGGGAAAUAUCGUCUGGUUGGCUCGUGCUAAAUGUUGUGACAAUUCUAAGCUAGAGCUGGAAUUGCUGAUAAACAAGAUCUCAAAUUCCAUUGGUACAAUGAACGCUGAUUUUGUUGAAUCUAUAAAUGGUGAGAAUGGGAUUCAGAAGCUGAUGGGAGCCUUAAAAGAUUUCCAUGAAGUGUUCUAUGACCCUAAUAGUAUGGCUGAAUGUAUCUAUAUCAGCAGCAUCCGCAAGACUGGUUUUUAUGAGGCUGAUUUUGGAUGGGGAAAGCCCAUAUGGACAUGCAUUGCGCGUGGAAACAGGGAUUUACACGGAUUGGGAAAUAUUGCUCAUCUGAUCGAAACAAAAUCUGGUGAUGGGAUUGAAGCAUUGGUGACCAUGAAAGAAGAGUACAUGGCUACACUGGAGAAAAAUCAGGAGCUUCUCCAUUAUGCUUCUUUAAAUCCUAGCCCUCUUGAUUCAAGCUAGCUUUUCAGCAUGUUUUGUCUGGCUAUGUUUCAAAUCCUACAAAGCAAUUGUGAAGGUUGGAUUGUUAUCAAAAGAAAGUUGUAGGAACAGAAAACCAUGAAUUUGUGUAUUAUUCCCCAUUAGUUUGUUGACUUACUUUUGAAAAGAAAAAAAUAACACCUGAUAUGAUUGGGAGUUUGGCAGACCCUGUUUGUGUAUAAACAAAGAAAAACUUUGGGGAACUUAAGGCCUUAGUUCUGAAUUAUGUGCCAUUAGUGCAGUGGCAGAUGGUUUUCUGAAAGAGAGUGGCUCAAGUCAUGUGGUUCCUGACCCCAAAAACAAUAACAAAUCUACCGUUGUACCUUUAUUUCUUGCUAUGGAGCACCUCCAUGACCCCAUGAUCAUGAUUUUUCUGGGGCUGAAAGUGGGGUAAAUUUAACGCCAUACGAGUCUGCGGUAGUUCCUAGAGAUAAUAUCAAAAACUUCUCUUGAAGUUUAUCACUUAGCACUCUUAGAUCGUGUUUGUAUUGUAACUUUUUGAAAUUUUUGUAAAAAAUAUACUGUAACAAUUUAAUAUAUAUAAGAUAAAAAGAUGUUUGAAAAAUGUGUUCAUGUAAAACGUAAAAAUUUUUGAUGAAAAAUUCCUUUUCAAACAAGGCCUUAAAAUUGCUAUUCAUUGACUAAUUAAUGACAUGACAAAAUGAUCAACCACUUUCAUUUCUUUAUUCUUUAAGUGCGUGAGAAGAAAGCAUUGCCUCUAUAUUAAUGCCUUAAUUAAUCAAGCGAUUUCCACACGAAUAAUUGACUAAAAAAUUGGUCUGAAGAUGUCAUUAGCCAUUUUCACUUCAUUAUUUCAUUUCUUAAUUACUGUUUAUCGAUGGAAUCAAGAAGAUGCUUUCUGGUGCAAAUAAUAACAAAUUCAAAAAAAAAGAGACGCAAAUUAUGCAAUUUGGAGGAAGUUGUUGCGGGGCGUCCAAUCUGUCCACUCGCAUUGGUAGAUGGACACUUUAUUAUUCUUUGUUCUUGGCCUCUAUAGCGGUUUCCAAUAAGUCCCUACUUUUUCUCUUUUUUGGUUUUUGGCCUUGAAAAAAAUGAGCAAUCAGACAACCACUUUCAUUUCUUUAUUUUUAAAUUGCACGAGAAGAUGCCUCAAGCAAAGGUGAAGGAGAGUGAAGGAGAGCACUUUUCUACUGUUAAUAAUUUUAUUCCUAGAGAGCAUAAAAAACAAGUACUGCCUACCACUAGUCACUGCUACUUGAGGACUUGGGGGGCUUACAUGGAAGUGAUGGAAACUUGAAGCUUGGAGUGCAAAAGAAAGAAAGAAAUUUUCUUAUUAGUUUGGUGGGAGUAUAAAAGAGUUAGCGGGAAAUCAUUAUUCGUGAUUUUACCGAAUUGAAAUUUUCUCGAUCUUUUCUUCUUCCAUUUCUCCUAGCAAAAACCCUUGCUUUGUUCGUUCUUUUCAUUCUCUCACAAACGAUCACACUUGGGAAAUCAAGCUCAAGUAAGUGCUUCGCAAGAGCUAGGAGAUCUUCCUUUAUCUCUUAAUCAAGGUAACUCUUGCAUCUUUUGAGUUUUCUUUAUUUGAUUUGAUUUGGUUUUGGGUUUAGAUGUAAGCUAAGCUGCUAAGCUUUGGUUUCGAGUGGACCUUUUGGUAGAGGUCCUUAUAUAUGUGGUAGUUUGGGUGAUUGUGGUGAUUUCUUGAUUGAGGGAUAAGCGUUAAAGUUUUGGAUGUUUGGUGAUGUUUUGGGUUGGUUUGUACUUUGGUUAUAUGUUGUGUUGGGUUGGAAAUAGGUAGAGCGGUGAAAAAGGAAGUAAAACUAAUUAGUAUCACAUUUGCCAUCGAUCUAAAACAAGCCAUUAAUUGAUGAAAAUUAGUAUCAUGGAUUCAUCUUAAUGUAGUACUAUUAAAUGGAAUUUUUUGAGUUACUAAAAUUGCAGCAAAGUGAAGGGAAUUCAAGCAAAAAGCAUCCAAUAGCUGUGGUACAAAUAAAUGAUUAAGUGAAUAAUUAACUGAUAGUCGAUGAGAAGCUGUCCUCACUUCUUUAUUUUUCGUCUUAAUUACUAUAAUAAUAAUAAUAAUUAAGAAGUGGCUUGAUGGGAUGAAAAUGUCACAGCCCAUUUCUUUGUUUCUUGUCUCAGUUCCUUCAGUAAUCAAGAAGAUGAUUUGUAAAUGCAAAUAAUUAAGUAACAAUUAUAAAAAAAAAAGAAAAAAAAAAAGAAGCAAGAAGAUGCAAUUUGGAGGAAGUAGCCACUGCGCUUUGAUCAUGACAGAUGCUUAUCAAGAUGACUCAUUUAAACUAGAAAAUUUUGAAAAAAAAAAAGUAAAGUGAUACAUCAUCUCUUUUUCUUUUUUUUUUUUUUUUUUUUUUGGGUGUUGCUUUCUUGACCAAGAAAUAUCUAAAUCAUAUCUUACCUACUUAAUAAAAAAAAUAAAAAGAUAAUAAAAAAAUGUGUCCUACCUGCAAUUAUACUUUAUCACCCUUUUUUUUUAAUGCCAAUUAGUGAUAAGAUAUCAUUAACAAUUAUUCAGCCACUUUCAUUUCUUUAUUUCUUAUCCACUCGAGAAGAUGCUUCAAGCAUAAAAGAAGAAAUUCCUCUAAAUUAUUGCCUUAAUCAAGAGGGUGCAUCUGCGAGGAAAAAGUCUUACAUCAUCCAAUUCCAAAGAUGAGUUUGCUUUUUUCAACAUCAUUGAAUCUACGAAUGAAAAAGGAACCAAACCAUAAUACUUCUUAAUCACCUCAAAACGCAAUCUUUCUACUAUUAAAGUUUUUAGCCCUACCCACUACUAGAUAGAAUAUUUAAACACUAAUUAGUCUCACAACAAAAGAUUGCUCUCACGUCCUGUCUAGCUUGAUCAGAUUGAAGGAUGAGAUUCAUUAUAUGUUGUCUUAAACGUCACAUUGUUGGAAAACAGACUGGCUUAGGUGAUGUUUGAAUUGUAGUUUUCUAUUAAAAAUUUCUCAUAUUUUUAAUGAAUAUAUGUCUUAAUCACCUUUUAUUUUACAUAUAUUAAAUCAUUACGGUAUAUUUUUCUACAGAAACUAUAAAAAAUAAAAUACAAACGGGACCUUUUAUUCUCAACCAUAAACCCCGCGGGAAAAAAAAGGAAAAAGAAGGUGUUUAAGCAUGAUUUUUGCCGAAUUUGUAAAGGAUGAUUCUGAUAACAUAUAGAAGCUGGAUCAACCAAUGAUUAAUAGUCACGGAGAAAAGGAAAAAUCAAUCACUAAUAUAUAAUCAACCAAGGAUUUUAAGUUUUGAUAGGGUGGCACGUCAAUGAUUCAAAUCUUGGCUUCCUAUUAUAUGUGAUUUUUUCUAAAUGUAUACGGAUGCGUAACGCACCUAUCUAAUCCGAUUUGCUGGUUAUUCAGUCCCCAUCAACAUUUUAGGUCCUUUUGGACUUCUCAUUCCUUCCUAAAGUAGGUUAGAGUAGGAGUCGAUUGUGUUAGGUAUUGAAAAAAAUCAAUAAUAUAUAAGUCACGGAGUUGAAUAUCAACUUUUCAGUACAGGUACCAAUAAUAUGUUGCCUUCAUCAUUUUCAGCUAAAGUCUGUUUCGUUUUGGGACCUUGAUGAAUCCGACAAGUAUUAUGAAGAAUUUUUAAAAAUCCGACAAGCAUUAGAUAGAAUUUUCUAAACAACCGUUCUAUCUAAACAAUUAAUGACCAACACCGUUGAUCUUCCUCCUAUGGAGGAAGAAGAGUAGAGAGAAAGUUAAGGGUAGAGAGAUAGGGGAUAGAGAAGGUUGAGGGAAAAGAGAAAACAGCCCCUACGGCGACAAGAUUUUCGUCUAAGCUUUCAUACACCUAUUCUUUAUCAAAUCAUGCAACAUAUAUUUAUUUGCGAACCAAAUCUUGUAACAAAUAUUACAACCGGUUGACACAUUAAAACCGUACUUAGCCAUAUUUCUAGAUUACUCUGGCCAAUAUAAUCAUAGAUACGGAUUGGUUACAUGAGGAUAGGGUCAAUUUUAAUACAGAAAGUGGAAGACUGGUGGAUGAGUUUUGGAGUGUCAACUAUCAUUUACCUUGUAGUUCUGAAUAAUGGCAUAUAGAUUGUUUAUACAGUUAAGCACAUUCAACUAAAGCGUCUCAAUUUAGAACUUAGAGACAGAAUUUAAAGUUUAAAGACUAAAUUAAGAAUCAUGCUACAAUUAAUGGAUUAAAGUAUGCUAAUUUAGAAUUUAAGAGCUAAGUUUCAUGUGCGGUUAUCACACUGCUUACAGUCCCUUAAUCUGCUAUACCACCACUCUUUGUUGAGGUUUGCUUAUUUUGUUAAGCAACGUAUAAAUCUAGUGGUAAUUGAAGUCACUGGCUUAUACAAUUGUUAAGUUCUGACUUUUACAUAUUAAGUGUUUUUUUUUUCCAUUUCUAGAACUAAACGAGCAUGUUUCGAGCUCGAGCUCGACUCGUUAACCAAAAUUAACGAGCCGAGCUCGAGCCUUAACGAGCCGAGCUCUAACGAGCUUUCGAGCUACUUGAUUAACUUAACAGCUCUAAGUACAAUCACACUUUUAUUUGUUUUAUGAUCAGGUUACUAUACACUGGAGUACUAGUAAAGGCCGUCAGUGUCACAAGCCAUUGACCAAAACUAGUAUCAUGUAUUUUUAAAACUAAAGGUACCUUGGCUGUGUCUUGCACAGCCCGAGUCCGCUAAUAGCUUAAUUGAACAUAUAGCAACAUAUUUUUUUGGUAUAUAAUAAAUAGAAAUAUAGGAAAAAAAUUAAGUAUCAAAACAAUUAAAUUUUGCUAUAAAGAAAAAUUCCAUCUAUGAAAUUGGCCACCUCCCCCUCCACGGAUUUUAUAAGAAAUAAAUUAGCUCCUAAUUAUUGUGAUUUGGACAAAGAAUUUUGAGCCUAUAUUACGUGACAUGAUGAUAUAAAAAAAUGGAGAGAGAGUAAAUAAACUAUGAAUGUACUACUAAUUCAAUAGCAACAUAGCUUUAAUUGUAAUUAAAUCAAAAGUAGUCAAUUGAAUCUCCAAUUUCUCUUAAGCGAAAGUGAAGAAUCAUAUUAUAAUUAAGGGAAGUAGGUAAAAAAGAAUCUAUCAAAUCCAUCACUAAUCUUGAGGUUAAUGAAGGAAGGCAAUAAAGCAAGUGCACAGUUAAGUACAAUUGGGAAGAAAGAAAGCUGAUUUUCUAUGCAACUUUGAGAAAUGAUUUAUAGCACAAGAAGAAAAGAGACAUUAAUCAGUCAUAUAAAGGAGCUGUUUAAAUAUAAGUGUUGGGUGAGCUAUUAAUGAAACAUAAUUAAUCAAUAUCCAAGGACUAAAAGUUUUUCAUUAAUUUGUAAAAUUUGAUACUAUAGUUAUAAACUAGACAAUAGUACAUAAAAGCAGUAGAAGUCCAUAUGAUUAAACAAAAUGACCUCUAGUGAAAAUCUUCGGUCUUGACCCAUAUAGUAGAUCUUCAGCCUUUACCCAUCAAGGUAGAAGUGAGAAAAUAAAAAAGCGGAAAAAAUCACAACGUUUCUCAAAGGAGAGUUGUGCCACGUGUUAAAAAAUUGGUGUGAUACAGUAAACUCCCAUAUCUUCUUAUAUAAUAGGUACAAAACUCGUUCGCCUCAGAAAGGACAACAUAAGGGCCAAACUUGUUUAGCUUGGCAUGAACAAAGGGACAAAAAAAAAAAAAGAUAUUCAAGGGGUAAGAAAUAUUAGAAUCAUGUCACUUGUGAAACUAUUAGAAAGUCAUGUGACAAGAAAGGAGGCAAAGAACUAUAUCCUCCUUUCUUCUUAUAUACGGAAAUUGGGUUUCACAGGUUCCAUUUCGCACAAGUUGGAGUAAAUUAACAAAUUAGUCUCAAUUUAUACCAAAUUCUCCUUAUCUUACACUAAAUGAUAAUAAUCGAUUUAUAACAAAGUGUACCUGAUUUACACCAAAUAAUAACAAAUUACCAUACACUGAACUACACCUGAUUUAUAUUAAACUGAACCUAAUUCAUACUGAAAUCCUACUAAUUUAUACUAAAGUCAACUUUGUGCGAAAUUUUACAAAAUACAAAUUGUGAGGACCUAGACCCUAUGCUUAUAUACAAGGUAGACUAGAGCGGCAACGGGAUGGGCUCUCUCCCAUCGCAUGCUAUAGAAGUCUUGGAUUUGGAUCCUCUCCAGUGAAUUGUCUCUCCAUUUCCCACAAUGUACAUUUGGAUAGAUGACAUGUGCCUCCAUUUACUAGAAAAGAAUAAGAUCAUUUUAAGUUUAACUAAUUCUAAUCCUUGAUAAUAAAUUAAGACACAUGUCAUGCAUUAAAAUGUAUAUUGUGAGAAAUGAAGAGAGAAUUCACUGGAGAGAAAUCAAGUCCUAGAAGUCCUACCACCUCUUUUAGAUUUAUUUUAAAUGACUAAAGGGCUCUGUCUAUGGGUGCAAAUGAGUUGAGCCGAGUAGAGUUUUAGUCUAAUCAAGCCAUACUUCAACCUAGAUUUAUGAAACUCGAGCUCGACGAGCUCAAAAUGUAAAGCUCGAGUAAAAAAAUAAAAAAAUUACUAUUUUUCUAAAAUUGAAUAAAAUAAUAAUUUUUCUUAAUAAAUAAUAAAAUAUUAAGGAUAUAUAUGUAAUUUUACUAUUAAAAUAAAAAUAAAAAAUAUAUAUAUAUAUAUAUAUAUAAUCAAGUUCGAGCUAGCUUGCGAGUUAACGAACUUAAUAUUUUCGAUAUCGAAACGAACUUAGUAUUUUUAAUAUCGAAUUCGAGCUCGAGUUCGAUUUGAUUAGGUCGAACUCGAGUCGAGUUCGGACUCGCGCCACUCGCGAUCGGCUCGAGUCAUUUGCACCCAUAGCUCCACCAUUGACCCAUUUUCGAGGAAUAAAUUAACAAGAGAGAUAAAAUAGAAUAAAUUGAUUAAUGAGGGCGGCACUUCAGAUCUAGGUCUCCAGUUGUGACUUGUGAGCCUUUAAUGAGUUAACUCUUUUGAGUUUUGCAUACUUUUACGAUAAAAUUAUUUUGAAGGUUGCGGACUAAAAAUUCAAGGUUGCGGAAAAUUUAAAAGAUUUAAUUAUCAACAGUUCUACAACUUGGACAAAGAAUCUCAAGAUUUCAUUAUUUAACGAAAACAAGUAAUUUGAGAUCACAAGCCUCACUAUCAAGACACUAAGGUGACCAUCCGCUAGACACUAAGCAAAUUAAGUGGUUUAAAAAGAGGGGUCUGUUUUUGUUUAUUGAUUUGCUAUAUAAACUUUUUGGUCCCAUUAAUUUUCGCUACCUUAAUUCCCUAAUUGAGGAACUGUCUUAUAAAAGUUUCACCACCUACUCAGAUUACUACAAUUUAUGAGUUCCAAUUUUCUUUUCAUCCGACCACAGUGGUUUAAUUUCUUCCACAACUAAGGCCCCCAUCAGUGACUAAAUCAGAUUGCGCUAAAAUUAUUUUGAGGUGACCCCACGCAAUUUGAUUAAUCACAAUUAUACUAAUCUGAAUCUCUCUUAUACAUCAGCCCACUGGAAUCGUUUAAUCAUCUCUCUCUUGUUCUGACUGGCUUCUAUUCUGAUUUCUGCCAUUUGUUGCUGAAACAUUCCUUCCAUCUCUUCUAUCAGAAAACCUUUCGAUCCUAGUUCCAAUUCCAAGCAAGAAACAAUGGCUGACGCUGCUAUCAGUGCUACUGUUAAGGUCGUCUUGGAGACGGUCAUUUCCAUUGCCACGGACCGUGUUGGUAUGGUUCUCGGGGUCAAAGCAGAGUUGGAGAGACUAAGCAACACUGCUGCAACGAUCCGAGGUCUCUUGGCUGAUGCUGACGGGAAAAUGCAUAGCCCAGGGGUGCGAGAUUGGCUCAAGAAGCUAGAGGAUGAGGUUUUUAAAGCUGAUACCGUGCUGGACGAGCUCAACUACGACAAUCUUCGUCGGGAGGUGAAGUACCGAAAUCAACUCACCAAGAAGAAGGUAUGCUUCUUCUUCUCCUUCUUUAAUGCAAUUGGCUUUAGUUCCAGCUUGGCUUCAAAGAUCCGGGACAUCAACACCAACCUAGAAAGGAUCAACCAGCAAGCCAAUGACUUGGGAUUGGUAAUCAAGUACCAAAUUGAAGCUGCACUCCCUGCUGAUGCCGCUGGUGCCACGACAAGCAGACAGACCGACUCUAUCAUUGUUCCAAACGUUGUAGGAAGAUCCGGCGACGAGUCAAAGAUAGUGGAGAUGCUAUUGACCCCAUCUGAAAGAGUUGUCUCAGUUAUUCCCAUAACAGGCAUGGGUGGCCUGGGUAAAACAACUCUUGCUAAAUCAGUCUACAACAAAAUAGAAAUUGAUGAGAAUUUUGGCAUAAAGAGUUGGGUUUGUGUGGCUAGAAAAAUUGAUAUAGUGGAGCUGUUUAAAUUGAUUUUAAAAUCGUUGACAAGAACAAAGGUUGAAGUGGAUGACAGAGAGGUUAUCGUUAAAAAAAUUGGAGAAAAGCUCAAGGGACAAAGAUAUUUCCUUGUUCUUGAUGAUGUGUGGGAUCAUGAUCAAGGAUUGUGGGAUGACUAUUUCAACACUUUGAUGGGACUCAACGAAACCAAAGGAAGCUGGUGUCUUCUCACUACUCGUCGAGAAUCAGUGGCUAAUGCUGUGCCUAGACAUUUGCAAAUGAAUGAUGGUCCUUAUUCCUUAGGAAAGCUAUCAGGUGAUGAGUGUUGGUCCAUCAUAAAAAGAAAGGUGCUCGCAGGGGAAGAAGUACCAAAAGAAUUGGAAGUAUUGAAGAAGCAAAUUUUAAGGAGAUGCGAUGGCCUCCCACUAGCAGCAAAGUUAAUUGGAGGUUUGUUGCUUAACAGUGGAAAAGAGGAGUGGCAAUCUAUUGUGGAAGAGGGUCUCAUUGUGGAAGAGAGUCUUUUGAAUGAAUAUCAAAGCCAAAUUAAUCAAAUACUUAAGGUGAGCUUUGAUCAUUUAUCACCUGCAUCAGUUAAGAAAUGUUUUGCAUAUUGCUCGAUUUUUCCCCAGGACAAUGAAUUAGAAGAAGAUGAACUAAUUGAGCAUUGGGUUGCCGAAGGUUUUGUUCUACCGGAUCAGAAAAAUAAUAGAGUGAUGGAGGAAACAGGAGGCGAGUAUUUGAGGAUUUUGUUGCAAAAUUCCUUGCUGGAAAAAGUCGCAGAGUCGCAGAGAACAUACUAUAAAAUGCACGAUCUCGUCCAUGAUUUUGCAAAACCAAUUCUUAAUCCAGAAAGCAGCAAUCAGGAUCGCUACCUUGUAUUGGACUCUUCUAAAGGUUUGGAAGAAAAUACCAUGAGGACAAUACCAGCAUCAAUUCGCACAUUAUUUCUCCAUCUAAAGGGUGGCGUAUCUACUGACAUGCUUUUAAGAUUCAAGCACUUGCAUGUUCUCAGAUUGUCUGGCGAUGAUGUCGAGUCUCUACCGAGCUCCAUUGGCAAACUACUACAUUUGCGGUUGCUCGACAUUUCAUCUUCUAGAAUCAGAAGUUUGCCGGAAUCUCUUUGCAAGCUAUAUAAUCUGCAGACACUAACAAUGAGAGAUUAUGCACUUGAAGGAGGUUUUCCAAAACGGAUGAGCGAUUUGAUUAGCUUGCGGCAUCUAAAC